This 176445-nucleotide long non-coding RNA is filed under the name Capsicum annuum. RNAcentral describes it as "long non-coding RNA (CANN_LNC002421)". The record is from RNAcentral. Lineage: Eukaryota; Viridiplantae; Streptophyta; Magnoliopsida; Solanales; Solanaceae.
UUUGUCCGGAGCUAGUAAUGUCUAGCGCACAACCGUUAUGGCACCUGUGCACCUGAUUCGAAAAUGGAUACAUGAGAAAGAGCUACCUAGAAAAAUAGAUUGCUGACUUUUGGGGUGUGGUUUUCAUAAGGUUGUAAUAGUGGUAUCAGAGCCACCUAUCACCCUCCAUGCCCAUUGUGCCUGGGAUGGUGACAUCAGUAUGACAGUGUUUGGUUAGGGUUAGUAAUGUCUAGUGCACAAACAUCCCGGCACCUGUGCACCUGACUCGAAGGGAAAGCGCUACCUAGAAAAGUAGAGUAAAAUCUAUAUAUCGGGGAUAAAGGAUGCGAAGCGUGGUCGUUUGUUAUAAUCCGUUGCAAAAAGUCCCACAUUUGUAUUACAAAGUAUCUGCGUGCGGUAUUUAUAGCCUUGGGUUCUCCACCUUAAUAGAUAACUUUUGGGGUGUGGUUUUCAUAAGGUUGUAAUAGUGGUAUCAGAGUCACCCAUCUCCUCCGUGCACACCGUGCCUGGGUUGGUGACGCUAGUAUGAAAGUGUUCGACCGGGGCUAGUAAUGUCUAGCCCACAACUGUCGUGGCGCCUGGGCACUUGACUCAAAAGGGCUUCUGGAAACAGCUAUCUACAAAAGUGGAGUGAGGACGAAGGAUGUGGUUUGUUAUGACCCAUUGCAAGAAGUCCCACAUUGGUACUUGUCAGUAGUAAGUGCAAACGUCUAGGUUGAACAAUAUAUGAACAAACAUUAGGUAGGCGUUUGGCCGUGAAAACAAACAAAAAUAACCUUUCUGGGUUACGCCAUACAUUGGAGUUGUAUUACGCCAUACAUUUUGCAAAUAUUUACAAUUUAAACAUAUUUUUUCUUCUUUCUCGUGGUCGCUACUCAUUCUCUAUGCGUUCAACUUUCUUUCUUUCGCUUCAGCGACUGUUAUGCCAAUACCAUGACUCAACAAUAUGUGUAUCAUGCAAACAUGGUUUCGAAUAGGUGGACCAAUAAUGCGACGACACAUAACAUGCCUCCAUUGUUCAAUCGUACUCAAACCAUUCUAUAAAUAUAGCCAUUCAUAAUCAAAAUACUACAUUCAAGUCCAACAGAUGAACGAUAAGUACCUAAAUGUUCCUACUAAAGCUAGAUAUCUUCCUAGAACAAAGCAAGUCGACCAGAAAGCUAGAUAAGAACUUUUUGCCGAGGGAGGUCGUAGUCUAGUGCAACAACUCGACCAGACAGCCUUCGUGUCAACUGGAGCUUAAUUUGCGGAUAGCAGCACCAACGCAGAACAGCUGGUCUUUCUUGCUAUUGUAAAUCCUACAUAUUUGGCGAGAGUAUUGAAUAGCCAGUGUCUUGCAUAUGCAAAGAUCUUCCGGUCCAACCUCCGAAAUUGUUCUCUUGAGCUUGUUUUCGGGAUCAUCACGACACAAAAACACCCCUAAAGCAGUAAUCCUGAAAGAAAAACCAGGCAAAAACGAAUUACUAAGUGAGUAAUCGAAUGAACAUACUAGACUUACCCCUACCGUAGAGGUAGAAGGCUAUUUCUGAUAGACCGUCACAAAUUUUCUUUUCACAAACUAAGGAAAAAGAACUAUCGAGAGAUUGAUAUAUACCUAUUUUUGUCGAUCUUACUCAUCGAGGAGAAUUUGUUUCCAGAAAUUUGUUGACGGUACAAAGCACAUACAGCAUUUAGACAAAGCUCGACAUCCGUAUAAAAUGUAGAACAAAAAUCGUCUUCAGACGUCCAUUCUAUACCGGACUUAUUCCCAGGAUUAACCAAUUCUGGAAUAAAUGAUGUUAUUUGACCCUCAUUCAUGCUUCUUUUUCUCUUCCGUGUCGAAUUAGAGUAGCCUUUUCCGUGCACUUCCUUUUUCUGUCCGCGAGUUUUUGAAGCACGAGCGAUUUCAGUUAACGUCAGUUCAUCAUCACAGUCGUUCAUUACACGAACAGGCGUAGUUUCUGGUUCGUCUAACGCUUCACUUAAGACUAGUGCUUUACAUGCCGAUGGAUCUGCAAGAAGAUUAUAUGCGAUAACAUCUUAAAUUUUCAUCUUUUAAGCUGAUGUAUGAAACUUAUCCGUCCAAUAAAAGUAUGAUAGCCUCCAAUAUAAGUAACAUAACAACAACAACUUAAGUAACAUAACAACAACAACUUAACUAGUAUAAUCCUCAUGUACGCAGACCUUACCUCUAUCUUCUGCGGUAGAGAGGCUGUUUAAGAUAGUCCAGCGGCUCAAAAGAAAGAAAAAUGAAUCACGUUUGCAUGAAAACACGACAAUAUCCUAGUAGGAUGCAAAGCAACUAAAAGGGGAAACGAAGACAGACAAGAAAGGAAAAACUUAACUGCAGCAAAGUGGCUAAAAUGGACACAGCGUGUAACAGUGGAUGAAGUGGACGUAGCAAGUGUUUUGUCGGAAUUGCUUUCUACUCGAGCAUCUAGUGUUUCUUUUUUCAUUUUUCGUGAGUGUGUCUGUGUCGUUGUGGUGGUGUUAUUUUCAGUAUAUCAUGAAGAAUCAUCAGAAAAUAUCAUACCGAUAACCGUUUAACAGAACAACAGUAACUACUAUACCUCAAUCCAAAGAGUUGAGGUCGGCAAUAUGAAUCCUAAUGAAAUAUCCACAUAAUACAAACAGAUCGUAACAACAAGAAGUCGCCUAAAUCACAAAACUGUUAUACCUUUGAGUCUCGAUUCACCACUGCUAUUUCCGGUUGGGGUGCCAACAAGUUUCGGAUCAUCAAAAAGCACGAUUGCCCGAUCUUCUCCUUGAGUAGAUUCCACGCUGUUAACGCCAGUCGCACCAGUAACUUGAAGGCCUGUUUCCACCUCCAAAUCUAUAGCAAAUUUUCAGAAAACACACGCAUCAACAUAAAGAAGGGGAGCCUUGGAGUAACUGGUAAAGUUGCUGUCAUGUGACCAGAAGGUCACGUGUUCAAGCCUUGGAAACAGCCUCUGGCAGAAAUGCAAGGCAAGGCUACGUACAAUACACCCUUGUGGUGGGGCCCUUCCCCGGACACCGCGAUAGCGGUAGCUUUAGUGCACCGGGUUGCCCUUUUUGUACACACAUCAACAUAAAGAAUUUUCCAAAUUAGUUAAAUAAUUAAACGCGACAAAUAACUAAAAUAGAUUUUGCUAAUAUAGUAAAAUCAAGAUAUACUAUCUAUCAACACACAUUAUGAAAUGAUACGUAAACAAGUUGCAUGAAACAAUAAAACACAUAAUAACAACAAUACCUUCAUCAUUUUUUCUCUGAUUUUCCACCAUAAGAGAAACUUCACCCCUCAACUCUCUUAGUUUCUCUGCUAGCAAGCCACGCUUUCACUUGUCGCGUUCUCUAUUUCUUUGAUUCUCUCGGACAACAAAUCGUUGUCCUUCUUAUAGUACUUGCGAUGAUCUUCUAUUAUCAUAUUAUACGUUUUUUCCAUAUUCCUGUUUCUUUCCUCCAUUUUUUUUUCACAUUUCAUUAGAGUUCUUUGCACAAAAGAGUAGUGUUCUUCUUUAACCACAUGUUUUUCCUUAAAGAUCGAAAGUGCUUCUGCGAUCGAUGUCCUCUUCGACGCAGAAUCCAUUAUCAAAACUGUGAUAACGAGAUUUUCUUGAUAUAGCGAAAAAGUGUGACGCAGUUAAAACUGCGAAAAUGAUGUGAUGUUUUUUUUACUUGAAAUUUAUAUAUAUAGGAACUUUGGAAGUGUGAAAAGAAGAAAGUGUACUACAUACAUUAGGAUUUGGGAAGUGAAAAUUUAAAAGAGCAAAUGUGAAAAAUAAUAAUUAGUAUUUGGUCAAGAUUUCAGGAAUAUAAGAGUCAUUACUAUAGGCUAUUAUUUAUUACAUUAUACCUUGAAAUUCGGGUAGAUAAGUUCAAAAAAGUAAAACAUUUAAAGUACAUUUGGUUUUUCUGCAAAAGAAUGAAUGUAGUCGUAAUCCUUGUAAUAUACAUAGAUAACUUAAUUAGUUAGGAAUUUAUGUUCGUGUGUACAUACUUGCUAAUUUGUGGAAUAAUAUAUCGAUUCAUUCUCUCGUACCUUUAUUACAUGGUAUCAGAGUCAUUGUCUUUGCCGGAGGUGAGAACAAGGUAAUUAGUGGUAUUAUUAGGGUGCACAUUGAGUUUCGUUAGUUUUGAGGGGUAUUUGAUAAGUGGGCUACUUGAAGAACUACACGAAAUGCCCACCAACUUGGGGACCUGGUCCCGAACUAACGUAUCCAGUAAUCUUGAAUACAGACUCCAUUUUACAGACUCCAUUUUUCAAGGAUUAACGUCUUAACCCUUCUUCAACUUGUAAUAACUCUAUUACAACAAACUCCAAUGCAAUAACUCUAUUGCAUUAACUGACACAACUGACUCUAGCUGACACUUUUGUGACAAGAACACACUGAGCAACAUAAUAUAGCUGACAUUUGUAUUGUUCGAUGUUCCAACAAUAAAAGCAUAACAUGCAUCCAUAUGUUCAAUUGUACUCAACCAUUCUAUAUAUAUAGCAACAUAACCAAAAUACUAGGUUGAAGUCCAAUAGAUGAACGAUAAGUACCUAAUUGUUCCUACUACAGCUAGAUAUUUUCCGAGAACAAAGCAAUUCUAGUACAAGAACUUUUUCCCGAGGGAGCUCGGAGUCUGAUGUAAAAACUCAACCCCUCAUUCGCAGCUAGCUAAUUUACUCGGAAGCAGCAUUGUUCAUGCUUCUUUUCCUCUUUUGCAUCGAGUUAGAGGAGCCUUUCACGUGCACUUCCUUUUUCUGUCCACGGUGUUUUGAAGCACGAGCAAUUUCAUUUAACGUCAUAUCAUCAUCAUUGUCGUUCAUCACACGAACAGACAUAGUUUCUGGUUUGUCCGCGAGAAAAUAUAUGUAACAUAUUAAGUUAGCUCCUUUUAAAUUGACAUAAGAAACUCAUCUGUCCAAUAAAAGUGUGAUAUCCGCCAAUAUAAGUCACACAACAACAACAACUUACCCAAGUAAGACCUGAGAGGGGUAGGAUAUAUGCAAACAUUACCUAUACCAUUACGGGUAGAGAGGCUGUUUAAGAUAGUCCCUCGGCUCAAAAGAAAGAAAAAAGAAUCAUGUUUGCAUGAAAACAUGACAAUAUCCUACUAAAAGGGGAAAAUCAAGACAGACGAGAAAGGAAAAAAAUUAACUACAGCAAAGUGGCUAGAUCGACAAAGCUAAAAAACAUGUAACAGUGGACGAAGUGGAUGUCUAGAGGAUACGAUGCAAGUGUUUGUCGCAGUCGCUUUCUACUUGAGCGUCAAGUGUUUCAUUUUUUUAAUUUUUGUGUGUGUUUGAGUGGUUGUGGCGGUGUUAUUUUUAGUGUAUCAUGAAGAAUCAUCAGAAAACAUCAUACCUAUAACCGUUUAACAGCACAACAGUAACUAUGUUAUACCUCAAUCCAGAGUUGAGGUUGGCUAUAUGAAUCCUAAUGAAAUAUCCACAUAAUAUAGACAGAUCGUAAUAACAACAAAGUUGCCUAAAUCACAAAACCAUUAUACCUUUGAGUCUCGAUUGGCCACUGCUCUUUCUGGUUGAGGUGCCAACACUUUUUGGAUCAUCAAAAAGCACAAUUGCCCGAUCUUCGCCUUGAGAAGAUUCCACGUUGUUACGCUUCAAGUUUACUCCAGUUGCACCAGGAGCUUGACGGGCUGUUUCCACCUCCAAAUCUAUAGCCAAAUAAGGUAUGAGAACAACAAACGUAAUUUAGUGCGACUGAUGAAAAUGUAUUCAUUUGCUUUUCGUAGGAUCAAUCAUCAUUUACCAAACUUUAUCCGACUCCAAAUUAGUUGAUUAAUUGAAUGCCACAAAUAAUUUAAACAGGUUUUGCAAAUACAGUAAAAUCACUCUUAUCAAAACGAUAAGCUAAGUACAUAAAACGAUACGUAACAAGUUCAAAUUACAGCAAUACCUUCGUCAUUUUUUCUCUUCGUUUCCUUCAAACGAGAAAUUCUACCUCUAAACUCGAUGAUUUUCUCCUCGUAGCGAGCCUCUUUAUCACUUUUGCCUUCUUUACCUUUUCAAUUCUAUCAAAUAGCCAGUCAUUUUUCUUUUUAUACUCCUUGUAGUCCUCUUCUAUUAUUUUACUGUACUUUUUGUCGAUACUUCUUUUUUCUUCCUCGAAACCUUUUUCGCAAUCCAUCAGAAUUUUUCGCACAAAAGGGAAGUCUUUUUCUUCAACCAUUUGUUUUUCCUUCAUGAUUGAUAGCAAUUCAGGGAUCGACAUCAUCUUCAAUGGAUAUCAAAGAUGUGAUGAAAGGCUUUACUUGAAACAACAAAAGAACGCGGCGCGGCUAACUGUGAAAAAAAUUGAUCUUUUUUAGUUGAAAUGGUGGUGUGAAGCGGAAAAAGACAAUAAUAUAGGGAAGAUUACGCAGAUAAAUUCAAACGAAUGAAACAUGAAAACACAUGUAAAAACAAUAAUUAGUACUAUUUGUUCAAGAUUUCAAGAAUAUAAGACUAUUUGAUACUUUUACAUUAAAGAUUAGCCAAACACCUCAGCUUUUAAAGUAAAACAUUAAAAGUACAUUUGGUUUCUGCAAAAGAAUGAAUGUAGUCGUAAUCCUUGUAAUAUACAUAGAUAACUUAGUUUAGUAAUUAUAGGAUAUCCUUUUUUGCUCCAUCCAUAAUAAGAUAUCGAUUCAUUCCCUCAUACCUUUGUGGUAUCAGAGCCAUUGUCUGAGUUGGUAUUUUGUAUUUAUCGGAGGUCACUAUGACUUCGCUGAGCACAUCGGAUUAGUUGUAGACUGUAGUUAGCAUUUAAAAGUUCUUUACGCGGACAUUAUUUGGAAAAAUCAUAUGCGCGAUCAAUGGCAACUUGAACUUAGCACUUUAGCAACAGUUGUAUCAUGUUGCUGUAUAUGGAAAAAUCGUGCGUAAGAGUUGUAUCAGUGCAUAUUAUAUCAAUUUUGAUAGCUACUUUUGCUAAAUACAGUAGUUUUCUUUACUCUUUUAAACUAUACUACAACAACAAACCUAGUGUAUUGCCACAAAGUGGGGUUUGAGGAGGGUAAAAUGUGUGCAGACCAUACCACUAACUCAGGUGAAGUAGAGAGGCUAUUUUCGAUAGACCCCCGGCUCAGGACAGAUAAUAGUAUAACAAACCAAAAAACAUAAAAUCACAAAACAAAAAUGGGAUAACACACCACUAGAUAAUAAAGAAAAUAAGGCACCCACAAGGUAAUACUAUAAACUAUCUAUUCGAAAUCAAAGUCAUCAUCGAAACACCACGAACAAGCAACUACUAGUGUAGACACAAACAUGAUGAACUCCUACCCAAUAACCCUCUACCCUAAUCUACGUCCUCCACACCUUCCUAUCAAGGCUCAAGUCCUCCUGUAACAGCUCUAUAUCAUGCCUAAUCACCUACCCCAUAAAAAACCAUCCAUAGCCUCUCACACCUCAGAACUGGAGCAUCCGUGCCCCUCUUUAUUACAUGCUCAAACCAUCACAAACUAUACUACAUUUCAUGAAUAAAGUGUAAAUAUUUUUCACGUCGCAUGGUUUUUCCUAGAAAUAACUUAACUAUAGUAAGGCGACAGAAAGUUGAGAUGACACAUAUUCAAAGUUUUUAUGAGAAUAUUUCCCAUAUCUUUAUUAGUUUGAGGCAGACACAAGAAGCAAACUAAGUGUUUCCAACGAGUAGUGAAGAGUUGCAGUGGGUCGCUUCUCAACUCAGGGACCUGUUCCAAGAUGAACUCACGCAAGAACUAGGAAGAUGAACAGUAAAAGUACGUGGAAAGAUUAAUAGCAGACACAAGAGUUUUACGUGGAAACUCUUUGCUCAAGGGAGAAAAUACUAUGACCUGCCUCCAGGAAUUAACCUCUUAAUCCUUUGUCCCUUGGCAAUAACUCUAUUACAAGGAAACACAAGUAGUAACUCUACUGCUUCAACCUCCAGCUAACUCUAACUGGACAUAACAAGCUAACUCUAAAUGAUUACGAAGAAAAAGGUUUGAACCUCAACACCUACUAAUAAUCAUAAGCAAAUGUAGGCAAACGUUUAAGAACAGUACAUAAGGACUCAACUACAACAAAGAAGUAAAAAUACAACUCGAUGAACCAUCAGUUCCAUGUUGCAGUGUAUAGUCUUUGAUUCAGUUUUUGAAAGAUAUUUAUAUGUGAGAAUAUGGAAGAGUUAGUUUUCUUGUUGAGGAAGAUGAUCAAUAUAUAGUAUGACACAAGAAAACUCAGGAGAGAUCUCAUUGGCUGAGGCAAAAAGGUGGCAACAUCUUUUUCCACCAACUUUUGUACUUUGUGUCAGCUGUGACUGUUAACCGUGUCCGUAGAAGCCUUUUCAUCACAAAAACUCCAGGAAACAGGUUCCAACAUGCAAAUUACAUAUAGUUUGUCAAUCAUCAAAACUACGGACUUAACAAGUAGUUUUCAUUGGUUGUCCCUUUUAUGGCCGGUUGUUUAGUAAAUGAUCCUGCUUUUAUUUCUCUUGCAACUUACGGACCUUUUUCAUCACAAUCAACAAAUAAUCUUUUUAACGAAAUUGAGAAAACAAUAGACCACGGUCUAAAUUAUUGUCAGUAACUACAAACGUCAAGGUUGGACAAUAUAUGAACAACCAUUAGGUAGGCGUUUGGCCGUGAAAACCAAAAAAAUUAACCUUAUUUGGAAUUUUCAAAGUUGGAGUUGUAUUACACCAUACAUUUUGCAAAUAUUUAUAAUUUAAACGUAUUUUUUCUUCUAUCUCAAGGUCGCUACUCAUUCUCUAUGCGUUCAACUCUUUUUUCUGAGUUAUUCAAACACAAAAUCAUUCUUUUGCUUCAGCGACUGUUAUGCCAAUACCAUGACUCAACAAUAUGUGUAUCGAGCAAACAUGGUUUCGAAUAGGUGGACCAAUAAUGCGAUGAAACUUAACAUGCCUCCAUUGUUCAAUCGUACUCAAACCAUUCUAUAAAUAUAGCCAUUCAUAAUCAAAAUACUACAUUCAAGUCCAACAGAUGAAUCAUAAGUACCUAAUUUUUCCUACUAAAGCUAGAUAUCUUCCCAGAACAAAGCACGUCGACCAGACAGCUAGAGAAGAACUUUUUGCUGAGGGAGCUCGUAGUCUGGUGCAACAACUCAACCAGACAGCCUUCGCGUCAACUGGAGCUUCAUUUGCGGAUACCAACACCAGCGCGGAACAACUGGUCUUUCUUGCUAUUGUAUAUCCUAUAUAUUUGGCGAAAGUAUCGAAUAGCCAGUGUCUUGCAUAUGCAAAGAUCUUCCGGUCCAACCUCCGAAAUUGUUCUCUUAAGCUUGUUUUCGGGAUCAUCACGACACAAAAACACCCCUAAAGCAGUAAUCCUGAAAGAGAAAACAAGCAAAAAUAGAUUACAAAGAUUGUCUUUUCACGAACUAAGAAAAAAACUAUCGAGAGAUUGAUAUAUACCCAUUUUUGUCGAUCUUUGAUAUAUACCCAUUUUUGUCGAUCUUACUCAUCGAGGAGAAUUUGUUUCCAGAAAUUUGUUGACGGUAAAAAGCACAUACAGCAUUCAAACAAAGCUCGUCAUCCGUAUAAAAUGCAGAAUAAAAAUCGUCUUCAAACGACCAUUCUAUACCCGACCUAUUCCCAGGAUUAGCCAAUUCUGGAAUAAAUGAUGUCAUUUGACCAUCAUUCAUGCUUCUUUUUCUCUUUCGCGUCGAAUUAGAGGGGCCUUUCAAGUGCACUUCCUUUUUCUGUCCACGACUUUUUGAAACACGUGCUAAUUAUGCAACAACCAAGAGGGUUGUUGUGUCUGUUGUCGCAAGUUAUUUCCUUUCAAACCGGUACAUGAGAGGAUGACUUCUCUUUCUAGGCAAGGACUCACGUGGAGAUAUGGUAAAAAAAUAUAUACCCCUUACGUGAAUUAUGUUUAGAACUAACGAUUUUUGUUUGAGAUGUUGUCAACAGCAUCCGAGAGGAUGAAAAUCUCAAAUCAAACCACAGGUGUGGACUACUCCGAAAAGGACCUUACCUCUAUCUUUUGCAGUAGAGAGGCUGUUGUAGAUAGUCACUCGACUAAAAAGAAAGAAAAAUGAAUCACGUUUGCAUGAAAACAUGACAAUAUGAAAAUAUAUACCUCUUACGUGAAUUAUGUUUAGAACUAACGAUUUUUGUUUGAGAUGUUGUCAACAGCAUCCGAGAGGAUGAAAAUCGCAAAUCAAACCACAGGUGUGGACUACUCCGAAAAGGACCUUACCUCUAUCUUUUGCAGUAGAGAGGCUGUUGUAGAUAGUCACUUGACUCAAAAGAAAGAAAAAUGAAUCACGUUUGCAUGAAAACAUGACAAUAUCGUAGCAAGAUACUAAGCAACUGAAAAGGGAAACCAAGACAAGACGAGAAAGGAAAAAAAAAUUAACCGCAGCAAAGUGGCUAGAUGGACAAAGUAACCAGCUUGUUCGGAUAAACAAUAACCUAAUAGGGCGCCAAUAAGCUAAAAAGGUGCAAUCAAAUACUAGAGCAACCAUAGCUUAGACCUAUACAACCCCUCAUAAAGCCGAUAGAUACAAGCACCAAACUAUUAUACGCGUAUGAAUGAAUAAAUGCACAUAAACCAAUAGUAACACAUAUCCGAUCCUAGUACCAAAUGUACCAAUUGUAUACACCUUCCCUAGCUCAGAAUCUCACAAAGGCAGGACCUAUGGCGAGCAUCCUUCUCAGGUACUGUGGCUCACAACAAAGGGGCGGGCCCAUAGGGGACUUGAGAUAUCCAUACACUACUUGGUCUCGAAACAGGACUUCCCAUAACCAUCAUAAUCAAUCUACUCCGUCCAAUACCGGAGAUCUAUCUAUCUAUAUAUAAGUAUAAUCGGUGCACGGUCUCAAAUUGCGACUAAAAGAGUGUCUAGUGUUUCUUUUUUUAUUUUUGGUGUGUCUGUUUGGUUGUGGUGGUGUUAGUUUUAGUGUAUCAUGAAGAACCAUCAGAAAAUAUGAAUCCUAAUAAGGGCAGCCCGGAGCACUAAAGCUCCUUUAUGCACGGUGUCCAGGGAAGAGCCCCACCACAAGGGUGUAUCGUACGCAGCCUAACCUUGCAUUUCUGCCAGAGGCUGUUUCCAAAGCUUAAACUCGUGACAGCAACUUUAAUACUUACUCCAAGGCUCCCCUUCUAACCGUCAUACCUUUUGAGUCUCGAUUCACCACUGCUAUUUCCGGUUGAGGUGCCAACCGGUUUUGGAUCAACAAAAGGCACGAUUUCCCAAUCUUCGCCUUGAGUAGAUUCCACGUUGUUAACACCAGUCGCACCAGUAGCUUGAAGGCCUGUUUCCACCUCCAAAUCUAUAGCAAAUUUUCAAAAAACACAUCCGACUCCAAAUUAGUUAAAUAAUUGAACGCGACAACUAACUAAAAUAGGUUUCGCAAAUGCAGUAAUAUUAUGAAACGAUACGUAACAAGUUGCAUGAAACAAUAAAAACACAUAAUAACAACAAUACCGUCAUCAUUUUUUCUCUCAUUUUCCACCAUAACAGAAACUUCAUCCUCAACCCUCUCAAUAUCUCCGCGUAGCAAUCCACGCUUUCAAUUGUCUCGUUCUCUAUUUCUUCGUUUCUCUCAGACAACAAAUCGUUGUCCUUCUUUUAGUACCUACGAUGCUCUUCUAUUAUCAUAUUAUACGUUUUUUACAUAUUCCUGUUUCUUUCCUUGAUUUUCUUUCCACAUUUCAUUAGAUAUCUUUGCACAAAAGAGUAGUGUUCUUCUUUAACAAUUCGUUUUUCCUUAAAGAUCUUCUGCGAUCGAUGUCCUCUUCGACGAAAAUGUGAUAAUAAUGAGAUUUUCUUGAUAUAGCGAAAAAGUGCGACGCAGCGAAAAAUCAAACUUUUUAGUUGAAAUGUAUAUAUAGGAACUUUGGAAGUGUGAAAAGAUGAAAGUGUACUACAUACAUUGGGAUUUGGGAAGAUAAAUGUAAAAGUGCAAAAUGUGAAAAAUAAUAAUUAGUAUUUGGUCAAGAUUUUACGAAUACAAAAAUAAUUAGUAUAGAUUAUUAUUUGAUCAGACCACAACAUACCUUGGAAUUGGGUAGAUAAGUUUAAAAAAGUAAAACGAAAAAAAAAAAAAACGCUUAAAAACAAUAAUUAAUAGUUGGUGAAGAUUGUAAGAAUAAUUACUAUAGGCUAUUAUUUAACUAUAUUACACCUUGGAAUUCGGGUAGAUAAGACUAAAAAAGUUAAACAGAAAAAAUACACUUAAAAACAAUAAUUAGUUUUGGUAAAGAUUUGAAGAAUGUAAGAAUAAUUAGCAUAAGUUAUUAUUUGACUACAUCACAAUAUACAUUAGAAUUCGGGUAGAUAAGUUCAAAAAAAGUAAAACAUGAAAGAUACAUUUAAAAAUAAUAAUUAGUAUUUGGUCAAUAUUUUAAGAAUACAAAUAUAAUAAGUAUAGAUUAUUAUUUGACCAGACCACAAUAUACCUUGGAAUUCGGUAGAUAAGUUCAAAAAAGUAAAACGUGAAAACACAUCUAAAAACAAUAAUAAAUAUUUGGUCAAUAUUUUCAGAAUAAUACAAAUAUAAUAAGUAUAGAUUAUUAUUUCAUCGGACCACAAUACACCUUGGAAUUCGGGUAGAUAAGUUCAAAAAAAUAAAACGUGAACAACCUAUUAUUUGUGGCAUAAGUCUAUAUUUUCUCACUAAGCAUAAAUUCGAUUGCUAAAGGACAAAAUCUAAAGAUCAGACUAUUUAAAGGGCACAACUCAUGAAAUUUCUUCCUAUUGCAUGUUCAAUAGCUCGUAAAUUACGAGUGACUAUUGAAUAUGUUUUGGAGAAGAUCUGUCAAUAUAUUUCCACAAAGUUUAACUUACGCCAUAUAUAAUUGAGACACCCAGUAGAUAUAUUGUAACACUCCGACGUCUUCUUAGCUAAAUUUCGUCCAUGGAAAGUCUAAGCAUUAGCUUCUAGAAUGGUUUAAAUUAAUUUUCAUGUAGAAUUUCCUACAUUUCAACCUUUCAUUACGUAGAUGACUAAAUUAGCUUUCCAACGAUAUAAGAUUCGUCCAAAACGGACCCUCAGUGAAGAAGUUAUGAAUAAUUUAUAGUUCAGUCGUAAACAUCAUCAUUUUGGUGUCUAGCGCAUCGCGGAGAGGGUAAAAUUGACAAUCGUCAAAUUCCAGUGGGGCUCAGCGUUGGUGGCGCAUCGCGGAGGCACCCAAUUUCCCACUCAUCAAAUUCCAUUGGACCACCGCGAUUGCGGCGCGUCGCGGUUGUUUUGCAAAAAUUUUUGAUUUUUGAAAGAGUCGCCACUUAAUUUUGAAAAGGAAUUAAGAAACCUUUAUAAAAUAUUUUAAACCAUUCAAAACAGGGAAAUCGUUUUAAGUUAGAGAUUCUAGAUAAGCGGUUCCUAUUAACAUUUUAGGAAGGUGUUAGGCAUGUAAAACGUCCGCUAACUUGCGGUUAUCCGAACUGUUUGAAAAUUGUCUUUUGAUUAACUUCGAAAAGAUUAAUUUGUAGAAAUAGUGAUUUGAUUUUUUUUUUUUAAAAAAAAAGACUUGUGUAAAAUAGAUUUAGGCGACUUAGUAGGGAUUUUAACUAAGUCUAAACAAAACUAAUAAACAAAUAAACGCAUAAAAGGGGAAGGGAGGAGAAAGUAAAGGAUUUAGGCCAUUAGGCCCAAAUCAACGAGACCUGUCCUAGUCUAGUUGGGCUUCCAACCCAUUUCACCUGUCCUAANNNNNNNNNNNNNNNNNNNNNNNNNNNNNNNNNNNNNNNNNNNNNNNNNNNNNNNNNNNNNNNNNNNNNNNNNNNNNNNNNNNNNNNNNNNNNNNNNNNNNNNNNNNNNNNNNNNNNNNNNNNNNNNNNNNNNNNNNNNNNNNNNNNNNNNNNNNNNNNNNNNNNNNNNNNNNNNNNNNNNNNNNNNNNNNNNNNNNNNNNNNNNNNUUUUUUUUGCAUGCAAAGAAAAGAUAAAGAAAUUAAUAUAUGUUCAAGGCAUAAAAGUGACAUAUUUCAAAGUAAAAGAAACUAUCAAGAAUCAAUUUUUGAAUGACAAGAAUAAGCACACUUGCACAAGAAUGAGAGCCAACAAAUAAAAAAUGCAAAGCAAAAGUUUCACAAUCAUACUAUGCAUCAGUCAAAAAUAUCCAAAUUAAAGAUAAGAUGAGGCGGAAGAUAAUGUGGGGGAAAAUAGUACAAUAUAGUACAAUCUUUGAAUUUCAAAUUAGAAAAGGACAAAGUUGGGGGGAGUAGUACAAUUUGAAUUUAUUUUUUGAUGGGAAUUGGGUAAAAGUAUUGAGAGUUCUUGAGAAUUUUGGGGUUAUUUAAAACAUAACCCAAAUUGGAAUUUAAAAUUUAGCCAUAUUUAUUUAUUUUGACCAAAUUAAAAAUUAAUUGAUCAAUUGCAUUGCAAUUAUGACCAAUUUUCAAAUAUGGUCAAAUCUAAUAUAUUGGCUAAAUUAAAUUAAAAUUCGAUACGAAUUAAUACCUUUUUUUUUUAUCCCGAGCUUCUUGAUUUAAUAAAAUGAAUGCAUAUUUAUCCAAAUAAAUUAUUUUUGAGAAUAAAUUAUAUUUAAAUUAAGAUUUUAAUCAUUUGAAUUUAUUUUCAAGAUAAGCCUUAAUUAAAUCCUAUAUUUUGUAAAAUAAAUAUUUAAGUAACAAAUUAUAUAAUUUCGUAUAACUGAACACGAUAGUAUAUAAUCGUUACUUAAAAUGACAAAAUCAAGUACGAAAAAUAUUUUAAGUUUUUUUAUUUGGAUGAAAUAAUUAUUUUGGUUUAUUAAAAACUGAAGAAACUCAGGAUUAAAUUUAGUCGUGGAGGGCAAAAAUUAGGUGUCAACAGUGGUGGCACCCGAAAUCGGGGUUUUUAAGUUCAAAUUUUCAGUUCCUUUUAGGAGUCAUUAAGGGUAAUUUUGACUUUUCCCUAACCUUUAAAACUGCCCAAGCAAAGGAUUUAGGGUAUGUUUGAGCAACUUAACCCUAUUUUCAUCAAUAUCAUCAAGAAUCCUCUCUAGGGUUUCAAAAAUAAAAACUCAAGUAGUUCAAGAUUCAACCGUAGAUUUUCGAAGUUGAUCGCAUAUUUGGAAUCCCCAGGUCGUAGGCUUCAAUAAGCACCUAUUGUCUUCCUAAUUCGAAGUACGCGGGAUUUUCCUAAAAUCUCAUGGGCAUAGAAAUCAUGUUUUAAGAAUGGGGUUUUGAAGUUUAUGAAUAUAAUCAUGUCUUAGAAGUUUUAACAGUAUUUUUUUGAUCUUUAGACCUUUCCCCCAAAUUGAUUUGCAAUUAUGUAUAUAUGUACGUAUGUGUUCAAGAAUAGUUAUUCAAUUGAGAGCAUGAAUUAUAAUGAAUCCCUCUCUUGUUAUGAGUUUUCACAUCUUCGUAUGAUAUAAAUUGUUUUGAAUGCAUUUUGAAAAGCAUGACAUGAAAUACUUUGGCUUUUUGCUAUGUUUUGAAUAUGAUUUUGAAUACAAAAGAGUGGGUUGUGAAUGUUGAAUAUACAUAUAAUGAAAGAGUGCAUGGUUUUGCCCAAAGCACAUGACCACCAUAUGUUCGAUGAAAGUUUUUGCAUGAUUUUGACUUGAGUUUCGGAACAUGAAAUCUUUUAUGCAAAUUACAUGUUUGGGUGGUCUGAACCUACAUUUUUAUGAAAGAUCAUGCUUAUUGCAUUAUGGCUCAGAAAUAGAACUUGCAAGUUUUGGUGUGACAACACCAACUCAGAAAAUGCCAUGAUAAAUUCAGAACAGAAUAGAAUGCAUGUUUGAAAUCAGAUUUACAGAUUUUGUGAUUAGAAUAUUGCAUGAUUAGCAUUGGUUAAAAAUUGGGCGGAAAGAGAUGUUAGGUGGUUCCCCGAAGAAGGCAUGAGUCUAGAUACUCAUUGCCCGAAACCGUGAUUUGCCGACCCGGGUAUAUCUUAUAUUACACUGGCCUAGUGCCGUGUAGCGUAUUAGAAUUAGAGACUCCAACCCUUGCAUCAUACUCGGGUUGGAGGCUUCUCUGCCGAGUCAAUGGCGGAUUCCAUAUAGCCCGUGGAAUAUCAGAAAAUGUAGGGAAGUGCCGCCUAACUCAGAAGUAAUACAAAGGUCAGAACUGUUUUGACAAGAAUGACUUAUGAUUUUUGAAUGAUGCCCAUGUGUUUUCAGAAACUUUUUUAUGCAUGAUAUUUGAUGAAAAAUUGCUCUCAUAUUAUAUAUAUAUAUACCCCUCCUCCCUCCAGGUUCUGAGGCACAGUCUAGAGGACCAGAUAAACAGUAGAUAUUUUAGAUCACAGAUCAGGUUGUACAGUGGUGAGCCUUCUAUGAUCUAGAAGGCCUGGUUAUCUCAGAUAAUUAUCUUUAGUUAUGUUUUGGUAUACUGGGGGCCUUGUCCCAAUUUUCAGACAUUUUGUUUUAGUCCAUAGUAGAGAUUUCGCAGACUGAGUCAGACAUUAUUAUUUAGAUAUAUGUUGGAUUUCAGUUUUCAGUGUUAUGAUCACAUUCAGGUUGACCAUGUUUCCGUAUUAGAUUUCUAUUUCCACAUUAUCUUUUAUUAUAUGAAUAUUGUGCAUCAUUACUAGAUAAAGAAGGGUGUUCCGGGCCUACGUGGUUCGGAAUGCUCGUUACGGCCAGGGCCUCAGUUCGGGUCAUGACAAACUUGGUAUCAAAUCACGGUUCAUGGUCCCAGGGUGUCUGUGAAAUCACGCCGGGUAGAGUCUUUUUAUGGGUGUGUAGCGCACCAUACUUAUAAGCAGGAGUGUACUAGGCGUUUAGGAAAUAUUUUUCUUCUUUGUGAUUUAGUUCGUGCUUCAGAGUCAAGUCUGUUCCUAAUCAGUGAUCUUUCGUCUUACAGAAUUAACAGUCAUGCAUCCUCGUCGCAAUACUAAUCAGAGUACUCAAAUGAUGAAGUUUGUCCCACUCAUGGGAUGAGGGCACGUAACAGAGCUUCCACUCCAUACCCUGUCCCUACUUCGGGAGUCCCUCUAGUCCCAACCAGUCCACCUCGGGCUCGACGGACCAAUGUUAACCGUCCCCCGACUUCUCAGAGGGAUAUUUUGAAUGCCGAAUUCAGACAGUCUAUUCAUAUGCUAGCACAGUUGGUGGCUAAUCAGGCUCAACGAUCGAAAGAUGUUGGGUCUGCGUCAGUGACGUCGGAGGCUACUAGGGUAGGACAGUUCAUAAGAAUGAACCCACCCAAGUUUACCAGCACCAAGGUAGAAGAAGAUCCGCAAGAAUUCAUAGAUAAAAUAGAGAAAAUUUUCAAAGUGAUGCAUGUGGAUCAGAUGAAAGGUGUUGAGUUGGCAGCCUACCAGCUGAAGGAUGUAGCAAACCAAUGGUACAAUGAGUGGGAGAAUGCAAAGGGUGACAAAUCUGAGCCCAUAGUUUGGGAUGAGUUUGUAGAAGCUUUCCUUGAAAGGUUCUUUCCUCUGGAGCUGAGGGAAACUAAAAUAGAGGAGUUCAUGAACCUCAAGCAGGGUAAGAUGAGCGUGCAGGAGUACACUUUAAAAUUUAAUCAGCUGACCCGUUAUGCUCCCUAGAUGACAAGUAGUAUGAGGGUCCAAAUAAGAAAGUUUGCUUUCGGCCUUUCAGAUGAUCUGGUUCUUGAGUGUCAGGGAGCUAUGCUGAACAAGGAGUUGGACUUUGCUAGGCUGACAGUUCACAUGCAAUAGAUAGAGGAGAAGAAAAAGAAGAUUUCUGAAGCUAGGUAGAAAAAAAGACAUGCAAAAAGAUCUAGAUCUGUCGACCAGGGUUACAGUCAGCCUCAAAGUGGUAAGUGGAGAAAUAAAUGGCAGAAGAAGAAGAAUUGGAGUAAUGCACAGUCUUCUGCCAGUGCCCAAGUACCCAGACCACCAGUAGAUAGACGGUCUCAAAGUUUCCAGGCUCAUCAUGGAUCCAGAGCACCGGAUACUCAGUUGCAGGGUAGUGUGGCUCAGCAGCAUUGUACUUUUCCACGGUGUGAGAAUUAUGGUAGAAAUCAUCUAGGGAGAUGUCAGUUGGGCGCAUUUAUAUGUUAUUCAUGUGGUCAAUCGGGUCAUAUUUAGAGGGAUUGUCCAUCUUCUAGGAAGAAUGUUAGUGGUGCAAAGUCUCAGGCAAAUUCUUCGGCACCACCCCCGCCUCAAAAGGGCUCCACAUCAACUGCUGAGAGCGGUUGCAACUGGUUAUAUGCUUUGACCAACUGCCAGGAGGCGGAAGUUUCCCCAGACGUUGUCACCGGUACAUUACAAAUCUUUUCUCGUGAUGUUUAUGUGUUACUUGAACCUGGGUCUACCCUAUCCUAUGUGACCCCUUAGUGGCUGUUGGUUUCGGGUUUGAGCCCGAUAUGAUUUUUGAACCUUUCUCUGUUUCCACUCUGGUGGGUGAUUCUGUUGUGUCUAGGAGGGUGUAUAAAAAUUGUGUGGUAUCUAUUCUUAGCCAUGAUACUGUGGCAGACCUCAUAGAACUCAAUAUAGUUGCUUUUGAUACUAUCUUAGGGAUGGAUUGGCUCCAUUUGUGCUAUGCCACGUUAAAUUGUAGGACUCGAAGAGUCACUGUUUCUUUCCCAAAUGAGCCAGUGAUAGAAUGGGAGAGACAUUUCUUAGCACCUAGAGGGCACUUUAUAUCCUAUCUCAGGGCCCGCAGACUCAUUUCUAAGGGCUGUUUGUAUCACUUUAUCCGGGUUAAGAACUCUAAUGCCGAGAGUCUUCCUCUUCAGUUUGUCCCUGUAGUAAAUAAAUUUCCAGAAGUCUUUCCAGAUGAUCUCCCAAAAAUACCACCUGAUAGGGAGAUAGAGUUUGGUAAUGAUGUGUUUCCAGAUACCUGCCCCAUCUCUAUUUCACCAUAUAGAAUGGCUCCUGCAGAACUAAAAGAGUUGAAAGAACAGCUAGCAGAUCUUCUAGGUAAAGAUUUUAUACGCCCCAGUGUGUCUCUUUGGGGUGCGCCUGUACUUUUUGUGCGAAAGAAAGACGGUUCCCUUCAUAUGUGCAUAGACUACCAUCAACUGAAUAAGGUCACUAUUAAAAAUGAGUAUCCUCUUCCUAGGAUUGAUGAUCUUUUUGACCAGCUUCAGGGUGCUAGAUGUUUUUCAAAGAUAAACCUUCAUUCGGGAUACCAUCAGUUGAAGGUUAGAGAGUGAGAUAUUCCCAAAAUAGCUUUUCGAACCAAGUCAUUAUGAAUUCUUAGUCAUGUCCUUCGGAUUGACUAAUGCCUCUGCAACUUUCAUGGACCUAAUAAAUAGGGUCUUUCGUCAGUUUCUGGAUCUGUUGGUGAGAUUAUUCAUUGAUGACAUUCUUAUAUAUUCAAAAAGUGAGGAGGACCAUGCCAAUCACCUCCGAAUCAUAGCUUGUAUGCAAAAUUCUCCAAGUGUGAAUUCUGGCUUAAUGCCAUUGCGUUCUUGGGUCAUAUUGUGUCUAGUGACGGUAUUCAGGUGGAUCCCAAAAAGGUUGAGGCAGUAAGAAAAUGGCCUUGACCCACGACUCCAACCGACAUUUGAAGCUUCUUAGGGCUGGCAGGUUAUUACAGAAGGUUCGUAGAGAGUUUUUCCUCCAUAGCUGCUCCGCUCACUAAAUUGACUCAGAAAAAGGUGAAGCUUGUGUGGUCUGACUUAUGUGAAAAUAGCUUUGAGAAGUUGAAAGACAAGCUGACUACUGCUCCUGUUUUGACUCUUCCAGAGGGGGUAGAAGGUUUUGUGGAAUACUGUGAUGCAUCCCGUGGGGGACUUGGUUGUGUUCUGAUGCAGCAUGGUAAGGUGGUAGCUUAUGCGUCUAGGCAGUUAUAAAAUCAUGAGCAAAACUACCCCACUCAUGACUUGGAGUUAGCAGCUGUGGUGUUUGCACUUAGAAUUUGGAGGCAUUAUCUCUAUGGAGUGCAUGUUGAUAUUUAUACUGACCACAAAAGUUUGUAGAUAGGCUGACCAAGUCAGCGCACUUUCGUCCUAUCAGGAGUAACUAUUUGGGAGAGGAUUAUGCUAGGUUGUUCAUCGCUGAAAUAGUUCAUUUGCAUGGGGCAUCUGUGUCUAUCAUAUCCGACCGAGGUACACAGUUUUCUUCUCAGUUUUGGAAAUCUUUUCAGAAAGGUUUAGGUACCUAAGUGAACCUAAGUACAACUUUCCACCCUCAGACUGAUGGGCAAGAUGAGCGCACCAUCCAGACCCUUGAGGAUAUGUUGAGGGCCUGCGUAAUUGACUUUAAAGGUAGUUGGGUAGAUCACUUUCCAUUGAUAGAGUUCGCUUAUAAUAACAAUUUCCAUUCCAGUAUUAAGAUGACACCAUUUGAGGCGCUGUAUGGUAGGAGAUGUAGGUCUCCGAUAGGGUGGUAUGAAGCAAGUGAGAUGCAGAUGUUUGGGCCUAAUCUUGUUCACUAGGCAAUGAAAGAUGUGAAGCUUAUUAGAGAACGACUUAAAACAGCUCAGAAUCAUCAGAAAUCCUACGCCGAUGUUAGGAGGAGAGAGUUAGAGUUUAAGGUUGGAGAUUGGGUAUUUCUUAAGGUUUCUCCUAUGAAGGGAGUUAUGCGAUUCGGGAGGAAGGGUAAGCUGAGUCCUCGCUAUUAGGACCAUACCAGAUUGUGAGAAGAAUAGGUGGAGUUGCGUAUGAAUUAGAGUUGCCUGUAAGUUUGGGUUCUGUCCAUCCGGCAUUUCAUAUAUCCAUGCUGAAGAAGUGCAUUGGAGAUCAUUCGUUAGUAGUACCCGUCGAAGAAAUCAAGGUGACAGACUCCUUGUCCUACGAUGAAGAGCCGGUAGCAAUUUUGGAUCGCCAAGUUAGAAAGUUGAGAAGCAAAGAUUGUUUCGAUUAAAGUGUUAUGGAGAAAUCAGAAAGUCAAAGAAGCAACUUGGGAAUCAGAAGAUGAUAUGAGAGAUAGAUACCCAAAUUUAUUUGAUCCGGUGAAUGAAGUGAUGGAAGGUACAAUCUUUGUCCUUUUCUUUCCAUGCCUUUGUCUGCUUGAAAUCGUGCUUGUCUGUUUUCCGCAUCAUCAUUCGGGGACGAAUGAUCCUAAGGGGGAUAUUGUAACACCCCGACGUCUUCUUAGCUAAAUUUCGUCCACGGAAAGUCUAAGCAUUAGCUUCUAGAAUGAUCUAAAUUAAUUUUCAUGUAGAAUUUCCUACAUUUAAACCUUUCAUUACGUAGAUGACUGAAUUAGCUUUCCAACGAUAUAAGAUUCAUCCAAAAUGGAUCCUCGGUGAAGAAGUUAUGAAUAAUUUAUAGUUCCUGUCGUAGACAUCGUCAUUUUGGUGUCUAGCGCGUCGCGGAGAGGGUCAAAUUGACAAUCAUCAAAUUUCAGUGGGGCUCCGCGAUGGUGGCGCGUUGCGGAGGCACCAAAUUUUCCACUCGUCAAAUUCUAGUGGACCACCGCGAUUGCGGCGCGUCGCAGUGGCACCCGAAAUUGGAUUUUUUAAGUUCAAAUUUUCAGUUCCAUUUAGGAGUCAUUAAGGGUAAUUUUGACUUUUCCCUAACCUUUAAAACCGCCCAAACAAAGGAUUUAGGGUAUGUUUGAGCAACUUAACCCUAUUUUCAUCAAAAUCAUCAAGAAUCCUCUCUAGGGUUCCAAAAAUAAAAAACCAAGUAGUUCAAGAUUCAACGGUAGGUUUUCGAAGUUGAUCGCAUAUUUGGAAUCCCCAGGUCGUAGGCUUCAAUAAGCACCUAUUGUCUUCCUAAUUCGAGGUACGCGGGGUUUUCCUAAAAUCUCAUGGGCAUAGAAAUCAUGUUUUAAGAAUGGAGUUUUGAAGUUUAUGAAUAUAAUCAUGUCUUAGAAGUUUUGACGGUAUUGUUUUGGUCUUUUGACUUAUUCUAAUCAACUUUCUGGUCCCAUUCCUAGUGAAUUGGGAAAAUGCAACAAAUUGACUGAUUUGCAAAUAGCGAGAAACAGAAUUGGAGGUAGCAAACCACCACAGAUUGGAAAUGUCAAAGGGCUUCUAGGACUUGAUCUUUCAUCGAAUCAUUUGAUCGGGCAGAUUCCAAAGGAAUUUGGAAAAUUAACCUCUCUGAUUAGGCUUUUGGUGCAAAACAACAGUAUUUCAGGCAAUAUACCUCUCGAAUUUGUAUCACUGGCAAAAUUAGAGUACCUUGAUCUAUCUGAUAACAGAUUGAAUGGAUCGAUCCCGACAUGUAUAGGAGAUUUCGUGCACUUGUUUCGUGCAAUAACAAAUUUGGCCAAAACAUUCCAACUGAGAUAGGGAGGAUGACUCAUUUUAAUGUACUUGAUUUGAGUCAUAAUCUUCUGGUUGGAGGUAUUCCCCCUCAGCUGGCAAAUUUGAAGGUGUUGGUAGACUUAAAUCUUUCCCACAACGGCCUGUCCGGGCACAUUCCUGAAGAACUUGAAAGUAUGACUGGUUUGCAGGAUGUUUUUCUGUCAUACAAUGAGUUGGAAGGUCCAAUCCUUUUUUUCAAACACACUUAAAUGUUCUUAAUCUGAUUUACGCGUUUAAAUCGUGUUGUUUCAGAGCUUGCAUAUACAAUGAAGGUUACACAAAUGUGUGAUGUCUAUAGCUUUGGAGUAUUAGCAUUGGAGAUAAUCAAAAAGCAUCUUGGUGAGUACAUUACUGUGCUAGCAAAUUCAUCUACUAUGGAUCAUCAUGUGCAACUUAGUGAUUUUCUAGAUGAACGCCUUCCGUAUCCUGAAGAUAGAGUAAAUGAACUUUUGGUUUUUAUCAUCAAGCUAGCAAGCUCUUGUUUGGUUGAAACUCCAAAAUCAAGGCCAACAAUGCAAUUCAUCUCUCAUAAGUUAUCAUCAAUGGAUGCUUAUGCCCACCCAUUAUUCCUGUAAGGCGAUCUUUCUAAUUCCGUAAAGUGUCUUUGAAUGAAAAUGUAUGUAUAGCUUUUGACCCACGACGAAAUUAUUACCGGGUCUAGUAUAUUUGUAUUGUUAGGGUGCUUGUGUGGUUUAUUGUAUUAGUGUGUACAAUUUUGAAGGUAAUUGUUCCUUGUGCCAAAAAGUAAACAAAAAAACAAGCUUCAUGUUUUCUAAGUACUGAUGUUAUAUAGAGGAUUUACUAGUCUACAUCGUUUAGUAAUUUGAAGGUGAGCCUUGGAGUAACUGGUAAAGUUGUUGCCAUGUGACCAGGAGGUCACCGGUUCAAGCCUUGGAAAUAGCCUCUGGCAGAAAUGCAAGGUAAGGCUGCGUACGAUACACCCUUAUGGUAGGGCCCUUCCCAGACAUAGCGCAUAGCGGUAGCUUUAGUGCACCAGGCUGGCCCUUUUUUUUUUUUAUAAUCAAAAGAAAGCAUCACAGGGAAUAUAUUACUUUGCUAGCGAAUUCCUCAACUGUAGAUCAACCAUGUGCAGUUCAGUGAUUUGCUGGAUGAACACCUUCCUUAUCCUGUAGACGGAGUAAAACAAGUCUUGGUUUUCAAUUUUCAUCAUCAAGCUAGCAAGCUCUUCCGGGAGUCCAUCGGAAACAUCCUCUCUACUUCUUUGGAGGUAGCGGUAUGGACUGCGUACAUCUUACCCUCUCCAGACCUCACUUUGUGGGAAUACACUGGGUUUGUUGUUGUUGUUUUUGUUAAGCUAGCAAGCUCUUGUUUGAUUGGAACUCCAAAAUCGAGGCCAACAAUGCACUUCAUCUCUCACAGGUCAUCGAACUUCAAUGGAUCCACGUCCAUCUACUCAUGUAAAACGAGCUUUGUAAUCUCUGAGAUGUAAGGUGUCUUUGUAUGAAAUGAAUAACCAUUGAAAGUUUGAAACCAAGUGGUUGUGUAAGUAAUACAAUGAGAAGGUCCAAGAUAAAAAUUAUUACUCAGACUAGGAAUUUAUGUGACUAUGCCUUCCAGGUACUUUAACUACUUAAGAAAAUAAGACAUUUAACUACUAGGUUUGCUCAAGCAAGUUUUUGCCACGACCCGAACCGGGGCCCUAGCCGUGAUGAGCAUCCCGAACCAUGAAGGCCCGGUAUGCACAAUUCUUAUAUAAAAUAAUGCAGAAAUAUAAUCAAUACGGAAUCAUGGUCAUGUUCUGGGUCAAGUAUAUCAAUACGAAAGAAAACCCAUCAACAUGUAAACAACAUCUGUUUCUGUUUCCGAAAUCUCUAAUACAUACAAAAUAAGCAAACUGUCUGAAACUGGGACAAGGCCCCCAGUGGACCUAAACCAAAGUAAAUGACAAAUGUCUGAAAAGAAACAGGCCUUCCGGAAUAAAGAAGGCUCACCAACUGCACACUUCUGUAUGAUAAUUCUACGGCUUAGCAGGACCUCUAGAUUGAGCCUCAGACCCUGAAAUAUAGGGGGGAUCAAUAAAAUUGUACUAGUAUGUGAAGCAACUCAAAAUAACAUGUUUUUAUACAAAAUAGAUGAGAGCAUUUCACAAUAAUAAUAAACAUUAUAUAAGUGGAAAUACAUGGGCAUAUUUAACAAAUUUAAAGUUCAAUUCUUGACAAUCUUAACUCACUUUUUGUCAUUAUUUUGAGCUAAUCGGUACACCCUACAAUUUGUAAUUCCAUGGGCUAUAUGGAAUCAUUUACUCGACGGCCAAGCCUCCAAUCCAAGUGUCCCACAAGAAUUGGAGUUUUAGUAACAUGGAAUACCCCUUACAAGUAUACUGUGGUAUCACCCUUGCAUGAUGUCCGCAUUAUCCCCCUUAUAGGAUAAUACCCGUAUCAGCAACUACGGUUUCCAAUGAUGAGCCCUUACACUCAAAUGCCUUCUUCGGAUAACCAAUUAGCUCUCUUAAGCCCAAAUUUUAAUUAUUCAAAAUCUGGUAUCACCCUUGGAUGCUUCGUGUUUUCAAACGUUCAAUACUUUUUCUAUUAAGGGCAUGUCAUCAUCGGGUAUCGUCAUACCCUGACUUGCAAGUCAAUAUCAUAUCAAAUUCACAGCCCAUAUUAUAUUCAAAACAUGCACAUGACCACCAAUGAAAUUCAUAACAUUACAAUAGAGUCAUCACUUGGAAACCUCAAGAACAUUUAAGCAUUUAUCCUCUCUUGGCAAGAUUUCAAAACAUGUGGUGGUCAUGUAAAAUUGAUCAAUCUCAUGUGAUUCUCCCCCCUUUAAAACAAGAAUAUAGUUAUAGCAAGAAACUCCCUCUCAUCACAUAUAAACCAUGUCAAACACCAUAAUAUUGAGAAGAUCACUUUCAAAUCUUAAAACAUGUGUUUCAAUUCCUUCACAAUGAACAUAUAAACUUUAGUUAGCAACGAGAGGGGAUUCAUGCUCAUGCUCUCAAUCAAUUUUACAAAAUACACAAAAUCCCAUACAUAUAUAGUUAUAAUUCAAUUUCCAUGAAAAGUGAUUCAAGACAAUAUAUAUUUUCAUCAAAACAAUCCCAUGAUGCAUACCUUCCAAAAACCAUGUAGAAUACUUCAUUAUAAAACAUAAUUGGGGAUCUUUAAUCUUGAUAAAAAUAUUUAAACUUAUGCCCAAGGUUUUUAGAGUAGUCCCACACACCUUAGAUUAUCAGAUCUGAAAGAUUGAACCCGAAUGUUGAUAUAUUUCCUUCAAAACUUGGCUUAAGAGUCAGGGAUUUUUUUCUUGUUCUUGGGGAAAUGGAGGAUGAUUUUUGAUUUGGGGAGAAUAUGAAUUUGGGGAAAGUGCAGAUUUAGGGAUAAAAUUUGGUGUUAUAGCUGAGGUAAGAUGAGGAAAAAUACUAAAAUACCCCUAAGGAAACAAAAAAAGUUCACAGCUUGCUAAUUUACUCGGAAGCAACAUUAUUUUGACCCUCAUUCAUGCUUCUUUUUCUCUUUUGCGUCGAAUUAGAGGAGCCUUUCACAUGCACUUCCUUUUCCUGUCCACGGCAUUUUGAAGCACGAGCAAUUUCAUUUGACGUCAUAUCAUCAUCACUGUCAUUCAUCAUACGAAGAGACAUAGUUUCUGGUUUGUCUGCGAGAAAAUAUAUGUAACAUAUUAAGUUAGCUCCUUUUAAAUUGACGUACGAAACUCAUCUUCCCAAUAAAAGUGUGAUAUCCUCCAAUAUAAGUCACACAACAACAACAACGUACCAAGUAUAAUCCCACAAGCGAGACCUGAGACGGGCAGGGUAGGAUGUAUGCAAACUUUACCUAUACCAUUACGGGGUAGAGAGGCUGUUUAAGAUAGUCCCUCGGCUCAAAAGAAAGAAAAAUGAAUCAUGUUUGCAUGAAAACAUGACAACAUCCUACUAAAAGGGGAAAACCAAGACAGACGAGAAAGGGAAAAAAUUAACUACAGCAAAGUGGCUAGAUCGACACAGCUAAAAAAGUGUAACAGUGGACGAAGUGGAAGUCUUGAGGAUACGAUGCAACUGUUUUUCGCAGUCGCUUUCUACUUGAGCGUCUAGUGUUUCAUUUUUUAUUUUUUCUGUGUGUGUUUGUGUGAUUGUGGUGGUGGUGUUUUUAGUAUAUAACGAAGAAUCGUCAGAAAACAUCAUACCUAUAACCGUUCAACAGAACAACAGUAACUACGCUAUACCUCAAUCCAAAGAGUUGAGGUCGGCUAUAUGAAUCCUAAUGAUAUAUGCACAUAAUAUAGACAGAUCAUAAUAACAACAAAGUCGUCUAAAUCACAAAACCGUUAUACCUUUGUGUAUUGAUUGACCACUGCUAUUUCCGGUUGAUGUGCCAACCAGUUUUGGAUCAUCAUAAAGCACAAUUGCCCGAUCUUCACCUUGAGAAGAUUCCACGCUGUUAACGCCAGUCACACCAGUAGCUUGAAGGCCUGUUUCCACCUCCAAAUCUAUAUCCAAUUUUCACGAAACAAACACAUCACGAUAAAGAAUUUUCCUCGUUCAGAACGAGAAAAUCUAACAUCUAACUCUUUGAACAACAAAAAAGGUAUGAGAAUAGAAAAUAUAAGUCACACAACUGAUCAAAAUGUAUUCAUUUGCUUUUCGUAGCAUCAAUCAUCAUUUACCAAACUAUAUCCGACUCCAAAUUAGUUGAUUAAUUGAAUACCACAAAUAAUUAAAAAAGGUUUUACAAAUACAGUAAAAUCAAGAUCUACCAUUAACAUAACAAGUUGUAAGGAGGAAAAACUAAACAAAAAUAAUCGACGUAUAUUCACAUAAUGUCAAGAAUGAACCUUAGGCCUAACUCAACCACAAAAGCUAGCUCAAGAGAUGAGGAUUACCCAAGUCCAUAUAAGCAAACCACUAGUCCAUUCCCCAACCAAUGGGGGAAUUUUACCCACUCUAACACCCCCCUCAUGCCCAGGCCCAAUUGGCACUGGCGCGUGGAUCGGGAGCCCAAAACGGGAAUGGACCUGGCUCUGAUACCAUGUCAAGAAUGAACCUUGGGUAAUACUCACCUCAUGAGAUAGCUUUUGAGGUUGAGUUAGGCCCAAGGUCCAUUCUUGACAUGGUAUCAGAGCCUUCUCUUGGCUGUCUUGUUUCAUAGAGUUCAUUUGUGGUUUCUUUCAGUCUUUUUGGAAAAUUUUGGUUUUUGUUGAUUGUUCCUUGACAAUUAACACCUUGUAUUUCGAUCUUGGUCAUUUUGGUUAUUCUUUUUAAGUCAGUGUUUCUAGUUUUCAUAAAUAUGACUUCAUAUCAGUUUGAAUCAUUCGGUUUUCAUUUCACUGGAAAGAAUUUCUUGUCAUGUGAGUUUCAGUUUCAGUUAUUUGUCACUGGAAAAGAACUAUCGGGCCAUAUAGAUGGAGCCGAUCCUGCUCCUAUUGAUCCUACAAAGUUAGGUGAAUGGAAGAUUAAAGAUGCUCGGGUAAUGACAUGGCUUUUAAGGUCAAUUAACCCUCUUAUUGUUCUUAAUCUCAGGCCUUACAAGAUAGCUAAAGCCAUGUGGGAUUAUUUACAAAGGGUUUACAAACAAGAUAAUAGUUCCCGACGCUGUCACUUAAGAGUAUGAAAUUGCUAAUUACUCUCAAGAAGAUCUUUCUAUUCAGGAUUAUUUUUCUGGAUUUUAGAACUUAUGGGCUGAAUUUAUAGAUAUUGUUUAUGCCAAAAUACCGGAUGAAUCUCUCUCUGUAGUUUAACAAGUUCAUGAGAAAAGCAAGCGAGAUCAAUUUUUGAUGAAGUUACACUCUGAGUUUGAGACUGUUCACUCCCACUUGAUGAAUCGUGACCUGUCUCUCUCCUUGGAUGUCUGUUUAAGGGAAUUACUCCGGGAAGAGCAGUGUUUUGUCACACAAAAUGCUUUCAAGCAAGUUGAUGAUAUAGUUGUUACAUUUGCUUCCCAAGGUAAAGGAAAGGGUAGGGAUAUGACUAGAACUCAAUGCUACAGUUGCAAGGGAUAUGGUCAUAUUGCUAGCAAUUGUGGCAGGAAGUUUUGUAAUUAUUGCAAACAAUAAGGACACAUUAUCAUAGAGUGUCUCACACGCCCUCAAAACCAUAAGGUUAAUGCUUUUCAAGCUGGGACAAAUGGUUUCACUACUGAGAACUCAUCUUUGGGACAAGUUCUUACUCCUGAAAUGGUAAGACAAAUGAUCAUGUCAGCUUUUUCAGCUUUAGGGCUACAAAGUAAUGAUCUUGCAUCUAAUAUUUAGCUUGUUGAUUCAGGAGCUUCCAAUCAUAUGACCAACUCAUCUAGUAUGCUAAAAAAUAAUCAUAAGUAUCAUGGUCCAUCGCAAAUUGAAGUUGCCAAUGGUAGUAGUUUACCCAUUACCAAGGUUGGGGAUAUUACUAAAACUUUCAAUAAUGUUUUUGUGUUACCAAAGCUCUCCACUAGUCUUAUUUCAGUUGGACAAUUGAUAGAUAACAAUUGUGAUGUGAAUUUGUCUCGUAAUGGUUGUCUUGUGCAGGAUCAGAUCUCAUAAAGUUGGACGCUUUCAAUAAUGUUUUUGUGUCACCAAAGCUCUCCACUAGUCUUAUUUCAGUUGGACAAUUGAUAGAUAACAAUUGUGAUGUGAAUUUGUCUCGUAAUGGUUGUCUUGUGCAGGAUCAGAUCUCGUAAAGUUGGACGACUGUUUCCCAUACACUUUUCCAUUCCUCGUGUUCCAUCAUUUGCUUGUACUUCUACACCUAGUAAGACUGAGGUAUGGCAUAACCUCUUAGGACAUCCAAAUUCUAUUGUGUUAUCUCAUGUAUCAAAUUUGGGUUUAUUGGGGAACAAAAAUCAAUUUUUCACUGCUUCCUUUGAUUGUUCCACUUGUAAAUUAGGCAAGAGUAAAAUUCUUCCUUUUCCUAAUUUUGGUAGUUGUGCUACAAAGUGCUUUGAUGUCCUUCAUAGUGAUGUUUGGGGUAUUUCACCAAUUGUUUCUCAUGCCCAUUUCAAGUACUUUGUGACAUUUAUAGAUGAUUAUAGUCGAUUUACGUGGGUAUAUUUUCUUCGUUCCAAAUCUGAGGUAUUUUCCAUAUUCAAGACAUUUUUGGCCUAUAUUGAGACUCAAUUUUCUACUUGCAUCAAAUUAUUGAGAUCUGAUUCUAGUGGAGAAUAUAUGUCUUAUGAGUUCAAAAAUUUUUUGCUUGAAAAAGGAAUUGUCUCACAACGCUCUUGUCCAUAUACACCACAACAAAAUGGGCUUGUUAAACGUAAAAAUCGUCAUCUUUUAGAUGUCACUCGUACUUUAUUAAUUGAGUCCUCUGUUCCAUCUAAGUAUUGGGUGGAAGCUUUGUCUACUGCUGUUUACUCAAUUAAUAGACUACCAUCUUAAGUCUUAAAUCUUGAAUCUCCAUAUUUUCGUCUUUAUCACAAAAAUCCAAGCUAUGAUAAUUUUCAUACAUUUGGUUGUAUUUGUUUUGUGCAUCUUCCUCCUUCUCAGCGUAAUAAACUUUCCGCUCAGUCUACUAAAUGUGUUUUUAUAGGUUAUAGUACUUCACAGAAAGGUUUUCUCUGUUAUGAUCCAUGUUCUAAUAAAUUUCAUGUUUCUAGAAAUGUUGUUUUCUUUGAGAAUCAAUAUUUUUUUUGUACUCAUGUUGAGUCAUCUCCUGCUUCUCUUCUUCUUCCUACUUUUGAGAAUUUGUCAUCUUCUUCUAAGAGGUUGAAACUUGGAUUUGUGUACGAACGUCGUCGGCCAACAUUACCCCCUCCUGAUAUUGAUCUGCCACCUGAAACUGCUACACAACUAGAAUUGAGAAUUCUUUAAGGCCUGCUCCUCUUGAGCCCAGUCGGCGAUCUACGAGAGUAUCUCGUCCUCCUAAUUGGUAUGGAUUUUCAUUAACUUUAUCUACCAUUUCUAUUCUAACUUGUUACUCACAAGCUUCCAAGCAUGAUUGUUGGCAGAAAACAAUGGAGGAAGAACUUUUGGCUCUUAAAGAAAAUGACACAUGGGAUAUUGUUUCAUGUCCUUCAAAUGUCCAUCCAAUUGGAUGUAAAUGGGUUUAUUCAAUUAAAAUUCAUUCUGAUGGAAUUCUUGAUUGGUACAAAGCUCGGUUGGUUGUUCUUGGUAACAAAUAGGAGUAUGGUGUGAACUAUGAAGAGACUUUUGCACCGGUAGCAAAAAUGACGACGGUGCAAACUAUUAUUGCCAUUGCUGCUUCACAAAACUGGACGCUUCAUCAAAUGGAUGUCAAGAAUUCUUUUCUUCAUGGUGAUCUCAAAGAGGAUAUUUAUAUGAAACCUCCACCAGGUUUGUUCUCAUUACCUACAUCAGAUGUAUGCAAGUUGAGGCGGUCUCUGUUUGGAUUAAAACAAGCUCCCAGAGCUUGGUUUGACAAAUUUCGGUCUACUUUGCUACAAUUCUCUUUUGAGCAAAGCAACUAUGACUCAUCUUUCUUUCUUCAGAAAAAAUCCACAGGUUGUGUCCUUCUUUUGGUAUAUGUCGAUGACAUUAUUAUUACAGGAACUGAUUCUUCACUAAUUACUAGCGUGCAACAAAAACUUAAGGAUUCUUUUCAUAUGAAAGAUCUUGGUACUCUUACAUAUUUCUUGGGUUUGGAAGUUCAUCGUGAUUCAUCCGGUGUGUUUCUAAAUCAACACAAAUAUACCCAAGAUUUGAUUUCUUUGGUAGGUCUUUAGGAUUCAUUCUCUGUGGAUACUCCAUUAGAAUUGAAUGUAAAGUAUCGCCGGGAGGAAGACGAUCUUCUUCCUGAUCCAACUAUAUAUCGGCAAUUAGUUGGGAGGUUAAAUUACCUUACUAUUAUCAGGCCUGAUAUCUCUUUUACAGUUCAACAAGUUAGUCAGGUCAUGCAAGCUCCCCGUCAUCUUCAUUUGGUGGCUGUCCGUCGCAUCAUUCGAUACCUCCGAGGAACAUCUAAUCGUGGAUUAUUCUUUCCUAGUGGUUCGCCUAUUCGUCUUAAUGCUUUUAGUGAUUCUAGUUGGGCGGGAUGUUUUGACACUCAUCGUUCGGUUACUGGUUGGUGCAUGUUUCUUGGAGAGUCUUUGAUAUCUUGGAAGAGUAAGAAGCAAGAUCGCAUGUCAAAAGAGAGUCUUUGAUAUCUUGGAAGAGUAAGAAGCAAGACCGCAUGUCAAAAUCUUCAACAGAGGCUGAAUAUCGAGCAAUGUCUACUGCUUGCUCCGAGAUUGUGUGGCUUCGUGGACUACUUGCUGAGAUUGGAUUACCUCAAUCUAAUCAUACUCAUCUCCAUGCUGACAAUACAAGUGCUAUGUAGAUUGCUACUAAUCCGGUUUAUCAUGAGCGGACCAAACACAUCGAAGUAGACUGUCAUUAUAUACAAGAAGCUGUAGAUAAAGGUGUCAUUACUCUUCCGUACGUGUCCGGUGAUCUUCAAAUAGCUGAUGCAUUUACAAAAUCAAUGGCACGACAACGACAUCAGUUUCUCAUCGGCAAAUUAAUGCUUCUUGAUCUACCAACAUCAAUUUGAGGGGGGAUGUUAGCAUGAUGUAAAUAUUGUAUAUUAAUGUAAUCAUAUAUUGUUGUAUAUUGGUGUAAUUACAUAGAUUUGAUUUAGUAGUUAAAGAGAAUAAUAGUGACUUUAGUAAGAGCAGAUUUGGUGGGAUAAAAAAGCGAAUUUAGAGGGAUAGAAAAGCUGAUCUUUAGGGAUAGGAAGACGGAUCUUUAGAGAAGUAAUCAUUGAAUAUUUUCUGUUUAAUGACAAGACUCUCAAAAUUGAGAGGUAUUCAGCAGAAAAUUGACACAUAACAGCAAUACCUUCAUCAUUUUUUCUCUCCGUUUCCUUCAAAUCAGAAAUUCUACCUCUAAACUCGAUGAUUUUCUCCUCGUAGCGAGCCUCUUUAUCACUUUUUGCCUUCUUUAGCUUUUGAAUUCUGUCAAACAACAACUCAUUUGUCUUUUUGUACUGCUUGUAGUCCUCUUCUAUUAUUUUACUGUACUUUUCGUCGAUACUUCUUUUUUCUUCCUCGAAACCUUUUUCGCAAUCCAUCAGAAUUUCUUGUGCAAAAGGGAAGUCUUUUUCUUCAACCAUUUGUUUUUCCUUCAUAAUUGCAAGUAAUUCUGGGAUCGAUGUCAUCUUCAAUGGAUAUCAAAGAUGUGAUGAAAGUGGUGUGAAGUGGAAAAAGACAAUAAUACAGGGAGGAUUAUGCAGAUAAAUUCAAAAGAGCGAAACAUGAAAAUACAUCUAAGAACAAUAAUUAGUACUAUUUGAUCAAGAUUUCAAGAAUUUUUGAUACUUUUACAUUAAAGAUUAGUCAAACACCUCAUCUUUUAAAGUAAAACAUUAAAUGUACCUUUGAUUUCUGCAAAAGAAUGAAUGUAGUCGUAAUCCUUAAAAUGUACUUAGAUAACUUAAAUAGUAAUUAUAGGAUAUCCUUUUUUGCUCUUUCCAUAAUAAGAUAUCGAUUCAUUCCCUCAUACCUUUAUUACAUGGCAUCAGAGUUAUUGUCUGAGUUGGUAUUUUGUAUUAGCCGGAGGUCACUAUGACUUCACUGAGCACAUUUGAUUAGUUGUAGACUGCAGUUAGCAUUUAUAUGUUCUUUACGCGGACAUUAUAUGGUAAAAUCAUACUCGCGAUCAAUGGCAACUUGAACUUAGCACUUUAGCAGCAGUUGUAUCAUGUUGCUGUUUAUGGAAAAGUCCUGCGUAAGAGUUGUAUCACUGCAUAUUAUAUCAAUGUUGAUAGCUACUCUUCUUAAGUACAGUAGUUAUGUUUCAUUUCUUUUUGUAACUAUAUUACAUUUCAUAAUAAAGUGUAAAUAUUUGUCGCGUCGCAUGGUUUUUCCUACAAAUAACUUAACUAUAGUAAAGCGACAGAAAGUUGAGAUGACAAAUAUUCAAAGUUUAUAUGAAAAUAUUUCCUAUAUAUUGAUUAGUUUGAGGCAGACACAAGAUGCAAACUAAGUGUUUUCAACGAGUAGUUUUCCCUGGUUGUUCCUUUUAUGGACUGUUGUUUAGUAAAUAAUAUAUUAUGGUCCAUUGAAAAAUGUUCCACAUUAGUACUACAAAGUAUUUGUGUGGGUGUUUAUAGCCUUGCGCUAUCCCACCUUAAUAGCUAUCUUUUGAAAUGUGGUUCUCCUAAGGUUGUAAUAGUGGUAUCAGAGCCAUCCAUUACCCUCCUUGCCCACCGUUCCUGGGAUGGUGACACAGGUAUGACAGUAUUUGUUUGGGGCUAGUAAUGUCUAGCGCACAACCAUCGUGGCAUCUGACUCAAAUAGAGAAAUCGAGGAAAGAGCUACCUACAAAAGUAGAGAGUGGAGCCAUCGAGGACGAAGGAUGCGAAGCGUGAUGGUUUGUUAUGAUCGUAGCAAAAAGUCCCACAUUUGUACUACAAAGUAUUUGUGUGGGGGUUUUAUAGUCUUGGGUUCUCCCACCUUAAUAGCUAGCUUUUGGAGGUGUAGUUUUCCUAAGGUUGUAAUAUUGGUAUUAGAGCCACCCAUCACACUCCGUCGCGGGAGCUGUGCACCUGACUUGGAAAGGGCUACUUGGGAAAGAACUAUCUAGAAAAGUAAGUGAAAGCUACGCACUUGAAAAGGGCUUUCCAUGCCCACCGUGCCUGGGAUGGUGACGUUGAUAUGACAGUGUUCGGCCGGGGAAAGUAAUGUAUAGUGCACAAUCAUCGCAACAUCUAUGCACCUGACUCGAAACCUGACUCGAAAAGGGCUACCUGAGAAGAGCUACCUACAAAAGUAGGGUGAAAUCUACCAGGAGUGGAGUCGUCGAGGACGAAGAAUGCAGAGCGUGGUAGUUUGUUAUUAUUCUUUGGAAAAAGUCCCACAUUGGUACUACACAGUAUUUGUGUCGGGUAUUCAUAGCCUUUGGUCUCUCCCACCUUAAUUUUUACACACAUAUGUAUGUAUAUACGUAAUUUUUAGGACAUCAGGAAGCAUUGAUAAAAUUAAUUUCAGUAGAAAAAGAGUAUUCGGGCUAGCAACAAUCCAAUUUUAUUUUUUUUGAAUCCAACUCUUAUUUUAUUUCAAGCAAGAGCCCAAAAAUUAGCCCAAACUCAGUCCAUUAAAACUACUCCAUCCAACUCUAAAUCCAAGUCAUCAAUCUUUGCCACAUCCUUCUAACCAAUUACAUCUUGCCACGUCACUCAGCCAACAAAUACAAAGUCGUCUCGGCCACUUAAAUCUUCUUGAUCCAAAGGCCACAAGAUUUUCAACUUUAAAUAUAUAUAUAUAUAUANNNNNNNNNNNNNNNNNNNNNNNNNNNNNNNNNNNNNNNNNNNNNNNNNNNNNNNNNNNNNNNNNNNNNNNNNNNNNNNNNNNNNNNNNNNNNNNNNNNNNNNNNNNNNNNNNNNNNNNNNNNNNNNNNNNNNNNNNNNNNNNNNNNNNNNNNNNNNNNNNNNNNNNNNNNNNNNNNNNNNNNNNNNNNNNNNNNNNNNNNNNNNNNNNNNNNNNNNNNNNNNNNNNNNNNNNNNNNNNNNNNNNNNNNNNNNNNNNNNNNNNNNNNNNNNNNNNNNNNNNNNNNNNNNNNNNNNNNNNNNNNNNNNNNNNNNNNNNNNNNNNNNNNNNNNNNNNNNNNNNNNNNNNNNNNNNNNNNNNNNNNNNNNNNNNNNNNNNNNNNNNNNNNNNNNNNNNNNNNNNNNNNNNNNNNNNNNNNNNNNNNNNNNNNNNNNNNNNNNNNNNNNNNNNNNNNNNNNNNNNNNNNNNNNNNNNNNNNNNNNNNNNNNNNNNNNNNACAUAGGUGUGGGUUUCUCUGGUUGGGGGGGGGGGGGGGGGGGGGGGGGGAGAGAAGUUUUUUAGAAGGAGAGACAGAGGGGGAACACUCGAAAAUUGGGGAAUAUUCACACAAAUUCACAAACAAAGUCACAAAAUCAGAAGUUUUGUUUCUUCUUUUCGGUCUAGGUUCGGGCUCCCGGAGUUUGCGUUGGAUAGCUGGAAAAUCUUGGCAUCGAAGCCCCAUCUUGCUGCCCCAUAAAAGUUUCAACGGAAACUCGGUUUUGACCCAAAGAUUGGGUCGAUGGGUAUAGGAUCACAGAGUUCGGGGUCUAAAUUGCUAGGAGUCAAUUUGCUUCCAUAGGAAUUGAUAGUAUCCCAUCCUUUACCUUUCUCAUGACUUUCUUAUUCACAUUUGUUUCAUUAACUUUGUGUCAUUUUGAUAAUUUAUUUUAUAUGUCUUUGAUUGAAACCGAUAUCACUUUACUUUGUUUAGUUUUGUUCGAACUUUAAACCACCUAGAAUUGAUUUUAUUCGGUCAUUUUUUAUUUAUUCGUCAUUCAUAAAUAUAAUAACGGUAUAUAGUUCAACCACUUAUUUUUAUAAUUUUGCACCUACGAAUCUACCUUUAUAAUAAAUGGCAAACUCUGCUUUUUAUAAUUACAAUAUGGAAUACAUCUCUGAUUGAACAAAACAACUGGUUAUUAUUUUCGAUAUGCAAAAUAUUAAUUAACGGUUUUGUCACCUUAUCCAGAGUAUUGUUUUCCAAAUGAAUCAACAUAAGUAUUAAAUAGGUUUCAUUUAUUCCAUCCGCCAUGUUUGCAAGUAAAUAAUCCACCAACAUCGAUUUUUUCAUUCAACGCUGUAUAAUUUAAACACCUACUACAGGUCAUAUCUGCUUCUCAACUCUAUUUCAAAUUUUCAGAUUUUAAAGGCUUUCUGAACACAAGAUAUAUAUAUAUGUUAUACACUACCACAUACAAGGUAUAUUUUACUACUAUCAUUAUAAUUGCUAUUACUAUAAUAUUACCACUUACAUUAUUAUUAUCAUUGUUAUUAUUUUCACUUUAUUAUACCUAUGUAGGCUACUAUCACAUUUAUGUUUACCUUAGUUCAAUUUAAAUCUAUUCGGGUUGCACAAGCGAAAAGAAUUUUAUACCUUUUCAUACAUUUCUAAAUCCUCAUGCAUUUAUAUUUAUUUUAAAUAAAUUUUUUCACACUUCAAAAGUAUACUUUAUUUACCUUGUAAUGAAUUUUAUUCACGUAUUUAACUUUGCAAAGUCAUAAGAUCUUAUACUCGCUACUUUACAUAUUAUAACAACAGAAGCUACUACUCUCUCUCAUAAUUUUUCAAAAUAUUCAUUUAUUUAUAACUAUAUUAUUUCGUUGUAUGUGAUAGUGUUACAUCUUUAUGUGCCUUGACUACUAUUUUUUANNNNNNNNNNNNNNNNNNNNNNNNNNNNNNNNNNNNNNNNNNNNNNNNNNNNNNNNNNNNNNNNNNNNNNNNNNNNNNNNNNNNNNNNNNNNNNNNNNNNNNNNNNNNNNNNNNNNNNNNNNNNNNNNNNNNNNNNNNNNNNNNNNNNNNNNNNNNNNNNNNNNNNNNNNNNNNNNNNNNNNNNNNNNNNNNNNNNNNNNNNNNNNNNNNNNNNNNNNNNNNNNNNNNNNNNNNNNNNNNNNNNNNNNNNNNNNNNNNNNNNNNNNNNNNNNNNNNNNNNNNNNNNNNNNNNNNNNNNNNNNNNNNNNNNNNNNNNNNNNNNNNNNNNNNNNNNNNNNNNNNNNNNNNNNNNNNNNNNNNNNNNNNNNNNNNNNNNNNNNNNNNNNNNNNNNNNNNNNNNNNNNNNNNNNNNNNNNNNNNNNNNNNNNNNNNNNNNNNNNNNNNNNNNNNNNNNNNNNNNNNNNNNNNNNNNNNNNNNNNNNNNNNNNNNNNNNNNNNNNNNNNNNNNNNNNNNNNNNNNNNNNNNNNNNNNNNNNNNNNNNNNNNNNNNNNNNNNNNNNNNNNNNNNNNNNNNNNNNNNNNNNNNNNNNNNNNNNNNNNNNNNNNNNNNNNNNNNNNNNNNNNNNNNNNNNNNNNNNNNNNNNNNNNNNNNNNNNNNNNNNNNNNNNNNNNNNNNNNGCGCCUGGGCACUUGACUCAAAAGAGCUUCUGGAAACAGCUAUCUACAAAAGUGGAGUGAGGACGAAGGAUGUGGUUUGUUAUGACCCAUUGCAAGAAGUCCCACAUAGUUACUUGUCAGUAGUAACUGCAAACGUCUAGGUUGAACAAUAUAUGAACAAACAUUAGGUAGGCGUUUGGCCGUGAAAACAAAAAAUAAUUAACCUUAUUUGGAAUUUUCAGAGUUAGAGUUGUAUUACACAUUUACAAUUUAAGCAUAUUUUUUUCUUCUUUCUCGCGGUCGCUACUCAUUCGCUAUUUGUUCAACUCUUUUUUGCUGAGUUAUUCAAACACAAAAUCAUUCUUUUGCUUCAGCGACUGUUAUGCCAAUACCAUGACUCAACAAUAUGUGUAUCGAGCAAACUUGGUUUUGAAUAGGUGGACCAAUAAUGCGAUGAAACUUAACAUGCCUCCAUUGUUCAAUCGUACUCACAUCAUUCUAUAAAUAUAGCCAUUCAUAAUCAAAAUACUACAUUGAAGUCCACCAGAUGAACGAUAAGAACCUAAUUGUUCCUACUAACAAAGCAAGUCUAGUAUAAAACCUUUUUGCCGAGGGAGCUUGGAGUCUAGUGCAACAACUCGACCCCUCGUUUUGAGCAUCUGUGUACAUAGAGACGAGCAGACAACCUUCGCAUCAACUGGAGCUUCAUUUGCGGAUACCAACACCAGCGCAGAGCAGACGGUCUUUCUUGCUAUUGUCUAUCCUAUAUAUUUUGUGAGAGUAUCGAAUUGCCAGUGUCUUGCAUAUGCAAAGAUCUUCCGGUCCAACCUCCGAAAUUGUUCUCUUGAGCUUGUUUUCGGGAUCAUCACGACACAGAAACACCCCUAAAGAAGUAAUCCUGAAAGAAAAAGCAGGCAAAAACGGAUUACAAAGUGAGUAAUCGAAUAAACAUACUAGACCUCACCCCUACCGUAGAGGUAGAAGGCUAUUUCUGAUAGACCGUCACAAAUUUUCUUCUCACAGACUAAAGGAAAAACCUAUCGAGAGAUUGAUAUAUAACUUUUUUUGUCGAUCUUACUCAUCGAGGAGAAUUUGUUUCCAGAAAUUUGUUGACGGUACAAAACACAUACAGCAUUCAGACAAAGCUCGUCAUCCGUAUAAAAUGCAGAACGAAAAUCGUCUUCAGAUGACCAUUCUAUACCCGACCUAUCCCCGGGAUUAACCAAUUCUGGAAUAAAUGAUGUCAUUUGACCAUCAUUCGCGCUUCUUUUUCUCUUUCGCGUCGAAUUAGAGGAGCCUUUCACGUGCACUUCCUUUUUCUGUCCGCGACUUUUUGAAGCAUGAGCAAUUUCAGUUAACGUCAGUUCAUCAUCACUAUCGUUCAUUGUAUGAACCAGCAUAGUUUCUGGUUCAUCUGACGCUUCACUCAAGACUACUGCUUUACAUGCUGAUGGAUCUGCAAGAAGAUUAUAUGCAAUAACAUCUUAAAUUUUCCUCUUUUAAUAUGAUGCACGAAACUUAUCUGUCCAAUAAAAGUACGAUAGCCGCCAAUCUAAGUCACACAAAAACAACAACUUACCAAGUAUAAUCCUCAUGUACACUGACCUUACCUCUAUCUUUUGCGAUAGAGAGGCUGUUUAAGAUAGUUCCUUGGUUCAAAAGAAAGAAAAAUGAAUCACGUUUGCAUGAAAACACGACAAUAUCCUAGUAGGAUACAAAGCAACUAAAAGGGGAAACCAAGAGAGACGAGAAAGGAAAAAACUAACUGCAGCAAAGUGGCUAAAUGGACACAACGUGUAACAGUGGAUGAAGUGGAUGUAGCAAGUGUUUGUCGGAAUUGCUUUCUACUCGAGAAUCUACUGUUUCUUUUUUCAUUUUUCGUGUGUGUCUGUGUGGUUGUGGUGUGUUAUUUUCAGUAUAUCAUGAAGAAUCAUCAGAAAAUAUCAUACCUAUAACCGUUUAACAGAACAACAAUAACUACUAUACCACAAUCCAACGAGUUGACGUCGGCUAUAUGAAUCCUAAUGAAAUAUCCACAUAAUACAAACAGAUCGUAACAACAAGAAGUUGCCUAUAUCAGAAAACCGUUAUACCUUUCUGUCUCGAUUGGCCAUUGCUAUUUCCGGUUGAGGUGCCAACAAGUUUCAGAUCAUCCAAAAUCACGAUUGCCCGAUCUUCUCCCUGAGUAGAUUCCACGUUAUUAGCACCAUUCGCACCAGUAGCUUGAAUGCCUAUUUCCACCUCCAAAUCUAUAGCAAAUUUUCAGAAAACACACACAUCAAGAUAAAGAAUUUUCCAAAUUAGUUAAAUAAUUGAAUGCAACAAAUAACUAAAACAGGUUUUGCAAAUGUAGUAAAAUCAAGAUAUACUAUCAACACACAUUAUGAAAUGAUACGUAAAAAGACAUAAAAGGGCAUCCCGGUGCACUAAAGCUACCGCUAUGUGCGGUGUCCGGGGAAGGACCCCACCACAAGGGUGUAUUGUACGCAGCCUUACCUUGCAUUUCUGCCAGAGACUGUUUCCAAGGCUUGAACCUGUGACCUCCUGAUCACAUGACAACAACUUUACCAGUUACGCCAAGACAUAAUAACAACAAUACCUUCAUCAUUUUUUCUCUCAUUUUCCACCAUAAGAGAAACUUCAUCCCUCAACUCUCUCAGUUUCUCCGCGUAGCAAGCCACGCUUUCAUUUUUCGUGUUCUGAUAAAGAAAUAGACCUUGGGCCUAACUCAACCUCAAAAGCUAGCUCAUACAGAGAGGAUUGCCCAAGACCAUAUAAGGAGACCAAGGACGGUUUAACCCACUGAUGUGGGACUCCAACACCCCCCGUACGCCCAUGGCUGGACAUCUGGAGCGUGGAAAAAUAUAAGAUAGGGGGCCAACAUCGGAAACAAUAAACUAGGUGGGCCUGGAUCUGAUACCAUGAUAAAAAAAUGGACCUUGGGCCUAACUCAACCUCAAAAGCUAGCUCAUGAGGAGGAGGAUUGCCCAAGCCUUAUAAAGAGACCACCCAUCUCAUUAACCAUCAAUGUGGGACUUUCUCUAUUUCUUUUAACACCCCACUGCACGCCCAGACCUCAACUGGGCCCAGACCUAAACUGGGCGUGGACACAAUCUCCCUGAUAUCUCAAUUUGAGGGCCAAACAUUGGGUGAGAAUGGGCACUGCUUUGAUACCAUGUUAAAAUUGGUCUUGGGCCUAACUCACACCUCAAAAGCUAGCUCAUGAGGGGAGGAUUGCCCAAGACCAUUGUAACACCUCGUAAAAUUCAUGCAUGUGUUAGCCUCUAGUAGUAUGCUCAAAGAGUUGAAAGGACUUGAAAAUUUUUCUAAGUGUUAAAGAGACUUAGUCUUAUUUUUUUUAGCUUCUAAACUUUGAGAAAUUUAUUUUUGACCUUUCCGACCUUCAAUUUUAAAUUUUCUUGUUGAUUCAUGAUUGGGAAAGUUGAUGGUGCAUAUUGAGUGAGUUUCGGCAUUUUUGGAUGUUGUUUAGGGCAUGUUUGGAUUCCCAAAAUAGUGGCAUCAUGCGAUAUGCAUGCGUCACAUGGUCCAACGCACGGUGGAAGCAUGCGAUAUAGCAUGCGUCACAUGCUCCAGUGCGGUGGGAAAUAGCCUGCGACGCAUGGUCUGCUGCACGCCUGAAAUUUUCAGCAUUUAAGCUCCGUCACAUUAAGGGCAUAUUGGGUGUUUUCCCACACCCUUAUCAGCUCAAGCACAAAAUUUCAACCCCAAUUGAGCAUAAUAUUCAUACAUUCACCAAAAUUACUCAAGAAAUCUCUCAAGGGUUUCAAAAUAAAAACCCAAAUUACUUGAGAUUCAACCGUGAGUUUUAGAAGACAAUUAGAGAUUCGGAAUCCCUACUCCGCAAGCUUCAAGAAUCACCCAUUACUUUCUGAAAUAGAGGUACGCGUGUUUUUUUCUAAAAUCUCAUGGGUAUUGAAAUCAUGGUUUUAAGAAAGAGGUUUUUAGAUUUAUGAAUAUAUUCAUGUUUUAGAAACAUUAAUGAUAUUGUUUUGGUCUUUAGGCCUUCCCCAAAUUGAUUUGAAUUGAUAUAUGUAUAUAUGUACAUGUUUUAAUGUUGAUGAUUGAAUUAAGAGCAUGAUUCAUGUGAAAAUCCCUCUCUUGUUAUGAUUUUCCUUACUUAUCAUAUGAUAUGGGUUGUUUUUGAAAGGCAUCUUGAAAAACAUGUUACGAAGUAUCUUAAUUUAUGAAUGAUUUGGUUAUGAAUCUUGAAUUCCAAAGAGAGGGUUGUUUAUAUUGAAAAAUUUUGAAAAUACAUAUAAUGAAGGAGUGCAUGGAUUUUUCCUAAAGCACAUGACCACCUUAUGUUUGAAGAGUUCUUGCAUAGUUUUGACUUAUGCUUUCGGAACAUGAAACCUCUUAUAACAUUUGCAUGUUUGGGUGGUCUGAACUAUGUUUUAAUGAAAAAAUUAUGCAUGGUGCAUUAUGACUCAGAAAUAGGACUUGCAAGUCUUGGUGUGUCGACACCAAUUCGGAUUAUGUCAUGGUAAUUCAGAAUAGAAUACAAAGCAUGUUUAAAGUUAGAAUUUUCAGAUGUUGAAACUAGAAUAAUGCAUGAUUAAGAACAUGAUAAAAAUUAGGCAUAAAGAGAGCGUAGGUGGUUCCCCGAAGAAGACAUGAGUUCAGACAACUCGUUGCCCAAAGUCGUGAUUUUUCGAUUCGGGUAUAUUUAUUACGCUGGCCUUGUUCUGUGUGGCGUAUCAGAAUCAGAAACUCCAAUCCUUGCGGCACACUCGGGUUGAGGACUUCCCCGCCGAGUCAAUGGCGGAUUCCAUACCGCCCAUGGAAUAUUAGAAUUGUAGGGGAGUGCCACCUAAUUCAAAAUUAAUACGAAGAUCAGAACUACAUUGUCAAGAAUGAUUUAUGACUUUUCAGAAAAGUGCCCAUAUAAUUUGAAAACUAUUUUAUGUAUGAUGUUUUGACAAAUUGCUCUCUAUUAUUUUAUUUAUAUAAAAGCUUUAUUUUGGAUUACUUUGUGUACCAUUACAUCUCUAUUAACCCUUCCCUCCUCCUUCCAGGUUCUGAGGCUCAGUCUAGGGUCCAAAAAAGUAGUAGCAUUUAUCAGACAGAUUUGCAGUGUCCAGUUGGUGAGCCUUCUCUAUUUCGGAAGGCCUGUCUUAUCAAAUUAUGUCAUUUAUUUCUGUUUUGGUCUACUGGGGGCCUUAUCCCAGUUUCAGAUAGUUAUCAGAUUUUCUUGUAGUAGAAAUUUCGCAGACCGAUGUUCGAUGUUAUUUAGACGUAGUUGAUCUACAAUCUCCAUACUUAUGUUGAUUUCAGAAUUGACAAUGUUUCCGUAGUAAAUUAUGUUUUCCGCAUUUUCUUUAUUUAUAUGACUAUUGUGCAUGAUUACCAGAUAGAGAAGGGCAUUCCAUUCCUUCAUGAUUCUGGAUGUCUGUCACAGCCAUGUAACGCCUCGCAUUUCGGGCUACAAUAUAGACCAUGAUUUUGAUGUGUUGAUAAUCCCGAAGCCAUAAAAUCCUAUGCCAAUACGGAAUGUUAAUUAUUUAUGUAGCAUGUGAAUCCAUUAAAGCUUAAAUUUAGACCAUAGAGGUCCUUCAACUCAUGGAUGAGUUGAAACUAUUUCGAUCGACUAAGUUUUAGUGGACGUUGUAAAGUGUGUCAGCUUCGAGUUAGCUUUCCAACGAUACCAAUUUUUUUAAAAUCCGACACCCGAGCAAGAAGUUAUGGCCAUUCAAAGUGAUAUGAGUUGCCUAACCAAUCGCCCAUGGCCACUAGAAAGCAUCGACGCUAGCCUAUGUAAACAUAGACGAUAGCCUAGGAGGCGCCUAUGGGAUGGGCGGCUCCUAUGUAAAGAAUUCAAGUGACUUAAACACUCCGUUUUGGGGACAAAGUGGUCUAUUCCACCCUUACUUAGCCCUAAAACAUGAAAUUCAGUUCCAAGGACCCCAAAAUACACCUUCAUUCAUCAAAAGUGCUCAAAUAUUCUCCUUAGGGUUUCAAAAUAAAAACCCAAGCAACUCGAGAUUCAACCGGAGGUUUUAGGAACAAAUUGCAUAUUUGUAAUCCUCUCAGUGUAGGCUUCGAGAAGCAUCUAAUAUUCAUAGUAAUCAAGAUACGUGGGGUUAUCCUAAAAUCUCAUGGGUGUAGUUUUUAUGAACAUGCAUGCUUUUAAAUGGGGGUUUUCAAUUAAAUGCUAAUAACUUGCUUUCAAUAUGAUUUCUAAGUCAUUUUUCUUUAUGUCAUGGGAAUUGUUUGCCUAUAUACUUCAAUGGUUGAAACCAUGCAUAUGUGAUUUGAGAUUUUCCAUGGAAGUUUGGUAAAUAUGAAUGAUAAACUGCUUUCAAAUUCCCAUGAUAAUGUCUUGAUACCCCAUAUCAUAUUGUGAUCAACAAAAGAGAGCAUGAAUUUGAAAUAAAUAUUGUUCACCACUUGUAAAUAAUGAAGCACCUUGAUUUUUACAUGAUUAUGCGUAUGUGGAAGUGAUAUUGAGGACUUGCAAGUUGGGUAUGACGAUACCCUACAGAACAUGAUAUGUGAUUGAAUCUAAGAAAAUUUGAAUGCAUUGAUUUUACAUGAGAAAGGUGGAUGCUCAAAGAAGGCAUUUAAGUGUAAGGUCUCAUCACUGGAAAACAUGUUUGCUGACACGAAAUUUCAGUACCAGGCUAAGUGAUCUUGUGUACUUGACUUUAUGUCAUUCCCAAAUUGGGACUAUAGGUAGGAUCCCGGGCUAAGUGAUCUUGGGAACUACCAGUGGGUCGAGACACCAUGCUUUGUGGUCUUGAGUGUCUCUCCCUCACUUAUACUCUAAUCGCAGCGGCAACCGAGGUUAGACAGUUGGUGUAAAUUAUGCAGGGUAUUCCACCUAGCUCAGUUGCAUUUCAUUGUUGUUGAGAAACUAUUGCAUUACACCCAUGUGUUUUCAAAUGAUUUGAUACGAAAUUGCUUUAUAAUGUCUCUCAACUAUAUUUUGUAAAAAUAUUAUAUUUUGUUUUGAUAUCUCUGCGUGCCAGUACUUUUGUGCUGACCCCCUUCCCUCUCCAAUCUCUCAGGUUCAGAGGCCCAGUCUAGGGGUCAAGAGAAUUAGUAGAUCAUUCAGACAGAGUUGCAGAGACAAGUGGUAAGCCUUCUAUGUUUCAGAAGGUCUAAUGUCCAGUAGUCCUUUUAUCUUAAAUUUAGUUUUGGGGUCUACUGGGGGCCUUGUCCCAGUUUAUAUACAGUUGCUUGACUCAGUCAUUUGUUAGAGAUUUUCGUAGACAGUUGUUUAGAGGUUGACUGAUAUUGGGGGAACCUUAUCUCCCCGUUAUUGUUUCUUUUCAUAGUUAUGACCAUGUUUCCGAAUUACUGUUUUUCUUCUGCAUUACUUUGAUCAUAUGAAUUAGGUGCAUGAUUACCAAAUAGAUAGGGAUGUUUCGGGCCUCUAUGGUUCAAAAAGGUCGUCACGGCCAGGCCCUGGUUCAGGUUGUGACAAAAUUGGUAUCAAAGCAUGGUUCAUGGUCCCAGGGUGUUUGCAAAAUUACGUCGGGUAGAGUCUUGUUUAUGGGUGUGUAGCGCGCCAUACUUAUAAGCAUGAUGGUACUAGGCGUUUAGGAAAUUUUUCCCUUCUUUGUGAUUUAGUUCGUGCUUUAGAGUCUGAAUGUCCCCUAAUCAAUGAUCACUUGUGUUUCAGAAACACAGUUAUGCCUCCACGUCGUAUCAUCUAUCAGAAUGCUCAGGCAGAUGAGGUCUGUCCCACCCAUGGGAUGCGGACCCAUAACAGGGCUCACACUCCAGAAUUUGUCCCUACUCUAGGAGUCCCUUCAGUCCCGACCAGUCUACCUCGGGCUCUGCAGACUAAUGCCAACCGUCUCCCAACUGCUUAGGGAGAUAUUUCAAAUGCAGAAUUUAGACGGUCCAUUCAUAUUCUGACACAAUUGGUAGCUAACCAGGCUUAACAAUCGAAAGAUAUUGGGUCUGCAUCUAUUAUGUCUGAGGCUACUAUAGUCGGAUAUUUCAUGAAGAUGAACCCACCUAAGUUCACUAGCACCAAGGUGGAGGAAGAUCCACAGGUGUUCGUGGAUGAGAUAGAAAAGAUCUUUAAGGUGAUGCAUGUGGAUGAGGUUGAAGGGGUGGAGCUAGCAACCUAUCAGCUCAAGGAUUUUGCGAAUCAGUGGUAUACCGAUUGGGAAGAUGCAAAAGGUGAAAGUGCUGAGCCCACAGUUUGGGGCGAAUUUGUGGAAGCUUUUCUUGAUCGAUUCUUUCCUCUGGAUUUGAGAGAGACCAAAGCAGAAGAGUUUAUGAAUCUGAAGCAGGGCAGUAUGAGUGUCCCGGAGAACACUUUGAAGUUUAAUAAACUAGCCGGCUAUGCACCAGAGUUGACUAGUAAUAUGAGAUCCCGAAUGAGGAAAUUUGCCUCUGGCCUUGCUGAUAACCUAGUACUUGAGUGCUAGGGGGCUAUGUUGAAUAAGGAGUUAGACUUUUCUCGGCUAACCGUUCAUAAGCAGCAGGUGGAAGAGAAGAAGAAAAAGAUUACUGAAUCUAGAGAGAAAGACAGACAGAGUAAGAGAGCUAGAUCUGCGGACCAGCGCCAGAGUCAGCUGCAGAGUGGUAACUGGGGUAAUAAGUGGUCGAAGAAGAAAAAGUUUUGGAAUAAUGCACAGUCAGCAGCCAGCGCCCCAACACCUAGACCACCGACAGAUAGACAAACCCAAAUUUUUCAGACUCCUUAUGGAUCCAAAGCUCUAGGUACACAGUCUCAGGGCAGUGUGACCCAGCAGCAUCGUACUUAUCCACGGUGUGAGGUUUGCGGAAGGAAUCAUCUAUGGAAGUGCUAGUUUGAGGGGAGAAACUGCUAUACUUGUGGCAAAGUGGCUCAUCUUCAGAGAGAUUAUCCUUCUGCUGGAGAAAAUAUGGGGGGGGUAAGUCCCAAGCCAUCUCCACAGCUCCUUUUCCUAAGGGUGCCCCUUCAGCUGCCGGGAGCGGUCGCAACUGGUUAUAUUCUUUGACUAACCGCCAGGAGGCGAAAGCUUCACCAGAUGUUGUCACCGAUAUGUUAUAAAUCUUUUCUCGUGAUGUUUAUGUGUUGCUUGAUCUCGGGUCUACUUUAUCUUAUGUGACCCCUUAUGUGGCUGUUGGUUUUGGGUUUGAGCCCAAAGUUAUUGUAGAACCCUUCUCUGUUUUUACUCCUGUAGGUGAUUCUAUUAUUGCUAAAAGGGUGUAUGGAAAUUGUGUCGUGUCUAUUCAUAGUAAGGAAACUGUGGCAGACCUUAUAGAACUGGAUAUGAUAGAUUUUGAUGCCAUCCUUGGGAUGUACUGGCUCUAUUCGUAUUAUGCCACCCAUGAUUGUAGAACCCGAAAGAUCACUUUUUCUUUCCCGAAAGCGACACCAAUUGUAUGGGCAGGGAGUUCUGUGGAACCUAGAGGUCACUUUAUCUCUUAUCUUAGAGCCUGAAAGCUUAUCUCCAAAGGUUGUAUGUAUCAUCUAAUCUGAGUAAAAGAUUCAAAAGUUGAAAACCUUCCUCUGCAGUCAGUCCCUGCAGUGAAUGAAUUCCCAGAAGUCUUUCCCGAAGAUCUCCCAGGAAUACCCCCUGAUAGGGACAUAGAUUUUGGCAUUGAUGUGUUACCAGACACUCGUCCUAUUUUUAUUCUGCCAUAUAGAAUGGCUCCCAUGGAACUAAAGGAGUUAAAGGAACAACUUGCAGACCUCCUAGACAAAGGUUUUAUUCGUCCUAGUGUUUCCCCAUGGGGUGCACUCGUGCUCUUCGUGCAAAAGAAGGAUGGGUCCCUUCGGAUGUGCAUAGACUACCGCCAGUUGCCUAGGAUUGACGACCUUUUUGACCAGCUUCAGGGUGCCAAGUGUUUUUCAAAAAUAGACCUUCGUUCGGGUUAUCAUCAGUUGAAAGUUAGGGAGUCAGACAUACCAAGACAGCCUUCCAAACCCGAUAUGGUCACUACGAAUUUCUAGUCAUGUCCUUUGGGUUGACUAACGGCCCUACAACCUUCAUGGAUGUUAUGAAUAGAGUGUUCCAUCAGUUUUUUGACAUGUUCAUCAUUGUAUUUAUUGAUGAUAUUCUAAUCUAUUUUAAGAGUAAAGAGAAUCACGAUAAUCAACUCCAAAUUAUUCUUCAGACCCUUAAGGAUCAUCAACUGUAUGCCAAAUUUUCUAAGUAUGAAUUCUGGUUAGAUACAAUUGCCUUCCUGGGGCAUAUUGUGUCCAAUGACUGAAUAAGAGUGGAUCCCCAGAAAGUUGAAGCAGUGAGAAAAUAGCUUAGAUCCAUGAUUCCAAUCGAUAGUCGGAGCGUCUUGGGUUUGGCGGGGUAUUACAGAAGGUUCGUAGAGAGUUUUUCUUCCAUAGCUGCUCUGCUUACUAAACUGACUCAGAAAAAGAUGAAGUUUGCGUGGUCUGACUUGUGUGAAAAUAGUUUUGAGAAGUUGAAGGACAAGCUGACUACUGCUCCUGUUUUGACCCUUCUCGAGGGUGUAGAUAAUUUUGUGGUUUAUUAUGAUGCGUCCCGUGUGGGACUUGGUUGUGUAUUGAUGCAGCGUGGUAAGGUAAUAGCUUAUGCAUCUAGGCAGUUAAAGGUGCAUGAGCGCAAUUACCCCACUCAUGACUUGAAGUUAGCAGCCGUGGUGUUUACACUUAGAAUCUAGAGGCACUAUCUCUAUGGAGUGCAUAUUGAUAUUUAUACUGACCAUAAGAGUUUGCAGUAUGUUUUCUCACAGAAAGAAUUGAACCUCAGUUAGAGGCGUUGGAUGGAGCUUUUGAAAGACUAUGAUAUGAGUCUGCAUUACCAUCUGGGCAAGGCAAAUGUUAUAGCCGACGCCCUCAGCAGGUUGUCUAUGGGCAACUUUGUCAUGUAGAAGAAGGAAAGAAAGAGAUGGUGAAGGAUAUUCACCGCCUUGCAAAUCUUGGAGUGCGACUCUUAGAUUCCAAAGAUGGAGGGGUGAUUGUUCAUGAGUUAGCUAAGUCAUCCCUUUGUGCUGAAGUUAAGGAGAAGCAGGUUGAAGAUCCCAUCUUGAUGCAAAUCAAGAAAGAUGUGGGUCAACAAAAGGUUAUGUCAUUUGAAAUUGGUGGUGAUGGUAUUCUGAGAUUUCUAGAGGUAUGCCAUUCACCCAGGCUCUACUAAGAUGUACCAUGAUCUGAAAACCUUGUAUUGGUGGAAUAACAUAAAAUGUGAUGUAGCUGAUUUUGUGUCCAAGGGUUUGAACUGUCAACAAGUGAAGGUAGAACACAUGAGGCCAGGUGGUACUUCCCAAGAGAUAGCCCUUCCUUUAUGGAAGUGGGAGAUGACAAACAUGGACUUCAUUACAGGACUUCUGAGAUCCCGAAACUAGUAUGAUUCUAUAUGAGUGAUUGUUGAUCGGUUGACAAAGUCAGUUCACUUUUUGCCUGUGAGGACUAAUUAUUCGUGAGAGGUUUAUGCUAAUAUUUACAUUGAGGAGAUAGUUUUAUUGCAUGGGGCACCAGUGUCCAUUAUAUCCAAUAGAGGUACACAGUUUUCAUCUCAGUUCUAGAGAUCUUUUCAGAAGGGUUUAGGUACACAAGUAAAUUUGAGCACAGCUUUCCACCCUCAGACGGAUGGGCAAGCUGAGCAUACCAUUCAGAACCUCGAAGAUAUGUUGAGGGCAUGCGUCAUUGAUUUCAAAGGUAGUUGGGUAGAUCAUCUGCCACUGGUUGAAUUCUCUUACAAUAAUAGUUACCAUGCCAGCAUCAAGAUGGCUUUUUUUUGAGGCUUUGUAUGGAGGAGAUGUAGGUCUCCGACAGGAUGGUAUGAAGUGGGUGAGACUCAGUUGUAUAGGCCUGAUCUUGUUCAUCAGGCGAUGGAGAAAGUGAAGAUCUUUAGAGAAUGACUCAAGACUGCUCAGAGUCGUCAGAAGUCCUAUGCCGAUGUUCGGAGAAGACAACUAGAGUUUGAAAUUAGUGAUUGGGUGUUUCUAAAAGUUUCUCCUAUGAAAGGAGUUAUGCAGUUUGGAAAAGGGCUAAAUUGAGCCCUCGCUAUGUAGGGCCAUAUUAGAUUAUGAGAAAGAUUGGUACAGUUGCUUAUGAGCUAGAAUUGCCUGCAAGUUUGGGUUCCGUUCAUCCCGUAUUCCAUGUAUCCAUAUUGAAGAAAUGCAUUGGAGAUCAUUCUGUGGUAUUGCCAGUAGAGGGUAUCAAAGUAACAGACUUUUUGUCUUACGAAGAAUAGCCCGUUGAAAUUUUAGAUCACCAAGUUCAAAAGCUGAGGAGCAAAGAGAUAGCCUCAGUAAAGGUACUGUGGAGGAAUCAGAAAGUCGAAGAAGCAACUUGGGAGUUAGAAGAUAACAUGAGAAUUAGAUAUCCCAUUUUGUUUGCUUUGAUGGAGGAUGAGAUAGAAGGUACUAUUCCUAUCUUAUCUUUCCUAGUCCUUUAUUAUGCUUGAAAUCGUGUCCGCCUGUGUCCCACAUCAUCAUUCGGGGACGAAUGAUCCUAAGGGGGAUAAUGUAAUGCCCUGCAUUUUGGGCUAUAAGAUAGACCAUGAUUUCGAUGCGUUGAUAAUCCCGAAGCCAUAAAAUCCUAUGCCAACAUGACAUGUUAAUUAUUUGUGUAGUAUGUGAAUCCAUUCAAGCUUGAAUUUAGACCAUAGAGGUCCUUUAACUCAUGGAUGAGUUGAAACUAUUUCGAUCGACUAAGUUUUGGUGGACGUUGUAAAGUGUGUCAGCUUCCAUCGACCAUAACUCUCUGUAUAUGUAGAAUUAGGAAUCCUACUAUGUGUCAAAUGAUAGGUAUUCAAGUUAGCUUUCCAACGAUACCAAUUUUCCUAAAAUCUGACACCCGAGCAAGAAGUUCUAUAUUUCGGAAGGCCUGAUGUCUGUCAGUUCAUUUAUCAUUUAGUAGUUUUGGGUCUACUGGGGGCCUCUCCCCAGUUUUCAAACAGUAAUUUAUUUCUGUCAUGUAUUAGAGAUUUCGCAGACGGUUCUUCAUAUGUCGAUAGAUGUUGUGGGACAUUAUUUCCCGUUUGUUGAUUUUAUUUGAUUUAUGACCAUGUUUUCCAUAAUAUUAUGUAUCUUCCACAUAUCUUAUUAUCAUAUCAAUUAUGUGCAUGAUUACCAGAUAGAUAGGGGUGUUUUGGGCCUUCAUGGUUAGGAAUGCUCGUCACGGUCAGGGCCUCGGUUCGGGUCAUGACAAACUUAUCAAAGCACGGUUCAUGGUCCCUGGGUGUCUGCGAAAUCGUGUUGGGUAGAGUCUUGUUUAUGGGUAUGUAGCACGCCACACUUAUAAGUAGGAGGCUACGAGGCGUUUAGGAAUGUCUCUCUUUCUACAUGUUCUAGUUCGUGCAAUAGAGUCAGAAUAUUCCUCUUUCAUAUUCUAAUUCGUGCUAUGGUGUCGCCCAUAUGAUAGUAAAAAAAAAGUCAUCCCAAAUUUUUUCCUUACUCUAAUGUCCUCAGAUAUGUCUCAUUAUUGAGGUGAUUCAAGUGCAGAAUUUUAGAAUUAAAAUGGUAUGGUCCUUUCUGAUUGAACUAUUUAAGAGUUAAAAUUUGUGCAAGGACUUGAGAAAAGUCUGUUAGUGCUUCAAUGUGUAUUGAUUCCGAUGUAAACAUUGAUCCUGAUGGAAUCGUGCUUUUCAGCUUGAGGUAUUAAUUGCAUUUAGUCCCCUUCAAAUUUAUGUUACAAAUGUCUUGCUUAAGAGGGGAUGAUGUGUAGUAGAAUGUUGGAACUGUAUUUUCACCCGAAUAGUAGUAUGCAUUAAAGUGUUGUUGUCAUGACCUAUUGAUAGUGAAAUUAGACCAAGAAGUUGGUGAUGUGAAGUCACAAAGUUAGAAGUCAGAGCAAGGGUAACUUUUGCGUAAAUGAGUUUUCAGUUGAAUAACCGAUGUUCGAGAGUGAUUUACCCCUUAUGAUGAUAGACUAAUGUGGUAACUAGUAGCAUGUGUGGAUGGUGUGGUAGCCCGUGGAGGAAGUGUUUGACUCCGAUUUUAUUUAUACAGAGUAAGAUGUAUAUUCUUAGUUCGUUGGAUAUUGCAUAUUAAAUUUCUCUCUCAUGUAAUCUUGUCAAUCAGGGUGUUGUUGAAAAAAAUAAAGUCUAGUGAAGCCGUGUGGGGCUCUUUUGAUUCACUAGCAUAGUUGACUUGUCAUUCAUCUCAUUUUCUUGUUCAAAAUACAAAAUCAGAGUCUAGUGAAGCCGUGUGAGGCCUGUUUCGAUUCACUAGCAACUUGUUGUCCAACUUGUUGUUCUUGUGUUGGCUUAAUAUAUGUAUAGCUAAAUCUGUUUGCAUGAGAUUGAGUUGGUAAAGAGGUGAUUCAUCCUUGCAUGAUAGUUUAGUAGAAGGUAGAGAAGAAUUUGUUAGUCAAGGUGAUUUUUCGGUUACUUGAAGUGUGAAAAUGAUUAUAUUAGCCAGUAAGUUAUAAUUAUAGACUCAUGGUUGUAGUUGAAAUUGAAGGUAGUCUAAAGGUAUGAUUGAGUAAGUAAGUUUGGAUUGAGAAAUUCGUAUAAGUAGAUAAUAUUGUAUGGGGUUAUAAUAUCAGAUUAAGGUUGAUCAUGUCUAGCAUGAGAUUAAUGAUGUAUGUUUCGUGGGAAAAAAAUUAGUAGGAUUGAUGUGUUAAAAUAGCACGUGCUAAUGAGUUAUGAUAAGGAAAACCGUAAGGUCAAGAUCAAUUAUUUGUUGUUUGGAAGUUCUAGUGUACUAGUGUUUCUUGAUGUCUAUUUCAUGGUAUCCAAGUGAGAAUCAUGCGUAAGGUUGGGUUGUAAAAUCAUGCUUAGCAUGAGAAAUUAAGUUUUGAACAAUUGAUGUCCAUGAAGGUGGAUGUGAUGAUUUCUUGGUUAAUGAUACUAGUUUUAUGAAAGUAAUCUAAUAGUCUUGAACGGUAUAUGCAAGAGCUUAAGUUUAUUUGAUUCGUAGUGAAGUAUGAUGUUGCAUAUAUAAUGUAGAAGUAUGCCCAAGGUGAUCUAAGGUUGCGGUAUUUACUAAGACUAUUACACGUUAUGUGUGACGAGUGGUACCGUUGAUUUGCUUGGUGGAGAAAGACUAGUUAGAUGGUAUAUAGUGUUCUAAAUAGCCAAGUUAAGGAGUUUUGAUUGAUAGUGUUGAGCCUUUUUAUAUGAUCUUGAUUCUCAUAGUAGAGAGAUGUAAGUUUGGAGUCGUGAUAUUGGUAGGUUAUGUCGGAAGUAGUAUGAUUCAUUGAAGGCUUGGUGAUAUCCAUGUUGAGUGCUAGAUUCUAAGUUUGAGUUUUUGAAGGUUGAACUAAUAGAAAUAAGAGUUAAAGCACUAGAGGAUGUGCACUUCGACUAUGGGGGUACCCAUGAAUACCUUAAGUUAGUAAGUAUGCAAGUAUUAUAUGAUGACUACUGGGUCUAUAGAAUGAUAAAGUGUAUCUCAGAAGGUAGUAUUAAUAGUGGGUUUUCCAUUUUUAGGUGUAGUUAGUCGGGUUAAGUGCCAUGAUAUGCGUGUAUAGUAGUUUUCCAGACCCCAGAGUGCAGUGAGUGUACUUCAGUUUAGAGUCUAGUAAGGGAUCUCCCAAACUUAAUAUGAUGGCUUGAAGCUAAGGGGGAGAUGAUAGAGCGAAUAACCAAGUGAUGUCAGUAUGACAUAGAACAUCAGAAGGGAAGAGUGAGGCUCAACCCAUUCCGGUCUCAGUAUUUUUCAGUUAUCCUAAUACCUACUCAUACCUCACGUUUUAGUUUCAUGAUCAUAGUUCAUGUUCAUGUAUACGAUAGAAAAUCACGUGCUCUUCCAGAUUCCUAAAUGAGGAACUUUAGUUCAUUCAGCUGUAGUAAUCACAUUCCAUAUGUUAUGAACUCUAAAUUGAGGUCAUGCAGCUUAUGACUCAUGUAUUCACGCUUCAUAGUGUGCUCAGUUCCCAUAAUUCAUGCUAUACUCUUUACGAUUGGUGGAAUAUAGUUCAUAGCCAUGUAUGCCCCAAUUCAGAUUUUUUUUCUUUGAUAAAUCCCGAAUGUUGAUUUGCUAUUCCCCAGGCCUCAGUUAAGUGUCACUUUUCAUAUAACAUCCUUCCAUGCUUCAAGAUCUUAUGUUCUAAUCUUUAGUGACUCCUCUUUAUGUGAUGGUAGUGGUGAUGAGUAAAUGUUUCUAGUUGGUGGAAGAUCAUAGUAUGCUUCUUUUAGAUAAGGCCAUAAGUGCGAAGUAAGGUUGGGGCCAAGUCUUUGAUGCAUUUGAUGGUUAGCUGAAAGGUGUGUAUGUAUGUUCUUGGGGUAGAGUGUGGGAGCUAUAUCGAUAGAUGGUUAGUAGAAUAUGUGAAGUGUGUCUUUAUGAGUGUUUACUUUGAAGUUUAUAUGUGGUUAUAGAGAUAGGCUUGAAUGACAUGUUGGAAUUUUUGGUAAGGAACGCUAUAUGCACUAGCGACUUCGUAGUAAUAGUUCAUAGUUAGACAUUGAAGUGGUAAGGCAUAAUAGGCUUAGGGUGUGAUCUUAUAGAAGGUGGAAUCUUAUGGUUUAGACUUGUAUAAUGGAGUGGCAUGUAGUAUUUUGCGAGUUGGAGUUAGGCUUGAUCACGGUGAAGAGGAUUUAAGUUACUAUAGACAUUAGUAGAAAGAUUUAUAAAUGCAAAUACAAGAACAAAUAAGUUGGAUCGAAUGAAUGUGGUAUCUACGGGUAAUAGUACAGUUAAGGGAGUAUUCGAGGAGUGUGCUAAUCUUUAAAGUAAGAAGUCGCAUUGACUAAGGCCUGGAAAUUCUAUCCUAAUUUAUGAGUUAUAUGUCUAUAUUUCAGACUGCAGAGUAGUGUAAAUGUUGUGAUUUCCAUCAGUUGGACGUCUUAUGUAAUCCAUACCCAAGAUUCGUGGCUUCCUAUUACUGCUAGAACUUCUUUAGAGAGAGUGUUGAAGAGAUAUAUAAGUGUCUGGUAUAAUUCAGUCUGUAAUUCAGUUUAACAGUCGAACAAACAAGUUACUAUGGUUUUUCCACCUUUUCACCCAAUCCUACUAUCUGAAGUCUGAUGCGUAUGGCCAUUCCCAAGAGAUAAUCUAUUCCAUCCAUAUCAAUUGUGAGUUUAGUUCAUUCCAAGCAUCAUGUUUCAGAUUCAGCUAUCUAUUCAUGACUCGGUGCAUAAGAGUUCAGCGUAUAAUCUCAAAAUUUAUCAAGUAUUUCAGCUCAGAUAGUGUAAUACCCUUGCACGAUCUAAGUUUUGAUGUCUUAUGAUCGUACUUGCAUAAGUUAUCACUUCCUAAUUUCAAUAUGUAUGAUUGGAUCAUGAAUAUUUCAAGGGAAUCCUAAAUUUUCAUCAUGAAUCAGCUUUUUGAAGCAAGAAAAGUCAAGUCAACUCAGAAUUCAGUUUCAUUAUAGAAGUUUAAAUAUUAUAUAUUAGUUAUGUCCUUUCUUAGCAGGCACAUCAUGUCCGUGUUAUUCCAUACCUUUAAGCUUCAACAAAUUCCUACCCAUCAUUCGGGGACGAAUAAUCCCAAGGGGAGAUAAUGUAACACCCCACAUUUCGGACGAGAACGAAAAUCGUCAUUUCCUGCACGUAAAGGUUCCAAAAUCCAUAAAUCCAAUGCAAGUUUAGUGUGUUAAUAAAUUAUGUAGUGUGGAAACCUAUUUGAGCAUGAAUUAAUAUCAUAGAGGUCCCCAAGCUCAAGGACAAGUUGAAAGUUUUCCUAUCGUUUGAAUUUUAGUGAGCGUUGAAACUUAGGUCAACUUCAAUCGACCUUUACUCUUUGUAUAUAUUGAAUUAGAGUGCCUACUAUAUACCAAAUAAAAGGUAUUCGAAUUAUCUUUCCAACGAUACCAAUUUCGCGAAAAUCCGACACCUGAGAAAGAAGUUAUGGCUUUACAAAGUACAAUGUGUCGUGCAGCAAAAGGUGUGUGACGCACACCCUAACUUAUGCCAUAAGGUGUGCGACGCACAACCUAAUGCUACGAUAAAGAGUGCGGCGCACAACCUAUAUUAUGCCAUAAGGUGUACGCCGCAUAUAUUUGUAAGACCCCGCAAAAUCGUUGCAUCCGAAUUCAGCUCUCUUGGUUACAAGCGUCAAGACUUACCAAAUUUUCAUAAUUGUUCAACACUUAGUCUCAUUUCAAGCCUUCGAACUUAGGGGAUUUAUUUGAUGACCUUCCCGACCUCCGUUUUUGGAUUUUCAAGUUGCGUUACGAUCGGGCAAGCUUGUAGUGCACCCCGGGUGAGUUUCGGAAUUUUUGGAGUAGCGUAAGGUCAUGUUUGAUAUCCCAAACCAGUAGAAAAAGGUUACGGGGCCGUGCAGCCUCGCUUAGACCCCCGGUCUAAGUAGGGCGCCGCCCUAGCUGGAGACUUUUUGCCCAGUUUUCAGCAUUUCAGGGUCAACUUCAAACAAUCAUAACUCCCGCUUUAUAAUGAUCUGUGAGAGAUAUAAUAUAUCAAAUGAAAUCUCUUUGAGUCCUAUUUCAAAUGCAAUUGGUUUCAUCUAAUUUCAGUAUAUAAGCAAAAAGUUACAACCGAUUUACUUCAGCCUAUCAAACUGUCAACUGAGGGACAGAUUUGACCUUAAUUGUUCCUUAGGGGUAUUUUCGUCAUCCUCCACCCCCAUAUAUACCCCCAACGCGGGAUUAAGCCUUCAUUACACCAAAAUAUAGCCUAUUUUCUGAAAAACUAUCAAGAACAAGGCUAGGGUUUCAAUUGGGGCUUCCAAGAUUCAUGCCGAUUUAAUCACGAACUUCACAAAUUCUUAAUCUAAGGUAUGCGUAGUGUUCAUCUAUGGAUUCAAUUCAUUCAUAGAGCUCAAGAAUCAUGCUUUUAAAUGUUGUUUUGUAAACUUUUUGUGGUGAUAUGAAUAUGUACAUGUUGAUGAUGGAUGUUUAAUUUUCAAGAUGAUAUCUAAGGAUGUUUUCAUGAAAUAUAUGUGGUUGUUGGUUNNNNNNNNNNNNNNNNNNNNNNNNNNNNNNNNNNNNNNNNNNNNNNNNNNNNNNNNNNNNNNNNNNNNNNNNNNNNNNNNNNNNNNNNNNNNNNNNNNNNNNNNNNNNNNNNNNNNNNNNNNNNNNNNNNNNNNNNNNNNNNNNNNNNNNNNNNNNNNNNNNNNNNNNNNNNNNNNNNNNNNNNNNNNNNNNNNNNNNNNNNNNNNNNNNNNNNNNNNNNNNNNNNNNNNNNNNNNNNNNNNNNNNNNNNNNNNNNNNNNNNNNNNNNNNNNNNNNNNNNNNNNNNNNNNNNNNNNNNNNUUCCCUUAUGCUUGAAUGGUUUCCAUGCCAUUGUUAUGAAUAGUAUAUGUUGUCGAAAUGUCCAUGAUAUUAGAAUAUGAGAUUUAUGACUUGAUUAUAAGCAUUCCUAUUCAUGAUAGAUAUUAUGAUGACCAUGUACUUCAUGAAAUCCCCCACUCAUGUAUUAUGGAUUGUUAUUGAUGGUCGUGUACUCAAGAAAUUCAAGUUGUGUCAGUUUCCUUUCAUCGAGUCCUGGGGGUACUUGUUCCCAAAAAAUAUAGCUGUGUUCCUAGAGCCAUGUCAUGUUUUCAUGAUACUCUCAGUCAAGUCAUGAUCUAUAGAAUUCAGUCAGUCAUGUGACUCAGGAAAACUCAUAAAUCUCAGUAGUCCAGUAAUCUCAGUAAUCUCAGUGCUCAGUAACCUCAGCAACCUCAGUAUUCACAGUCAAUAUCAGUAACUUCAGUACUCUCAACCAGUCCUCAGAACUCAGUACAUUCCAUCAGUCAUCGAAAUCCAGUAAACUUAGUUUAGCUCCGCUAAACAAUACCACUAGUAUCAGUCCAGUUAAUCAGUAUCAAUUAAGCUAAUCAUUCCAGUUCAGUUAUUCAGUUCAGCUUAGUUAUUUAGUUCAAUGUCCUUCAGAUGGGAGUAGAAGUUAGCACCAAGUGAACCCAAGGAUGGGAACUCACUUGCCAGUUCAGGGUGUGAUUCUUAGUAGUCAUCCUUGUGUUCCAGAACUAUGUAGCCAGCAUAGGUUGAGACAUCUUAAACUGUUAAAUUAGGGUUGAUAAGGUGGAUUAACCUGUCAGUUUAGGGUUCCCACCAUUCUCAUUUGAGUACCUGCCAGUAUAGGGUUCUCACAGCUAUCCUUACUAGUGGCAUGGUAUUGACACCCCUCUAGUCGGGGCAGAGAUUUGACCCCAACUUUGCUGUAUACGUUAUAGGGGAAUGUCAGUUAGAUGACUACUUCCCACAGUUUCAGUUAUAGAUUUUAGGACUGUCAGCUACAGUUACCCAGUCUUAGUAAAGAACUUAGAUAGUUCUUCAGAUUUCAGUAUAUCAGGACUAUCAGAUACAAUCAACUCAGAAAUAGAAUGGAACUUUGAUAGUUUCCUUAAGGUUUAUGGACUGUCAGAUACAAUCACUUAUGAUAUCAAUCACAACAGUUAUCAGAACUCAUGCUAUCAGUACUCAGCUUCAGGAUUGUCAGAUACAGUCAAUCAGACCAGUUCUUCAUAGUUUGAACUGUCAGAGACAAUCAUUCAUUUAUCAGUAAUGCAAUAUCAGUCUCUUAGUAUUCAGUAAUACAGUAUUAGAUUCAUCACUUAUUAGUGAUUUACAUAUCAAUAUCAGUAAACUCAAUCUUUCAGAAUCUCAUCAUCAGUACACUCAUGUUGUUAGUGUUCAAACUCAGUAUCAGUAUCUCCAUGAGUUCAAUUACAGUUACGUAUGCAUAUAUGUACUCUCACGUUCAUAUCAGUCAGUAUUGUUCAUGCAUAUAACCCUUUGCAUUUAGCCUACCUCACUCGUAUACUCAGUACAUUCAGACGUACUGAUGCAUUUGUGCUAUGGUGCUUUCUCUUAUGUUAUACAAUAGGUUCAGAGUAAUGAGCUCCAAAUCAGCAGUAGAUUCUAGGAUCAGCAGUCAGAGUUAGAUGUGAGUCCUUAUCCUUUGAGGACAUGAUGAUUUCAUUUCUAUUUCAGUUUUUAGUUUAUUUCAGUAGUUGGAGUUAGUUAGGGACAUGUCCCAUCAACUCCUUAUUCAGACAGUUAGAGGCUUUCUAGACUACUUCAUGUCAGAUAGUUAUUUUAGUUUUUUUUUUGCUAUUGUUAUACCAUAUUUUUCAGAUAUGUAUCAGUAUUGAACCUUAUGGCCUUUCAAUUUAUGUUUUUGCAUAUUUUAUAAGAUAUUAUGCAGUUUACAGGUACAGAUAUCAGUCAUGAUUUAGCUUGUGGUCCUUCAAGGUCAUGAGCAUCAUGUAGCAUCUUGGUUUAGAAAAUCGGGGUGUUACAAACUUGGUAUGAGAGACUAAGGUUCAAUAAAGUCCUAGGAAGUUUGAAAGUCGCAUCUAGUAGAGUUUUGUACAUACGUGUGUUGUGCACCACACUUAUGUGCAGGAGGCUAUGAGAUAUUUUAGGAACAGUUUCCCUUCUUUCAUGUAUCAGAUCGUGCUAUAGCAAGGUUCUUUAAGAAAAAAACUCAUGUAGAUACACAUCAUGCUCCUCUCAUGUCAUCUUUACCUUACUUCUAAGGUAAGAAAUAGUGAAGUUCAAGUCCUAAAGAUAGGGCUUUCUCAGACAGCAUCCCAUCAGUUCCCUUAUGUUCCAAAGUUAUACGGAUCUCAUUCAUGAUCAUGAGAACUCAUUCUCGAACCCAGGUUUAGAUAUGCCAUCAGAUCCUUUCUGAAAAUCCUAUGAUAGCAUGUGACCCAGAGUUAGAAGCAUGAACCCAGGAGUUUUGCAGUAGUAGAGUUGGGAUAAUGAUAUCUAGACUAAAAAGACUAUGUAUUCAUGGGAUAGUUGUGCCAGAAUGAAUCAUUAGGCUUGAACAGUAUGAGUUAGAAAUUUAAUUUUAUUGACCUAAAAUUAAGCAUGAUGGUGUGAAUAUGAUAUUAGUAGUAUGUGAGAAAAUAGAGGCAGAUGAUGUGUUUAGUAAGGCAAGCAUGUGUUUGAUAGAGUGUAAGUAUGUGAUAAUGAUUUCAGUGCAGCUCAGAGAUUAGUUUAGUGUUCACAGACUUAUGAUGAUGGCUUUAAGCUAAGGGGAAGAUGAUAGAUAAAGUAACCAACUCAGCUCUCAGAUUCCAGUAGUAGUGCCAGUAUGUACAGAAAAGUAGUUAGGGAAGGCGAUUCCCAACCCAUCCUUAUCUCAGCGUAUAGCUUCCUACUUCAGUCAGAAUAAUGCCUAUGCAUGCUUUAUUUCUCAGAUUUUAUGAAUGCAGCUUAUGUUCACACGUAUUCCAUAGAAUCGUGUUUGCUUUUAGUUCAUAGGGAGUUCAGUUCUAGAUCACUCAGUGUUACGAAUCAUGUUUCAUAAACUCAGAAAUUCUAGACUCAGGUCAUGAGCUCAUGACUCAUGUACACGUAUAUGCUCCCCAGUAUACUCAGUUUCCAUGACUCAUACUACACCUUCAAUGAUCAGAUAAAUUCAGACUAUAUCAUGUAUAUACUCAGUUCAAACCUUUUUGGUAAAUCCAUGUUGUUGAUAUUCUAUUCCUCAGGUUUCAGUCAUGUUCCAAGUUCAGUAAGUAUCUAUUCAUGUUUCAGGUUCUCCUGAUUUAACACUUCAUAAGAUCUCCUUGCAGAACAGUGUAGUGGUGAGCAGUCACUUAGAUGGGAGAGAGUUAAUAUUUCAUGUUAAGAGCAGACUGUUACAUGUAUGUUUUACAUAAGGGUGUAGAUACGAAGAUAGGCUUGAAUGUCAUGUUAGUAUGCAAUUAAAUGGCUAGCAAGGGAUAGUACUUAGAAAUUGGGAAAGUUUAGAAUAUGAAUAUAUAUUCAGAUCCCUGACUAGUGUCAGCCUUCAUGUUUCGGCUAUUGUAACUUAGUAACCAAUUUCAGUCCCAAAGCUCAGCUUCAGUAGUCCAGUAUCAGUAAUUAGCAUUUGAGAUAAAUAUGGACUUCGUGAUUGGUUUACCUCCUUCCCGAUGCCAUCAUGAUUCCAUUUGGGUUGUGGUUGAUAGGUUUACUAAGUCUACUCAUUUCUUACCUGUUCAUACUUCAUAUACUGCUGAGGAUUAUGCUAGAUUGUAUAUCCGAGAGCUAGUCAGACUACAUGGAGUUCCCUUGUCUAUCAUUUCAGAUAGGGGUACUCAGUUCACUUCGCAAUUUUAGAAAGUACCCAAGUGCUUUUGAGUUUUUCUUUUCAUCCACAGAUCGAUGGUUAGGCUGCGCGGACCAUCCAGACCUUAGAGGAUAUGUUGAGAGCUUGUGCACUUGACUUUAAAGGAAGUUGGGAUGAUCACUUAUCGUUAAUACAGUUUGCUUACAAUAACAGUUUCCACUCUAGUAUUGGUAUGACUCCAUUUGAAGUCUUAUAUGGGAGGAAGUGUAGAUCACCCAUAGGUUGGUUCGAGGUGGGUGAAGCGGCUGUGAGUAGUCCUGAUUCGGUAUUUGAGGCUAUGGAAAAAGUUAAGUUGAUUAGGGAAAGGUUGAAAACUGUGAAGAGUCGUCAAAAGUCAUAUGCGNNNNNNNNNNNNNNNNNNNNNNNNNNNNNNNNNNNNNNNNNNNNNNNNNNNNNNNNNNNNNNNNNNNNNNNNNNNNNNNNNNNNNNNNNNNNNNNNNNNNNNNNNNNNNNNNNNNNNNNNNNNNNNNNNNNNNNNNNNNNNNNNNNNNNNNNNNNNNNNNNNNNNNNNNNNNNNNNNNNNNNNNNNNNNNNNNNNNNNNNNNNNNNNNNNNNNNNNNNNNNNNNNNNNNNNNNNNNNNNNNNNNNNNNNNNNNNNNNNNNNNNNNNNNNNNNNNNNNNNNNNNNNNNNNNNNNNNNNNNNNNNNNNNNNNNNNNNNNNNNNNNNNNNNNNNNNNNNNNNNNNNNNNNNNNNNNNNNNNNNNNNNNNNNNNNNNNNNNNNNNNNNNNNNNNNNNNNNNNNNNNNNNNNNNNNNNNNNNNNNNNNNNNNNNNNNNNNNNNNNNNNNNNNNNNNNNNNNNNNNNNNNNNNNNNNNNNNNNNNNNNNNNNNNNNNNNNNNNNNNNNNNNNNNNNNNNNNNNNNNNNNNNNNNNNNNNNNNNNNNNNNNNNNNNNNNNNNNNNNNNNNNNNNNNNNNNNNNNNNNNNNNNNNNNNNNNNNNNNNNNNNNNNNNNNNNNNNNNNNNNNNNNNNNNNNNNNNNNNNNNNNNNNNNNNNNNNNNNNNNNNNNNNNNNNNNNNNNNNNNNNNNNNNNNNNNNNNNNNNNNNNNNNNNNNNNNNNNNNNNNNNNNNNNNNNNNNNNNNNNNNNNNNNNNNNNNNNNNNNNNNNNNNNNNNNNNNNNNNNNNNNNNNNNNNNNNNNNNNNNNNNNNNNNNNNNNNNNNNNNNNNNNNNNNNNNNNNNNNNNNNNNNNNNNNNNNNNNNNNNNNNNNNNNNNNNNNNNNNNNNNNNNNNNNNNNNNNNNNNNNNNNNNNNNNNNNNNNNNNNNNNNNNNNNNNNNNNNNNNNNNNNNNNNNNNNNNNNNNNNNNNNNNNNNNNNNNNNNNNNNNNNNNNNNNNNNNNNNNNNNNNNNNNNNNNNNNNNNNNNNNNNNNNNNNNNNNNNNNNNNNNNNNNNNNNNNNNNNNNNNNNNNNNNNNNNNNNNNNNNNNNNNNNNNNNNNNNNNNNNNNNNNNNNNNNNNNNNNNNNNNNNNNNNNNNNNNNNNNNNNNNNNNNNNNNNNNNNNNNNNNNNNNNNNNNNNNNNNNNNNNNNNNNNNNNNNNNNNNNNNNNNNNNNNNNNNNNNNNNNNNNNNNNNNNNNNNNNNNNNNNNNNNNNNNNNNNNNNNNNNNNNNNNNNNNNNNNNNNNNNNNNNNNNNNNNNNNNNNNNNNNNNNNNNNNNNNNNNNNNNNNNNNNNNNNNNNNNNNNNNNNNNNNNNNNNNNNNNNNNNNNNNNNNNNNNNNNNNNNNNNNNNNNNNNNNNNNNNNNNNNNNNNNNNNNNNNNNNNNNNNNNNNNNNNNNNNNNNNNNNNNNNNNNNNNNNNNNNNNNNNNNNNNNNNNNNNNNNNNNNNNNNNNNNNNNNNNNNNNNNNNNNNNNNNNNNNNNNNNNNNNNNNNNNNNNNNNNNNNNNNNNNNNNNNNNNNNNNNNNNNNNNNNNNNNNNNNNNNNNNNNNNNNNNNNNNNNNNNNNNNNNNNNNNNNNNNNNNNNNNNNNNNNNNNNNNNNNNNNNNNNNNNNNNNNNNNNNNNNNNNNNNNNNNNNNNNNNNNNNNNNNNNNNNNNNNNNNNNNNNNNNNNNNNNNNNNNNNNNNNNNNNNNNNNNNNNNNNNNNNNNNNNNNNNNNNNNNNNNNNNNNNNNNNNNNNNNNNNNNNNNNNNNNNNNNNNNNNNNNNNNNNNNNNNNNNNNNNNNNNNNNNNNNNNNNNNNNNNNNNNNNNNNNNNNNNNNNNNNNNNNNNNNNNNNNNNNNNNNNNNNNNNNNNNNNNNNNNNNNNNNNNNNNNNNNNNNNNNNNNNNNNNNNNNNNNNNNNNNNNNNNNNNNNNNNNNNNNNNNNNNNNNNNNNNNNNNNNNNNNNNNNNNNNNNNNNNNNNNNNNNNNNNNNNNNNNNNNNNNNNNNNNNNNNNNNNNNNNNNNNNNNNNNNNNNNNNNNNNNNNNNNNNNNNNNNNNNNNNNNNNNNNNNNNNNNNNNNNNNNNNNNNNNNNNNNNNNNNNNNNNNNNNNNNNNNNNNNNNNNNNNNNNNNNNNNNNNNNNNNNNNNNNNNNNNNNNNNNNNNNNNNNNNNNNNNNNNNNNNNNNNNNNNNNNNNNNNNNNNNNNNNNNNNNNNNNNNNNNNNNNNNNNNNNNNNNNNNNNNNNNNNNNNNNNNNNNNNNNNNNNNNNNNNNNNNNNNNNNNNNNNNNNNNNNNNNNNNNNNNNNNNNNNNNNNNNNNNNNNNNNNNNNNNNNNNNNNNNNNNNNNNNNNNNNNNNNNNNNNNNNNNNNNNNNNNNNNNNNNNNNNNNNNNNNNNNNNNNNNNNNNNNNNNNNNNNNNNNNNNNNNNNNNNNNNNNNNNNNNNNNNNNNNNNNNNNNNNNNNNNNNNNNNNNNNNNNNNNNNNNNNNNNNNNNNNNNNNNNNNNNNNNNNNNNNNNNNNNNNNNNNNNNNNNNNNNNNNNNUAUGAUGACGCACAUGUGUUAUUGUACUUAUUUCAUCCUCUCAUGAUUAUGAUGAUUUUGUUCGGGCUAUGUGAGUCUUUCAUACAUCCUGCAUAUUUCUUAUAAAUAUUUAUGAUGAUGAUGUUUAUACAACUUCAUACACCCAUAUAUACUCAGUUCCUUUCCAUAGUACUGACCCACAUCUUCGAAUGUGGGCUGCAUUUUCUCGAAAUGUAGGUUCAGGUGCUUAGUUCUAGGUUUGACAGUGAUUCUUUAGGAACGCUAUUCUACAUCCUCUGUUGUGGCGAGUCCUCAUGUUCCGAGGACGUGAUGUCUGAUGUUGGUUUCACGGAAUUUUUUACAUUUGAUAACUGAGUAUGAGUCAGUUGGGGCAUGUCUCAAUGGCUCGCUGGUUUUAUUGAUUUUCUUAGAGGUUUGUCAGACUAGUAUAGAUGUUGGGAGUUGACUAAUAAUUUAUACUUUGUUAUCUUUCUGAAAUUCUUUUAUUCUUGGAUGAUAAUUACUCUGUUGAUAUUUGAGGGUUAUUUAUGGAAACCCCAUUGAUUUGUGUUGAACUGAAUGAAAAUGGAUCAAAGGGUUAGCUUGGGGCUACUCGUAGCCUCAAGCACCGUGUGACGCUCCGAGACCCAUUUUUCGGGGCGUUACAGUAUCCCAAGGGGGAGAUAUGUCAUAACCCCCAAACUUUCAUGACAUUAACAUGCUACCUUCUUUUUCUUUUAAUGAAUCUAGUUUGGACUAAGGGGUACUCAUAAGUUUACCCUUAAGCUCCAACCUUAGUUGUAUGCCAUGUAUUACAGACUCAGUUCAGCUCAUGUAUCACGUUCCAGACUCAGUUAUGUUCUCAUGUUUCCUCUCAAGCAUAUUGAGUAAUUAAUCUCAGAUCAUCAGUAUUUUUAGUUCAAGGUAACAGUCUUCCUUGAACUUACUUAUUCCCAUAUUUGGAUUUCAGUACCAAGCUUUGUAUGCAGUUUCAUGCUCAGUUUUCAGUUCAAACUUGGUACCAUUACCAUUGUAUGUUCAGUCGCAUGUUCAUGAGUUAGUUCAGUUAUGUAUCCACACAUCAGAUAUGCGUGGUCAGCUUAUCAGUACAUUCAGUCAUGCAUUCACAUAUCACGUCAGUCAUACAAUCAUGCAUCAGAUAUGCAUUCUUAUUUGAGAAAACUCAGUUCAUCAAAACACUCAGUCCUACAUUCAUAAAUCAAUUACGCAUGCAUCCGAUAUGUAUGUACAGUAUAAUAUACUCAUCUUAUCAGUUAUGUCCUUCAAAAAAAUCAUAUUUUGGUAGUGUACGUCUUGUAAAUACUUCAGUUUAUCAUUUCUCUCCUCUUAGUCAGUUUUCAUUCAAGGACGAAUGUUCUCAAGGGAGAUAUUGUAAGACCCCGUAAAAUCGUUGCAUCCGAAUUCAUCUCUCUUGGAUUUACAAGCUUCAAGACUUAGCAAAUUUUCAUAAGUGUUCAACACUUAGUCUCAUUUCAAGCCUUCGAACUUCGGGGGGGAUUUAUUUGAUGACCUUUUCGACCUCUAUUUUUGGAUUUUCAAGUUGCGUUACGAUCAGACAAGCUUGUAGUGCACCUCGGGUGAGUUUUGGAAUUUCCACAGUAUCUUAAGGUCAUGUUUGAUAUCCCAAACCAGUAUAAAAAGUAUACGAGGCCGCGCAGCCUCACUUAGACCCUCGGUCUAAGCAGGGCGCCGCCCUGGCUGGAGCCUUUUUGUCCAGUUUUCAGCAUUUCAGGGUCAACUUCAAAUGAUCAUAGCUCCCUGUAUAUAAUGAACUGUGAGAGAUAUAAUAUAUCAAAUGAAAUCUCUUUGAGUCCUAUUUCAAAUGCAAUUGGUUUCAUCUAAUUUCAGUAUAUGAGUAAAAAGUUAUAACCGAUUUACUUCAGCCUAUCAAACUGUCAACUGAGGGACAAAUUUGACCUAAAUUGUUCCUUAGGGGUAUUUUGGUCAUCCUCCACCCCCAUAUUUACCACCAACACGGGAUUAAGACUUCAUUACACCAAAGUAUAGCCUAUUUUCUGAAAAACUCUCAAGAACAAGGCUAGGGUUUCAAUUGGGGCUUCCAAGAUUCAUGCCGAUUUCACCGCGAACUUCACAAAUUCUUAAUCUAGUAUGCAUAGUGUUCAUCUAUGGAUUCAAUUCGUUCAUAGAGCUCAAGAAUCAUGCUUUUAAAUGUUGUUUUGUAAACUUUUUGUGGUGAUAUGAAUAUGUACAUGUUGAUGAUGGAUGUUUAAGUUUCAAGAUGAUAUCUAAGGAUGUUUUCAUGAAAUAUAUGUGGUUGUUGGUUGAAAAUCAUGAACUUUGGGUGGUUUAAUAUAAUGCAAGUACAAAAUUCACCUAUGCCUUGAAGAAUGCAUGCAAGGUGUUUGAUAAAAUGCCUAGGAUGCUAGAAAUUCCUAUUUACAUGAUUCUAUGAUAUUCACAUGACAAGUCCGUGUUAGCUAUACACUUCAAUAUGAAUUUCCAUGCUAAUUAUGUAUUCUUAUGGUAGUGGCAUGAAGUAUGUAUGAUGAUGAAGAUAUGAAUUAUGUAUGCGAAUUAUAUCCAUGCUUUUCCUACCAUGUUUGAGAUGUUGAAUAAAUACAUGAAGUGAAAUAUACCCAAAUCAUUAAUAUAUGAACUAAAUGUUACAUGUUGACAUUCGCUUAUGCUUGAAUGGUUUCCAUGCCAUUGCUAUGAAUAGUAUAUGUUGUCGGAAUGCCCAUGAUAUUAGAAUAUGAGAUUUAUGACUUGAUUAUAAGCAUUCCUAUUCAUGAUAGAUAUUAUGAUGACCAUGUACUUCAUGAAAUCCCCCACUCAUGUAUUAUGGAUUGUUAUUGAUGGUCGUGUACUCAAGAAAUUCAAGUUGUGUCAGUUUGCUUCCAUUGAGUCCUGGGGAUACUUGUACCCAAAAAAUAUAGCUUUGUACCUAGAGACAUGUAAUACUUUCACGAUACUCUGAUUCAAUCCAUGAUCUAUAGAAUUCAGUCAGUCAUGUGACUCAUGUAAACUCAGAAAUCUCAGUAAUCUCAGUAGUCCAGUAAUCUCAGUAAUCUCAGUACUCAGUAACCUUAGCAACCUCAGUAUUCACAGUCAAUCUCAGUAACUUCAGUACUCUCAACCAGUCCUCAGUACUCAGUACAUUCCAUCAGUCAUCGGAAUCUAGUUAACUUAGUUUAGCUCCGCUAAACAAUACCACUAGUAUCAGUCCAGUUAAUCAGUAUUAGUUCAGCUAAUCAGUUCAGUUUAGUUAUUCAGUUUAGCUUAGUUAUUCAGUUCAGUGUCCUUCAGAUGAGAGUAGAAGUUAUCACCGAGUGUACCCAAGGAUAGGAACUCACCUGCCAGUUCAGGGUAUGAUUCAUAGCAGUCAUCCUUGUGUUUCAGAACUACAUAGCCAGCAUAGGUUGAGAUAGCUUAACCUAUCAGAUUAGGGUUGAUGAGGUGGCUUAACCAUUCAGUUUAGGGUUCCCACCAUUCUCAUUUGAGUACCUGUUAGUAUAGGGUUCUCACAGCUGUCAUUACCAGUGGCACGGUAUUGACACCCCUCCAGUCGGGGCAGAGAUUGGACCCUAACUUUGCUAUAUGAGUUAUAGGGGCAUGGCGAUUAGAUGAAUACUUCCUACAGUUUUAGUUACAGAUUUCAGGACUAUCAGCUACAGUUACCCAGUCUCAGUAAAGAACUCAGAUAGUUCUUCAGAUUUCAGUAUAUCAGGACUAUCAGAUACAAUCAACUCAGAAAUAGAAUGGAACUCUAAUAGUUUCCUUAAGAUUUAUGGACUGUCAUAUACAAUCACUUAUGAUAUCAAUCAAAAUAGUUAUCAGAACUCAUGCUAUCAGUACUCAGCUUCAGGACUAUCAGAUACAGUCAAUCAGACCAGUUCUUCAUAGUUCGAACUGUCAGAGACAAUCAUUUAUUUAUCAGUAAUGCUAUAUUAGUCUCUUAGUAUUCAGUAAUACAGUAUCAGAUUCAUCACUUAUUAGUGAUUUACAUAUCACUAUCAGUAAACUCAGUCUUUCAGAAUCUCAUCAUCAGUACACUCAUGUUGUUAGUGUUCAAACUCAGUAGUCAGUAUCUCCACGAGUUCAGUUACAGUUACGUAAGCAUAUAUGUACUCUCACGUUCAUAUCAGUCAGUAUUAUUCAUGCAUAUAACCCUUUGCAUUUAGCCUACCUCACUCAUAUACUCAGUACAUUCAGACGUACUGACACAUUUGCGUGAUGGUGCUUUCUCUUAUGUUAUACCAUAGGUUCAGAGGCAUGAGCUCCAAAUCAGCAGUAGAUUCCAGGAUCAACAGUCAAAUUUAGACGUGAGUCCUCAUCCUUUGAGGACAUGAUGAUUUCAUUUCUAUUUUAGUUUUCAGUUUAUUUUAGUAGCUGGAGUUAUUGGGGACAUGUCCCAUCAACUCCUUAUUCAGACAGUUAGAGGCUUUCUAGACUACUUCAUGUCAGAUAGUUAUUUUAGUUUUGUUUUUGUAUUGUUAUACCAUAUUUUUCAGAUAUGUAUCAGUAUUGAACCUUAUGGCCUUUCAGUUUAUGUUUCCACAUAUUUUAUGAGAUAUUAUGCAGUUUACAGGUACAGAUAGUAGUCAUGGGUUAGCUUGUGGUCCUUCGGGGUCAUGAGCACUGUGUAGCGUCUCGGUUCAGAAAAUUGGGGCGUUACAAUAUUAUUACUCAAGUGACUUAAACACUCUAUUUUUGGGGCAAAAUGGUCCUUUUCCCACCCUUACUUAGCCAUAAACAUGAAAUUCAGUUCCCAAAUACCCCAAAAUACAACUUCAUUCAUCAAAAUUGCUCAAGAACUCUCCUUAGGGUUUCAAAAUAAAAACCCAAGAAACUCAAGAUUCAACCGUGGGUUUUUGAAACUAAUUGCAUAUUUGGAAUCCAUAGAACGUAGGCUUCAAGAAGCACCUAUCAUCUUUGCAUAUAGAGGUACGUAGGGUUAUCUUAAAAAUCUCAUGGGCUUAAAAAUUCAUGUUUUAAAAAUGGAGGUUUAGAAAUUAUGAAUAUAAUCCCAUUUUAAAUGUUUUGUGAUAUUGAUUUUGUCUUUAGGCCUAUUCCCAAAGUGGUUUGAUAUAUGAUAUAUAUAUAUAUAUAUAUGCAUGUAUUUCGAAAAGAUGUUAACUUGAGAGUAUAAAUUAUAUGAAAUCCCUCUCUUUAUUUGAUCUCAUUUUAAAUUCUCAUAUGAUGUGAAAUGUUUGAAAUCAUCUUGACAAGUGUGAAAUGAAAUAUUUUGAAAAUGGUCAUGGUUUUGACUUGCAAUGAGGGUUGUUAUGUUGAAAUAUAAUGAAUAUAAAGGUUGCAUGAAAGAAUGAUAUGAUAUUGAUGGCUUGCAAGUCGGGUAUGACGAUACCCUAUAGAAUAAGAUAUGUGAUUGAAUUAAAUAGAGUUUGAUGUAUUGAUUUUACAUGAGAUAGGUGGAUGCCCGAAGAAGGCAUUUGAGUGUAAGGGCUCAUCGCUAGAAACUGUGUUUGCCGACAAGGGGAUUUGGUACCAGGCUAAGUGAUCUUGUGUACUUGACUUUAUGUUAUUCCCAAAUUGGGACUAUGGUUAGGAGCCCAGGCUAAGUGAUCUUGGGCACUACUAUACUUUAUUGGGUCGAGACACCCUGCUGUGUGAUCUUGUGUGUCUCCCCCUAACUUAUACUCUAAUCUCGGCGGUGACCGUGAUUUGACAGUUGUUGUAAAUGUUAUAUGUAGGGUUUUCCACCUAGCUCAGCUGCAUUACAUUGUUGUUGAAAACUAUUACAUUAUGCCCAUGUGUUUUCAAAACUAUUACAUUUGAUAUUCUCAAACAUGUCUCAUUAUUGGGCCGAUUCAAGUACAGAAGUUUAGAGUUUAAAUGGUAUGGUUCUUUCUGAUAGAAUCAUAUAAUAUUUCUGUAAGGACUUGAGAAGAGUCCAUUAGUACUUCAAAAUGUAUUUGGUUCUCGUGUGAACCUUGAUUUUAAUGAAAUCGUGCUUUUCAGCCUGCAGUAUUAAGAGUAUUCCAUCUCUUUUCAAAAAUUUAUAUUGCAGGUGUAUGCUUCAGGGGGAAUGAUGUGUAGUAGAAUGUUGGAACUGUAUUUCCACCCGAUUAGUAGUAUAAGUUAAAGUGUCAGUGUCAUGACCUACUGGUAGUGAGAUUAGACCAAGAAGUGUAUGAUAUGAAGUCACAAAGUUAGAAGUCAGAGUGAAGGUGACUUUUGUGUAUAUAGAUAUUUUAGUUGAAUAACCGAUGUUUGAGAAUGAUUUACCACUUUAUAGUGAUAGACUAAUAUGAUAGCUAGUAACAUAUAUGGAUUGUAUGGUAGUCUGUGGGGAAGUGUUUGGCUUAGAUUUUUAUUUAUACAGAGUAAGAUGUGUAUUCUUAGAUCAUUGCAUAUUGUGUGUCAAUUUUCUAUCUCUUGUAAUAUUUAAUCUGGUUAUCAUGGUAUUUUUGAAAAAUCAAAGUCUAGUGAAGCCUUGUGGGGCUCUUUCGAUUCACUAUCAUAGUUGCUUUGUUAUUCAUUUCAUUUUCUUGUUCAAAGCACAAAAAUCAAAGUCUAGUGAGGCCGUGUGAGGCCAAUUUCUAUUCACUAGCAACUUGUUGUUCAUGUGUUGGUUGAAUAUAUGUAUAGUCGAAUCUUUUCGCAUGAGGUUGAGUUGGUACUGAAGUGAUACGUCUUGAUGUGUUAGUUUAGCAGAAGGUAGAGAAAGAGUUAUUAGUUAAGGAGAAUUGUUGUCUGCUUGAAGUAUGAAAAUGGCUAGAUGACCCUGUAAGUUAUAAUUUGUCACGACCCAAAUCGGGGCCCAGGCCGUGACGAGUAUCCCGUACCAUGAAGGCCCGAAUCACCCCUGUCUAUCUGGUAAUCAUGCACAUAAUUCAUAUGAUAAAAGGAAUGCAGAAGAUACACAAUAUUACAGAAACAUGGUCAUAAGUCUAAUACAAUCAAUAAUGGGAAAUAAAGUCCCACAACAUCUAUCAACAUCUGAAAUCCGUCAGCGAAAUCUCUACUACAUGACUAAUAACAACAGUCUGAAAUCUGGGAUAAGGCCCCCAGUAGACCAAAACAUGACUAAAGAUAAAUAUCUGAAAGUAAACAGGCCUUCUGGAAUAUAGAAUGCUUACCACUGCACAAUCUGACCUGUGAUAAAAAAUAUCUACUAUUCAUCUGGACCCCUAGACUAAGUCUCAAAACCUGGAAGGGGGGGGGGUCAGCACAAAAGUACUGGCACACGAAGCAAUCCAAAAUAGAGUGAUUGAAUAUAUAUAUAUAUAUAUAUAAUAUAAUACAUGAGAGCAAUUUUCAUCAAAACAUCAUGGAUAAAACAGUUUCUGAAAAAUACAUGGGCACCUUAUGAAAACAUGUAACCUGUCUGUAAAUUUCAAAUUCUGAUUUGUGUAUUACUUCUAAGUUAGGUGGUAUCCCCUACAAACCUAAUAUUUCACGAGCGAUAUGGAAUCCGCCAUUGACUCGGCGGGGAAGCCUCCAACCCGAGUGUGCCACAAGGGUUAGAGUUCCUGAAUAUGAUACGCCACACGACACUUAAGUCAGCGUAUAAUAAUAUGCCCGGGCCGGCAAACCAUGGUUUUGGGCAAAGAGUUGUAUGAACUCACACCUUCUUUGGGGAACCACCUAAGCUCUCUUUAUUCCCUAUUUUAGCCUUUUCUGAACAUGCAUCAUUCUGAAGUUCUAAAAUAUGCAAAUUUGAUAAAUUCUGAUUUCUGUAUUCGUCUGUGUCUGUUAUGGCAUUUUCUGAGUUUGGUAUUGUCAUACCAAGACUUGAAAGUCCUAUUUCUGAGCCAUAAUGCAUUAAGCAUGAUCUUUUAUAAAAUAUAGUUUCAGACCACCCAAACAUGUGAUUUGCAUAUAAGAUUUCAUGUUCCAAAACUCAAGUCAAAACCAUGCAAAAACUUCAUCAAACAUAUGGUGGUCUAAUGCCUUUAGCAAAUCCAUGCACUCUUUCAUUACAUGCAUUAUGAACAUUAAACAUUCAUGCUAAAUUCCCUCUUUAGUGAUUUAAAACCACAUUUAAAUCAUAAUAAGAGUUCAACCAUUUCAUAUAGUGCUUUUCAAGAAUGCAUUGCAAAACAAUUCAUAUGCUGUGAAAAAUCUAAAAAUUCAUAAUAAGAGGGAAUUCACCAAAUGUCAUGCUCUCAACAAGAAUUCAUUCUUAAAUUCAUGUUUUCAUACAUACACUCAAAUCACUUUUGGGAAGGUCAAAAGACCAAAACAAUGAUGUUAAAACAUCUAAUACGUGAAUAUCUACAUAGUUUCAAAAAACCCAUUCUAAAACAUGAUUUUUCUAUGCCCAUGAGUAUUUAGGAAAACCCCGCGUACCUCUAUAUGUGAAGAUGAUAGGUGCUUCUUGAAGCCUAGGUUCUGGGGAUUCCAACUAUGCCACUAGUUUCAAAACCCACGGUUGAAUCUUGAGUUGCUUGGGUUUUUAUUUUGAAACCUUAAGGAGAGUUCUUAAGCAAUUUUGUUGAAUGAAGGUGUAUUUUGGGGUCUUUGGGAACUGAAUUUCGUGUUUAUGGCUAAAUAAGGGUGGGAAAAGGACCAUUUUGCCCCAAAAAUGGAGUGUUUAAGUCACUUGAAAUGUUUACAUAAGCGCCGCCUAUGCUAUCGCCUAUGUUUACAUAGGCGCUGCCUAGGCUAUCGCCUAUGUUUUCCAGUGGCCAUGUACGAUUGGUUAGGCGGUGCAUACUACUUUGAAAGGCCAUAAAUUCUUCCUCGGAUGUAAGAUUUUAGCAAAAUUGGUAUCCUUGGAAAGCUAACUCGAAAACCUAUCAUUUUACACAUGUAGGCUCUCUAAUUUGACAUAUACAAAGAGUCAUGGUCGAUAGAAGUUGACAUAAAUUUUAAUAUCCACUUAAACUUAAUUGAUCGAAGUAGUUUUCAACUCGUCCUUGAGUUGAAGGACCUCUAUGGUCUAAAUUCAUGCUCAAAUGGAUUCACAUACUAUAUAAACAUGCCAAAUUGGCAUAGGAUUUAUGGCUUUGGGAUUAUCGAUGCAUCGGAAUCAUGGUCUAUAUUCUAGCCCGAAAUAUGGGGUGUUACAUUAUCUCCCCCUUAGGAUCAUUUGUCCCCAAAUGAUGGAUAGAAUGUCAAAGUUUUAAGGCUAUGGGAUAGUGCGAACAUGAUAUGUUCCCUAAGAAAGAAUACACUGAUCGGAAACAUGACUAUAAGAUUGGAACUACUGAUGUUUUAAAUGCUUAUGCCGGAUAUGCAUAUCCGAGGCAUGGAAUACACAACUGAAGCGACUCAUAGGCUGAAUUCUCAUAAUGAAUCAUGCAUAUCUUAUGCAUGGAUCUGUGACCGAGUUGUUCUCAUGAAUACAGGACUGAAUACACUGAUAAGCUGAAGUUUUCUAUUGGACAUACAUUUCAAUGCAUGCAUAUCUGACUAAACUUUUGAAAGAAUGUAUGACUGAAUAUGCAAUGAUAACUGGUGUGAAGCUUGUAAUAAGAAUCUAUACAUGCAACGGAAUGGGGUAUCUCCCCCUUGGGACACUACGUGCCUCUAUGAAUGCUCAAUUUACUAGGAUUCUCAGAAAAUUGAGACAAUGCACAAGGCACCUACGAAUUGAUUCAUAACUGAACAUCCAAAAUUUGAACCUAAUGCAUGAUGCAUGAACUGAGCUAUACUCUUAAUUACUAGUAUACUCUAUCUUGGAAUAGUAUCAUGUCUGAGAUUUUAGAUAGCAUGAAUAAAUGAAAAGAUGAGAAAACAAGUCAUGCGAAUCUGACUGCUAAACUGACUUACUGACUUACUGGCUAUACAGACUGAAUUAGGCUGGACCCUCAUACUUAACUGGAGCAUCUCAUCAAUUCUCUCUCCAAGGGAUUUCUAAUAAUAAUAGGGAGCUACAAAACUUAUGUAUGGAUUACACAAGACAUCCAACUGAGGAAAUCACAACAUUGACACUACUCUGCAGUCUGGAAUAUGGACAUAUAACUCCAAAAUUAGGAUAGAAUUACCAAGCCUUUGGCAUUACAACUCUUUAAUUUCAAGCUUAGCACACUUCUCGAAUAUCACUUAACUAUACUAUUCUCCUUAAAUAUUAUAUUCAUUCAACUCAGCUUAAAAUUCUCAUAUGAGCAUUGACAAAUUUUUCUAGUAAUGUCUAAAAUAGCUUAAUCCUUACACCGCGAUCAAGCCUAACUCUAAGUCACUAAAAUACAACAUGCUACUCGCCGCUAUGGUUCUAAACCAUAAGAUGCCACCUUCUAAACCUCUUUUAAAGAUCACAUCCUAAGCGUAACAUGCCUUACCACUUCAAUGACUACUUUGAACUCUUAAUAUGAAGUUGCUAAUGCAUAUUGCGACCUUCCACUACAAUCCCAAAACGUCAUUCAAGCCUAACUUAUAACCACAUGUUAACUCCAAGGCAAUCAUAUAUAAAUAUAUACUGCACAUAGUUUCUAAACUAUUAUCAAUAUAACUCCCAUGCGCUAUCCUAAAAACAUACAAACACAAACUUUUCCACUAACCAUCACAUGUAUCAAAGACUUGGCCCCAAAUCUUACUUCAUACUUAUGGCCUUAUCUAAACAAGCAUACUAUAAAGAGUAAGUACAUGCGUCAUGAGUUGCAUGACCUCAACUAGAGUUCAUAACAUAAGGAAUGUGAUUCCGAUUACUUGAAUGAAAUAGAACUCAUUAUCUUGGAACUGGAAGAGUACGUGACUCUCUAUCAUAUACAGGAAUCAUGAACUAUGAUCACAGAACUGAAUCGUAAGGCAUGAGUAAGCAUUAGGAUCACUGAGAAAUACUGAGAUAGGAAUGGGUUGAGAUUCACCCUUACUUUUUGAUGUUCUAUAUCAUCAUGACAUCACUACAAGAAUCUGAGAGUCUUACUUGGUUAUUCGUUUAGUCAUCUCCCCUUUAGCUUCAAGCCAUCAUCUUAAGUUUUUGGGAGAUACCUUACUAACUUUAAAAAGUCACCAUCUUAUGUUUUUGGGAGAUACCUUACUAGACUUUAAACUUAACUGUACUCACUGCACUUUGGGUUCUGAAAUAUGACAAUACACAAAAUUUUCACUUGGAAACUAUAAAUAAACAUCAGGAAACACUAGUGCACUAGAACUUCAUAGCCACACACACACAAAAAAUUGAUCAUGACCUUACGAUCUUCCUCAUCAUAACUCAUUAGCACAUACUAUUUCAACACAUCAAGCCUACUAAUUUAAUUCCACAAAACGUGCAUCAUCGAUCUCAUGCCACUAUUUUUUUUUCCACCACAUCCUUCACUUAAAUUCAAACCUAUAGUUUAGCAUCAAUAAUCUACCACCAAUGAUGAGUGCAAAAUAAGAUGCUAGUCCAUAAAAUUGACAUGUUCUAUUCAAACAACUUUAAAUCCACUACCUACCCUCUCACAAGUUGUACUAGUUUACAACUACCAAUGAAAAGAAGGUCAAGGGGUAAAGUCAUAUAAUAGACAUGAUCAACCUUAAUCUGAUAUUAUUACCCCAUACAAUCUUCUCUACUUAUGCGAUUUUCUCACCUCAUACUUACUUACUUAAGCAUACAUUUAGACUGCCUUCAAAUUUCUCAAACAACCAUGAGUCUAUAAUCAUAACUUACUCACUAAUAUAGCCAUUUUCACAUUCAAGCAACCAAAAAAUCACCCUGACUAACAAUUCCUUCUCUACCUUCUACUAAUAACACACAAGGACGAAUCAUCUCUUUACCGGCUCAAUCUCAUGCAAUCAUAUUCAGCUAUACCUACAUUAAACCUACACAAGAACAACAAGUUGGACAACAAGUUGCUAGUGAAUCGAAAUAGGACUCACACGGCUUCACUAGACUUUGGUUUUGUAUUUUGAACAAGAAAAUGAGGAGGAUGACAAGGCAACUAUGCUAGUGAAUCGAAAGAGCCCCACAUGGCUUCACUAGACUUAGAUUUUUUUUUUUUUGAAAAAUACCGUGAUAACAAGAUUAAAUAUUACCAGGGAUAGAAAAUUGACACAUAAUAUUUAAUGGUCUAAUAAUAUACAUAUAUUUUGUAUAAAUAAAAAUCUGAGUAAAACACUUCCUCCAUGGACUACCAUACCGUCCACACACGCUGUUAGCAACGUGUAAUGCCCCGCAUUUUGGGCUAUAAUAUAAACCAUGAUUUUGAUGUGUUGAUAAUCCUGAAGCCAUAAAUCUUAUUCCAAUAUGACAUGUUAAUUAUUUACAUAGUAUGUGAAUCCAUUAAAACUUGAAUUUAGACCAUAGAGGUCCUUCAACUCAAGGACGAGUUGAAAUUAUUUUUAUCGAUUAAGUUUUAGUGGAUGUUGUAAUUUGAGUUAGUUUCCAUAGACCAUAACUCUUUGUAUAUGUCAAAUUAGAGAGACUACGAUGUGUCAAAUGAUAGGUCUUUGAGUUAUCUUUCCAACGAUACCAAUUUUGCUAAAAUUUGACACCCAACCUUUCAAAGUAGUAGGCAGCACCUAUGUAAACAUUGGCGAUAGCAUAGGCAGCGCCUAUGUAAACAUAGGUGAGGUUUCAAGUGACUUAAACACUCCAUUUUUGGGGCAAAAUGAUCCUUUUCCACCCUUACUUAGCCCUAAACACGAAAUUCAGUUCCCAAAGACCCCAAAAUUGUAACGACUCGUAUUUCGGCUACAAUAUAGACCAUGAUUUUGAUGCAUUGAUAAUCCUGAAGCGAUAAAAUCCUAUUCCAAUACGGCAUGUUAAUUAUUUGUGUAGCAUGUGAAUCCAUUAAAUCUUGAAUUUAGACCAUAGAGGUCGUUAACCUCAUGGACGAGUUGAAACUAUUUCGAUCAACUAAGUUUUAGUGGAUGCUGUAAAGUGUGUCAGCUUCUAUCGACCAUAACUCUCUGUAUAUGUCGAAUUAGAAAUCCUACUAUGUGUCAAAUGAUAGGUAUUCGAGUGAGCUUUCCAACGAUACCAAUUUUGCUAAAAUCCGACACCCGAGCAAGAAGUUAUGGCCUUUCAAAGUGAUAUGCGUCGCCUAACCAAUCGCCCAUGGCCACUGGAAAGCAUAGGCGAUAGCCUAGGCGGCGCCUAUGUAAACAUAGGCAAUGGGAUGGGCGGCGCUUAUGUAAAGAAUUCAAGUAACUUAAACACUCCAUUUUGGGGACAAAGUGGUCCCUUUCCACCCUUACUUAGCCCCAAAAAACGAAAUUCAGUUCCAAGGACCCCAAAAUAUACCUUCUUUCAUCAAAAGUGCUCAAAGAUUCUCCUUAGGGUUUCAAAAUAAAAACCCAAAUAGUUCAAGAUUCGACCGUGAGUUUUCAAAAAUAAUUACAUAUUUGGAAUCACCAAUCCGCAAGCUUCAAGAAACAUUUAUUAUCUUUGGAAAUAGAGGUACGUGGGGUUAUCCUAAAAUCUCAUGGGUGUAGUUUUUAUGAACAUGCAUGUUUUUAAAUGGGGGUUUUCAAUAAAAUGCUAAUAUCUUGCUUUCAAUAUUAUUUCUAAGUCAUUUUUUUUAAUGUCAAGGGAAUUGUUUGUCUAUAUACUUUAAUGGUUGAAACAAUGCAUAUGUGAUUUGAGAUUUUCCAUAUAAGUUUGAUAAAUAUGAAAGAUAAAUUGCUUUCAAAUUCCCAUGAUAAUGUCUUGAUACCAUAUAUCACAUUGUGAUCAACAAAAGAGAGCAUGAAUUUAAAAUAAAUAUUGUUCACCACUUGUAAAUGAUGAAGCACUUUGGUUUUAACAUGAUUUUGCAUAUGUGGAAGUGAUAUUGAGGACUUACAAGUCGGGUAUGACUAUACCCUACAGAAUAUGAUAUGUGAUUGAAUCAGAUGAAAUUUAAAUAUAUUGAUUUUACAUGAGAUAGGUGGAUACCGGAAGAAGGUGUUUAAGUGUAAGGGCUCAUCGCUGGAAAAACGUGUUUGCCGAUACAGAAAUUUGGUACCAGGUUAAGUGAUCUUGUGUACUUGACUUUAUGUCAUUCCCAAAUUAGGACUAUAGGUAGGAGCCCGGGCUAAGUGAUCUUGGGUACUACCAUUAGGUCGAGACACCAUGCUUCGUGGUCUUGAGUGUCUCUCCCUCACUUAUACUCUAAUCUCGGCGGCAACCGAGGUUAGACAGUUGGUUUAAAUUAUGUAGGGUAUUCCACCUAGCUCAGUUUCAUUUCAAUGUUGUUGAGAAACUAUUUCUUUACACCCAUGUGUUUUCAAAUGAUUUGAUAUGAAAUUGUUUUAUAAUUGCUCUCAACUAUAUUUUAUAAAAAUAUUAUGUUUUGUUUCGAUAUCUCUGCAGCCAGUACUUUUGUGCUGACCCCCUCCCCUCUCUUACCUUUUAGGUUCAGAGGCCCAGUCUAGGGGUCAAGACAAUUAGUAGAUCAUUCAGACAGAGUUGCAGAGACAAGUGGUGAGCCUUCUAUGUUUCAGAGGGUCUUAUGUCGUGCAGUCCUUUUAUCUGAUAUUCAGUUUUGGGGUCUACUGGGGGCCUUGUCCCAGUUUAUAUGCGGUUACUUCACUCAGUCAUUUGUUAGAGAUUUUCGUAGACAGUUGUUUAGAGGUUGAUUGAUGUUGGGGGAACCUUAUCUCUCUGUUAUUGUUUCUUUUCUUAUUUAUGACCAUGUUUCUAAAUUAUUGUAUUUCUUCCGCAUUAAUUUGAUCAUAUGAAUUAGGUGCAUGAUUACUAAAUAGAUAGGGGUGUUUCGGGCCUCCAUGGUUUAAAAUGAUCAUCACGGCCAGGCCCUGGUUUGGGUUGUGACAAACUUAGUAUCGGAGCACGGUUCAUGGUCCUAGGGUGUCUGCGAAAUCGCAUAAGGUAGAGUCCUAUUUAUUGGUGUGUAGCGCACCACACUUAUACACAGAGGGCUACUAGGUGUUUAGGAAAUGUUUCCCUUAUUUGUGAUUUAGUUCGUGCUUUAGAGUCUGAACUGUCCCCUAAUCUAUGAUCACUUGUGUUUCAGAAAUAUAGUUAUGCCUCUAUGUCGUAUCAUCGAUUAGAAUGCUCAGGCAAAUGAGGUCCGUCCUACCUAUGGGAUGCGGACCCAUAACAGGGCUCACACUCUAGAAUUUAUCCCUACUUCGGGAGUCCCUCCAGUCACGACCAGUCUACCUCAAGCUCCGCAGACUAAUGCCAAUUGUCCCCCAACUGCUCAGGGAGAUAUUUCAAAUGCAGAAUUCAGAUGGUCUAUUCAUAUGCUGACCCAGUUUGUAGCUAACCAGGCUCAACGAUAGAAAGAUGUUGGGUCUGCAUCUAUUAUGCUUGAGGCUACUAGAGUCAAAAAUUUCAUGAAGAUGAACCCACCUAAGUUCACUGGCACCAAGGUGGAUGAAGAUCCACAGGUGUUCGUGGAUGAGAUGGAAAAAAUCUUUAAGGUGAUGCAUGUGGAUGAGGUUGAAUGGGUGGAACUAGCAACCUAUCAGCUCAAGGACAUUGGGAAUCAGUAGUAUGCCGACUGGGAAGAUGCAAAAGAUGAAAGUGCUGAGCCCAUAGUUUGGGGAAAAUUUAUGGAAGCUUUCCUUGAUCGAUUCUUUCCUCUGGAGUUGAGGUAGACCAAAGCAGAAGAGUUUAUGAAUCUGAAGUAGGGCAGUAUAAGUGUCCAGGAGUACACUUUGAAGUUUAAUAAACUAGCCUGCAAUGCACCAGAGUUGACUAGUAAUAUGAUAGUCUGGAUGAGGAAAUUUGCAUAUGGCCUUACUGAUAACCUGGUACUUGAGUGCCAGGGGGCUAUGUUGAAUAAGGAGUUAUACUUUGCUCGACUGACCGUUCAUAUGCAGUAGGUGGAAGAGAAGAAGAAAAAGAUUACUGAAUCUAGAGAGAAAUAUAAAUAGGCUAAGAGAGCUAGAUCUGCAGACCAGCACCAGAGUCAGCUGCAGAGUGGUAACUGGGGUAAUAAGUGGUCGAAGAAGAAGAAGUUUUGGCAUAAUGCACAGUCAGCAGCCAGCGCCCCAGCACCCAGACCACUGACAGACAGACAAACUUAUAGUUUUUAGACUCCUCAUGGAUCCAAAGCUCUAGGUACACAGUCUCAGGGCAGUGUGGCCCAAUAGCAUCGUACUUAUUCGUGGUGCGAGGUUUGUGGAAGAAAUCAUCUAGAAAAGUACUAGUUUGAGGGGAGAAACUGCUAUACUUGUGGUAAAUGGGUUACCUUCAGAGAGAUUAUCCUUCUGCUAGAGGAAAUANNNNNNNNNNNNNNNNNNNNNNNNNNNNNNNNNNNNNNNNNNNNNNNNNNNNNNNGGGGGAAGGGGGGAGGGGGGAGGUCUAGGUCCCAAGCCGCCUCCAUAGCUCCUUUUCCUAAGGGUACCCCUUUAGCUGCCGGGAGCGGUCGUAACUGGUUAUAUUCUUUUACUUACCGCUAGGAGGCAGAAGCUUUACCAAAUGUUGUCAUCGGUAUGUUACGAAUCUUUUCUCGUGAUGUUUAUGUAUUGCUUGAUCCCGGGUCUACUUUAUCUUAUGUGACCCCUUAUAUGGCUGUUGGUUUCGGGUUUGAGCUCGAAGUUAUUGUACAACCCUUCUCUGUUUCUACUCCUGUAGGUGAUUCUGUUAUUGCUAGAAGGGUGUAUAGAAAUUGUGUCGUGUCUAUUCAUAGUAGGGAAACUGUGGAAGACCUUAUAGAACUGGAUAUGAUAGAUUUUGAUGCCAUCCUUGGGAUGGACUGGCUCCAUUCGUGCUAUGCCACACUCGAUUUCAGGAAUUACAGAACCUGAAAGGUCACUUUUUCUUUCCCGAAUGAGACACCAAUUGUAUGGGCAGAGAGUUCUAUGGAAUCUAGAGGUCACUUUAUCUCUUAUCUUAGAGCCCAAAAGCUUAUCUCCAAAGGUUAUAUGUAUCAUCUAAUUCGAGUAAAAGAAUCAAAAGUUGAAAACCUUCCUCUGUAAUCAGUCCCUAUAGUGAAUGAAUUCCCAGAAGUCUUUCCCGAAGAUCUCCCAGGGAUACCCCCCGAUAGGGAGAUAGAUUUUGCCAUUGAGUUGUUGCCAGACACUCAUCCUAUUUCUAUUCCGCCAUAUAGAAUGGCUCCCGCGGAACUAAAAGAGUUAAAGGAACAACUUGCAGACCUCCUAGACAAAGGUUUUAUUCGUCCUAGUGUUUCCACAUGGGGUGCACCUGUGCUCUUCAUGUGAAAGAAGGAUGGGUCCCUUCGGAUGUGCAUAGACUAUCGUCAGUGAUAAAGUCAGCCCACUUUUUGCCUAUGAGGACUAAUUAUUCGAGAGAGGUUUAUUCUAAGAUUUACAUUUAGGAUAUAGUUCGAUUGCAUGGGGCACCAGUGUCCAUUAUAUCCGAUUAAAUAAGGUCUCGAUUUAAAAUAACUAUCCUCUUCCUAGGAUUGACGACCUUUUUGACCAGCUUUAGGGUGCCAAGUAUUUUUCAAAAAUAGACCUUCGUUUGGGUUAUCAUUAGUGUAAAGUUAAGGAGUCAGAUAUACCCAAGACAACCUUCCAAACCCGAUAUGGUCAUUAUAAAUUUCUAGUCAUGUCCUUCGAGUUGACUAACGCCCCUGCAACCUUCAUGAAUCUUAUGAAUAGAGUGUUCCAUCAGUUUCUUGACUUUUUUAGACGGAUGGGAAAAAUGAGCGUACUAUUCAGACCCUCGAAGAUAUGUUGAGGGCAUGUGUCAUUGAUUUCAAAGGUAGUUGGGUAAAUUACCUGCCACUGGUUGAAUUUGCUUACAAUAAUAGUUACCAUGCCAGCAUCAAGAUGGCUCCUUUUGAGGCUUUGUAUGAAAGGAUCUGUAGGUCUCCGAUAGGAUGGUAUGAAGUGGGUGAGACUCAAUUAUAUGGGCCUAGAUCAUCAGCUGUAUGCCAAAUUUUAUAAGUGUGAAUUCCGGUUAGAUGCUAUUGCCUUCCUAGGGCAUAUUUAGUUGAUGAAGAAAGUGAAGAUCAUUAGAGAAUGACUAAAGACUGCUCAAAGUCGUCAGAAGUCCUAUGCCGAUGUUCAGAGAAGAGAACUAGAGGAGAAAAUGGCCCAGACCCAUGACUCCAACUGAUAUUCGGAGCUUCUUGGGUUCGGCGGGGUAUUACAGAAGGUUUGUAAGAGUUUUUCUUCCAUUGCUGCUCUGCUUACUAAACUGACUCAAAAAAAGAUGAAUUUUGUAUGGUCUGACUUGUGUGAAAAUAGUUUUGAGAAGUUGAAGGAUUUGGAAAAAGAGGUAAAUUGAGCCCUUGCUACGUAGGGCCAUAUCAGAUUCUAAAAAAGAUUGGUACAGUUGCAUAUGAGCUAGAAUUGCUUGCAAUUUUGGGUUUCGUUCAUCCGGUAUUCUAUGUAUCCAUGUCGAAGAAAUGCAUUGGAGAUCAUUCUAUGGUAUUUCCAGUAGAGGGUAUCAAAGUGACAGCCUCUGUAAAAGUGCUGUGGAGGAUCAGAAAGUCGAAGAAGCAACUUAGGAGUCAGAAGAUGACAUGAGAAUUAGAUAUCCCAAUUUGUUUGCUUAGAUGGAGGAUGAGACAGAAGGUACUAUUCCUAUCUUAUCUUUCCUAGUCCUUUAUUUUUCUCACAGAAAGAAUUGAACCUCAGACAGAGACGUUGGAUGGAGCUUUUGAAAGACUAUGAUAUGAGUCUGCAUUACCAUCUGGGCAAGGCAAAUAUUGUAGCCAACGCCAUCAACAGGUUUUCUAUGGGCAGCCUUUCUCAUGUAAAAGAAGGAAAGAAAGAAUGUGUUGAUAAUCUCGAAGCCAUAAAAUCCUAUGUCAAUAAGGCAUGUUAAUUACUUGUGUAGCAUGUGAAUCUAUUCAAGCUUGAAUUUAGACCAUAGAGGUCCUUCAACUCAUGGACAAGUUGAAACUAUUUCGAUCGACUAAGUUUUAGUGAGUUAAGGAGAAGCAGGUUGAAGAUCCCAUCUUGAUGCAAAUCAAGAAAGAUGUGGGUCAACAAAAGGUUAUGUCAUUUGACAUUGGUGGUGAUAGUAUUCUGAGAUGAGGCGCACACUUCGAUGUAUGUCAUUCACCCUGGCGCUACUAGAUGUACCAUACUCUGAAAACCUUGUAUUGGUGGAAUAACAUGAAACGUGAUGUAGCACAUAGGUGAUAGCCUAGGCGGCUUCUAUGUAAACAUAGGCGAUAGCAUAGGCGGCGCCUAUGUAAACAUCCACAAGAUAGCCCUGCCUUUAUGAAAGUGGGAUAUGAUAAACAUAGACUUCAUUACAGGUCUUUCGAGAUCCCAAAACCAGAAUGAUUCUAUAUGGGUGAUUGUAGAUCGAUAAAGUCAGCCCACUUUUUGCCUAUGAGGACUAAUUAUUCGAGAGAGGUUUAUUCUAAGAUUUACAUUUAGGAUAUAGUUCGAUUGCAUGGGGCACCAGUGUCCAUUAUAUCCGAUAGAGGUACACAGUUUUCAUCUCAGUUCUGGAGAUCGAAUUGUUUACCUAUAUACUUUAAUGGUUGAAACAAUGCAUACGUGAUUUGAGAUUUUCCAUGGAAGUUUGAUAAAUAUGAAUGAUAAUUUGCUUUCAAAUUCCCAUGAUAAUGUCUUGAUACCCCAUAUCAUAUUGUGAUUAACAAAACAGAGCAUAUAUUUGAAAUAAAUAUUGUUCACCACUUAUAAAUGAUGAAGCACCUUAGUUUUUACAUGAUUAUGAAUAUGUGGAAGUGAUAUUGAGGAAUUGCAAGUCGGAUAUGAUGAUACCCUAUAGAAUAUGAUAUGUGAUUGAAUUAGAUGAAAUUUGAAUGCAUUGAUUUUACAUGAGAUAGGUGGAUGCCCGAAGAAGGUGUUUGAGUGUAAGGGCUCAUCGCUGCAAAAACGUGUUUGCCGACACGAAAAUUUGGUACCAGGCUAAGUGAUCUUGUGUACUUGACUUUAUGUAAUUCCCAAAUUGGGACUAAAGGUAGUAGCCCGGGCUAAGUGAUCUUGGGAACUACCAUUGGGUUGAGACACCAUGCUUCGUGGUCUUGAGUGUCUCUCCCUUACUUAUACUCUAAUCUCGGCGGCAACCGAGGUUAGACAGUUGGUUUAAAUUAUGUAGGGUAUUCCACCUUGUUCAGUUGUAUUUCAUUGUUGUUGAGAAACUAUUACAUUACACCCAUGUGUUUUCAAAUGAUUUGAUAUGAAAUUGUUUUAUAAUGGCUCUCAACUAUAUUUUGUAAAAAUAUUAUAUUUUGUUUUGAUAUCUCUGUGUGCCAGUACUUUGUGCUGACCCCCUCCUCUCUCCAACCUCUCAGGUUUAGAGGCCCAGUCUAGGGGUCAAGAGAAUCAGUAGAUCAUUCAGACAGAGUUGCAGAGAUAAGUAGUGAGCCUUCUAUAUUUCGAAAGGUCUUAUGUCCUGCAGUCCUUUUAUCUUAUAUUCAGUUUUGGGGUCUACUGGGGGCCUUGUCCCAGUUUAUAUACGGUUACUUGACUCAGUCAUUUGUUAGAGAUUUUCGCAGACAGUUGUUUAGAGGUUGAUUGAUGUUGGGGGAACCUUAUCUCCCCAUUAUUGUUUCUUUUCAUAUUUAUGACCAUGUUUCCAAAUUAUUGUGUUUCUUCCGCAUUACUUUGAUCAUAUGAAUUAUGUGCAUGAUUACCAGAUAGUUAGGGGUGUUUCGGGUCUCCAUGGUUUGAAAUGCUUGUCAAGGCCAGGCCCUGGUUCGGGUCAUAAGAAAAAUACACCUUCAUUCAUCAAAAUUGUUCAAGAACUCUCUCUAGGAUUUUAAAAUAAAAACCCAAGUAGUUCAAGAUUCAACCAUGGGUUUUCAAAACAAAUUGAAGAUUUGGAAUCUCCGCAACGUAGACUUCAAGAAGCACCUAACAUAUUCGCAUAUAGAGGUACGUAGGGUUAUCUAAAAAAUCUCGUGGGCUUAAAAAUUCAUAUUUUAAAAAUGGGGGUUUUGAAAUUAUGAAUAUAAACAUGUUUCAAGCAUCUUUAUGAUAUUGAUUUGGUCUUUAGGCCUAAUUCCAAAGUGAUUUGAUAUAUGAUAUAUGUAUAUGCAUGUAUUCCAAAAAGAUGUUAACUUGAGAGCAUGAAUGAUAUGGAAUCCCUCUCUUGAUGUGAAUCUGUUUUAAAUGUUCAUAUGAUGUAAAUUGUUUGAAAACAUCAUGAAUAGCAUGACAUGAACUAUUUUGAGAAUUGAUAUUAUUUUGACUUGAAAAUGAGAGGGCUAUUUGUAUUGAGACAUGUUGAAUACAAUGGUUGAAUGAGAAGAAUGAUGUGAUAUUGAUGGUUUGCAAGUCGGGUAUAACGAUACCCUACAGAAUAUGAUAUGUGAUUGAUUCAGAUAAAAUUUGAAUGCAUUGAUUUUUCAUGAGAUAGGUGGAUGCCCAAAGAAGGCGUUUGAGUAUAAGGGCUCAUCGCUUGAAAUCGUGUUUGCCAACAUGGGAAUUUGGUACCCUGUUUUGUGAUCCUGCGUACCUGACUUUAUGUCAUUCCCAAAUUGGGACAAUGGUCAGGAGCCCUACUUUGUGAUCUUGUGCACUAUCAUUGGGUCGAGACACCCUGCUACGUGAUCUUGUGUGUCUUUCCCUCACUUAUACUCUAAUAUCGGUGGCAACCGAGGUUUGACAGUUGAUGUAAAUGUGAUAUGUAGGGUAUUCCACCUAGCUCAGCUGGAUUGCAUUGUUGUUGAAAACAAUUACAUUACGACCAUGUGUUUUUAAGUGAUUUGAUAUGAAAUUGAUUUAUAAUGGCUCUCAACUAUAUUUUAUAAAAAUAUUAUGUUUUGUUUUGAUAUCUCUACGUACUGGUACUUUUGUAUUGACCCCCUUCCCUCCUAGGUUUGGAGGCACAGUAUAGGGGUCUAGAAAAUCAGUAGAUUUCCUCAGACAGAUUUGCAGAGUCACUUGGUGAGUCUUUUAUAUUUCGGAAGGCCUGAUAUCUGAUAGUUUCAUUUAUCAUUUAUUAGUUUUGGGUCUACUGGGGGCUUUGUCCCAGUUUUCAGAUAGAUAUUUAUUUCAGUCAUGUAGUAGAGAUUUCACAGACAGUAUAGAGAUGUUGUGUUGAGAUUAUGGGACAUUAUUCCCCAUUAUUAUUUUCAUAUGAUUCUUGACCAUGUUUCCUUUAUAUAGUGUAUCUUCCGCAUUUUUUUUAUAUAAGUCAUGUGCAUGAUUACCAGAUAGAUAAGGGGUGUUUCAGGCCUUGAUGGUUCAGAAUACUUGUCACGGCCAAGGCCUCGAUUUGGGUCAUGACAAACUUAGUAUCAAAGCACGGUUCAUGCUCCCAGGGUGUCUGAGAAAUCAUGUUGGAUAGAGUCUUAUUUAUGGGUGUGUAGUGCGCCAUACUUAUAAGCAGGAGGCUACUAGGCAUUUAGGAAUGUCUCUCUUUCUUCAUGUUCUAGUUCGUGCAAUAGAGUCAAAAUAUUCCUCUUUCAUACUCAAAUUCAUGUUAUGGUGUCGCCCAUACGAAAGUAACAGUUAUCCCAAUUCUUUCCUUACUUAGAAAUUCUUAGACAUGUCUCAUCAUUGGGCCGAUUCAAUUAUAGAAUUUUAGAGUCUAAAUGGUAUGGUUCGUUCUAAUCGAAUCAUAUAAGAUUUUUGCAAGGACUUGAGAAGAGUCUGUUAGUGCUUCAGAGUGCGUUGGUUCUAGUGUGAACCUUGAUUUUGAUGAAAUUGUGCUUUUUAGCCUGCAGUAUUAAGUGUAUUUAGUUUUUUUCAGAACUUAUGUUGCCAGUGUCACACUUCAGAGGUAAUAAGGUGUAGAAGAUUAUUGGAACUGUAUUUCCACCCGAAUAGUAGUGUGUGUUAAAGAGUUGUUGUCAUGACCUAUUGGUAAUGAAAUUAGACCAAGAAGAUGUGAAGUCACAAAGUUAGAAGUCAAGAGUGAGGAUGAUUUACACCUUUAUAGUGAUAAACUAAUUUGGUAGCUAACAGCAUGUGUGGACAGUAUGGUAGUCCAUGGAGGAAGUGUUUGACUCCGAUUUUAUUUCUAUAGAGUAAGAUGUGUAUUCUUAGUUCAUUGAAUAUUGCGUAUUAAAUCUCUAUCUCAUGAAAUAUUGUCAUCAAAGUGUUGUUGAAANNNNNNNNNNNNNNNNNNNNNNNNNGAUUCACUAGCAUAGUUGACUUGUCAUUCAUCCCAUUUUCUUGUUCAAAAUACAAAAUCAAAGUCUAGUGAAGCCGUGUGAGGCCUAUUUUGAUUCACUAGCAACUUGUUGUCCAACUUGUUGUUCUUGUGUAGGUUUAAUGUAUGUAUAGCUGAAUCUGGUUGCAUGAGAUUGGGCCGGUAAAGAGAUGAUUCGUCCUUGUGUGUUAGUUUAUUAGUAAAAGAUAGAGGAGUUAUUAGCCAAGGUGAAUUGUCCUUGCUUGAAGUAUGAAAAUGGCCAGAUUAGCUAGUAGGUUAUAAGUAUAGACUCAUGGUUGUUGUGGACUUUGAAGGUAGUGUAAAUGUACGUUUGGGUAAGUAAUUGUGAUGUGAGAAAGCAGUAUAAGUAGAUACGAUUGUACGGGGUUAUAAUAUAAGGAUAAGGUUGAUCAUGUCUAUUAUGAGGCUUUAACCCCCUUGACCCUCUUUUCAUUGGUAGUUGUAAACUAGUGCUACUUGUGAGAAGGUAUGUAGUAUAUUUUUGAGAUAUUUGGGUAGAAUGUCCUAAUUUGAUGGAUUAGUAUAUUUAUGUUAUGUUGCAUUCUUCAUUGGUGGUAGAUGAUUGAUACUAAACAUUAGGCUUGAAUUUAAAUGGUGCGAUGGUAAAUAGUGGCAAAAGUUUGAUGAUGCAUGUUUUGUGGGAUUAAGUUAGUAGGCUUGAGGUGCUGCAAUAGUACAUGCUAAUGGAUUAUGAUAAGGGAAAACUGUUAGGUCAUGAUCGAUUAUUGUGGUUAUGAAGUUCUAGUGUACUAGUGUUUUGUGAUGUUUAUUUAUAGUUUCCAAGUGAUAAUUUUGUGUAAGGUUGGGUUGUAAAUCAUGCAUAGCACUAGAUAUUAAGUUUCAAUAGUUGAUGUCCAUGAAGGUGGACGUAAAGAUUUCUUGGUUAAUGAAUACUAGUUGUAUAGAAGUGAUCUAAUAGGCUUGAACGGUGCAUGGAAUAGAUUAAGUUUAUUUGAUUUGUAGUGAUGAAUGACAUUGUAUGUGUGAUGUAGAAGUAUGCCUAGGGGUACAUGAGGUUGUGGCAUUCUUUCUAAGGCCAUUACAUAUUGCGUGUGGCUAGUAGUACCAUUGAGUUGCUAGAUGGGGAAAGACUAGUAGAUGUUAUAUGGGUUCUAAAUAGUUAGGUUAAAAAGUUUUGAUUGAUAGUGUUGAGCCUUUUAUAUGAUCUUGAUUCUCAUAGUAAUGAGGCAUAAGUUGAGAGUCGCGAUAUUAGUACGCUAUGUCGAAAGUGGUUUGGUUCAUCAAAGGCUUGGUGAUAUCUAUGUUAAGUGUUAGAAUCUAAGUUUGAGUUUUGAAGGUUGAACUGAUAGAAAUAAGUGUACGAACUAAUGUAUCCUAGAAGGUAGUCAUUCAGGUUAAGCUCUAUGAUAUGCAUGCAUUGUCAUUUUUUUCUGGCCCUAGAGUGCAGUAAGUGUAGUUCAGUUAGAAUCUGGUAAAGGAUCUCCCAAACUCUAGAUGAUGACGUGAAGCUGAGGGGGAGAUGAUAGAACGAAUGACCAAGUAAGGCUCUCAGAUUAUAGUAGUGAUGCAGUAUGAUUUAGAACAUCAGAAAGUGAGGGUGGAUCUCAACCAAUUCCUACCUCAAUUUUUUUUAGUUAUCCGGAUUCUUACUCAUGCCUUAAGAUUUAGUUCCGUGAUCAUAGUUCAUGAUUUCGGUAUACGAUAGAGAGUCACGUACUCUUCCAAUUCCAAGAUAAUGAGUUCUAUUUCAUUCAAGUAGUCGGAAUCACAUUCCUUGUGUUAUGAACUCUAGUUGAGGUCAUGCAACUCUUGACGCAUUUACUCACUCUUUAUAGUGUGCUCAGUCCUAUAUAAAGAUCUUUUCACGCUUGAGGGUCUUAUGUUUUAAUCUUUUAGUGACCCUUCCUAUGCAAUGAUAGUAGUGAUGAUGUAAAUGUUCUUGUUGAUGGAAGAUCAUAGUAUGCUUGUUUAGAUAAGGCCAUAAGUAUGAAGUAAGAUUUGGGGCCAAGUUUUUGAUACAUGUGAUGGUUAGUGAAAAAGUUUGUGUGCAUAUGUUUUAGGGUAGCACGUGGGAGUUAUAUUGACAAUAGUUUAGAAACUAUGUGAAGUAUGUAUUUAUGGGUGAUUGCCUUGGAGUUAACAUGUGGUUAUAAAUUAGUCUUGAAUGACGUUUUAGGAUUGUAGUGGAAGGUCGCAAUAUGCAUUAGCGACUUCAUAUUAAGAGUUCAAAGUAGUCAUUGAAGUGGUAAGGCAUGUUAUACUUAGGAUGUGAUCUUUAAAGGAGAUAUAGAAGAUUGCAUCAUAUGGUUUAGAAUAAUAGCGAGGUCUGGCAUGUUGUAUUUUUUUUUGUGACUUAGAGUUAGGCUUGAUCAUGGCGAAGGUAUUAAGUUAUUUUUGACAUUAGUAGAAAGAUUUGUCAAUGCUUUGACUUGAAUGAAUAUGAUAUUUAUAGGGAAUAGUAUAGUUAAGGGAUAUUCGGGAAGUGCACUAAGCCUGAAAGUAAGAAGUUGUAUUGCCAAAGGUCUGAAAAUUCGAUCCUAAUUUAGGAGUUAUAUGUCUAUAUUUCAAACUGCAGAGUAGUGUCAAUGUUGUGAUUUUCUCAGUUGGAUGUCUUGUGUAAUCCAUACCCAAGAUUCAUGGAUCCCUAUUACUGCUAGAACUUCCUUAGAUAGAGUGUUGAAGAGAUACUCCAGUUAAGUAUGAGGGUGUAGUAUAAUUCAGUCUGUAUGGCCAAUAAGUCAGUUUAGCAGUCAGAUUCGCAUGACUUGUUUUCUUUUCUUUGCAUCUAGUGUUACUAUCCAAAGUUUCAUGAAUAUGGCUAUUUCAUGAGGUAAUUCAAUCAUGUCCAUGCAAGUUACGAAUUCGCAUCAUGCAUUAAAUUUAGAUUCUAGAUGUUCAGUUAUUAUUCAAUUCGUAGGUGCCCUGUGCAUCGCCUCAGUUUUUCGAGUAUCUUAGUGAAUUGAGAAUUCAUAGAGGGACAUAGGGUCCCAAGGGGGAGAUACCCCUUUCAUCUGCAUGCAUAGAUUGUUAUUACAAGCUCCGCACCAGUUAUCAUUGCGUAUUUACUCAUACGUUCAUACGUCAGUUCAGUCAGAUAUGCAUGUAUUAGAAAUGUAUGUCCAAUAGAAAAAGUUCAGUUUAUCAGUGUAUUCAGUUCUGCGUUCAUGAGAACAACUCAGUAACAAAUCCAUGCAUCAGGUAUGCAUGUUCAUUAUGAGAAUUCAGCUUAUGAGUAGCUUCAGUCGUGUAUUCCAUGCAUCAGAUAUGUAUGUCCGGUAUAAGAAUUCAGAACAUCAGUAAUUCCAGCCAUAUGGGUGUAUUCUUUAUUAGAGGACAUGUCGUGUCCGCAUUAUUCCAUUCCUCUAAUCUUUAAUAUGUUCCUACCCAUCAUUCGAGGACGAAUGAUCCCAAGGGGGAGAUAAUGUAAUGCCCCGUAUUUUGGGCUACAAUAUAGACCAUGAUUUCGAUGCGUUGAUAAUCCCGAAGCUAUAAAUCCUAUGCCAAUAUGGCAUGUUAAUUAUUUGCGUAGUAUGUGAAUCCAUUCAAGCUUGAAUUUAGACCAUAGAGGUCCUUCAACUCAAGGACGAGUUGAAACUAUUUUGAUCGAUUAAGUUUUAGUGGACGUUGUAAUUUGUGUCAGCUUCCAUCAAACAUAACUCUCUGUAUAUAUCGAAUUAGAGAGCCUACUAUGUGUCAAAUGAUAGGUCUUUGAUUUAUCUUUCCAACGAUACCAAUUUUGCUAAAAUUCGACACCCGACCAAGAAGUUAUGACCUUUCAAAAUAGUAGGCAGCGCCUAUGUAAACAUAGGCGAUAGCAUAGGCGGCGCCUAUGUAAACAUCGGCGAUAGCAUAGGCAGAGCCUAUGUAAAGGCUUCAAGUGACUUAAACACUCCAUUUUUGGGGCAAAAUGGUCGUUUUCCAUCCUUACUUAGCCCUAAACACGAAAUUCAGUUCCCAAAGACCCCAAAAUACACCUUCAUUCAUCAAAAUUAUUCAAGAACUCUCUCUAGGGUUUCAAAAUAAAAACCCAAGUAGUUCAAGAUUCAACCAUGGUUUUCAAAAAAAAUUAAAGAUUUGGAAUCUCCGCAACGUAGGCUUCAAGAAGCACCUAUCAUAUUCGCAUAUAGAGGUACGUGGGGUUAUCUCAAAAAUCUCAUGAGCUUAAAAAUUCAUGUUUUAAAAAUGGGGGUUUUGAAAUUAUGAAUAUAAACAUGUUUCAAGCAUCUUUAUGAUAUUGAUUUGGUCUUUCGGCCUAAUUCCAAAGUGAUUUGAUAUAUGAUAGAUGUAUAUGCAUGUAUUCCAAAAAGAUGUUAACUUGAGAGCAUGAAUGAUAUGGAAUCCCUCUCUUGAUGUGAAUUUGUUUUAAAUGUUCAUAUGAUGUAAAUUGUUUGAAAACAUCUUGAAAAGCAUGACAUGAAAUGUUUUGAGAAUUGAUAUGAUUUUGACUUGAAAAUGAGAGGGCUAUUUGUGUUGAAACAUGUUUAAUACAAUGGUUGAAUGAGAAGAAUGAUGUGAUAUUGAUGGCUUACAAGUUGGUUAUAAUGAUACCCUACAGAAUAUGAUAUAUGAUUGAAUCAGAUGAAAUUUGAGUGCAUUGAUUUUUCAUGAGAUCGGUGGAUGCCCAAAAAAAGGCAUUUGAGUAUAAGGGCUCAUCGCUGGAAAUCGUGUUUGCCGACAUGGGAAUUUGGUACCUUGCUUUGUGAUCUUGCGUACCUGACUUUAUGUCAUUCCCAAAUUGGGACUAUGGUCAGGAGCCCUGCUUUGUGAUCUUGUGCACUACCAUUGGGUCGAGACACCCUGCUAUGUGAUCUUGUGUGUCUUCCCCUCACUUAUACUCUAAUCUCGGCGGCAACCGAGGUUUGACAGUUUGUGUAAUAUGAUAUGUAGGGUAUUCCACCUAACUCAGCUGCAUUUCAUUAUUGUUGAAAACAAUUACAUUACGCCCAUGUGUUUUCAUGUGAUUUGAUAUGAAAUUGAUUUAUAAAGUCUCUCAACUAUAUUUUAUAAAAACAUUAUGUUUUGUUUUGAUAUCUCUACGUACUGGUACUUUUGUAUUAACCCCCUUCCCUCCUAGGUUCAGAGGCACAGUCUAGGGGUCCAGAAAAUCAGUAGAUUUCCUCAGACAGAUUCGCAGAGUAACUUGGUGAGCCUUUUAUAUUUCAGAAGGCCUGAUAUCUGGCAGUUUCAUUUAUCAUUUAUUAGUUUUGGGUCUACUGGGGGCCUUGUCCCAGUUUUCAGAUAGAUAUUUAUUUCAGUCAUGUAGUAGAGAUUUCGCAGACGUUAUAGAUAUGUGUUGAGAUUGUGGGACAUUAUUCCCCAUUAUUGUUUUCAUAUAAUUCUUGACCAUGUUUCCGUUAUAUAGUGUAUCUUCCGCAUAUUUUUUAUAUAAGUCAUGUGCAUGAUUACCAGAUAGAUAAGGGGUGUUUCGGGCGUUGAUGGUUCGGAAUACUCAUCACGGCCAGGGCCCUAGUUUGGGUCGUGACACUACCACAUUAGUUUAUCACUAUAAAGGGUAAAUCAUCCUCAAACAUCAGUUAUUCAAUUGAAAUAUUCAUUUACACAAAAUCACCCUCACUCUGACUUCUAACUUUGUGACUUUACAUCACUAACUUCUUGGUCCAAUAUCAUUACCAAUAGGUCAUGACAACAACACUUUAACACACACUACUAUUCGGGUGGAAAUACAGUUCCAACAUUCUACUACACCUUAUUACCUCUGAAGCGUGACACUGGCAACAUAAGUUCUGAAAAGAACUAAAUAUACUUAAUACUGCAGGCUGAAAAGCACGAUUUCAUCAAAAUCAAGGUUCACACUAGAACCAACACACUCUGAAGCACUAAUGGACUCUUCUCAAGUCCUUACAAAAAUCUUAUAUGAUUCGAUCAGAACGAACCAUACCAUUUAGAAUCUAAACUUCUGUACUUGAAUCGGCCCAAUGAUGAGACAUGUCUGAGAAUGUCUGAGUAAGGAAAGAAUUGGGAUGACUGUUACUUUCUUAUGGGUGACACCAUAGCACGAAUUUAAGUAUGAAAGAGGAACAUUCUGACUCUAUUGCACGAACUAGAACAUGAAGAAAGAGAGACAUUCCUAAACGCCUUGUAGCCUCCUUCUUAUAAGUGUGGUGUGAUACACACCCAUAAACAAGACUCUACCCGACGCGAUUUCGCAGACACCUUGGGACCAUGAACCGUGCUUUGAUACCAAGUUUGUCACAACCCAAACUGGGGCCCUGGACAUGACGAGCAUCCCAAACCAUCAAGGCCCGAAACACCCCUGUCUAUCUGGUAAUCAUGCACAUAAUUCAUAUGAUAAAAGAAAUGCGGAAGAUACACAAUAUUACGGAAACAUGGUCAUAAUUCUAAUACAAUCUAUAAUGGGAAAUAAAGUCCCACAACAUCUAUCAACAUCUGAAAUCCGUCUGCGAAAUCUCUUACAUGACUAAUAGCAACAGUCUGAAAUCUGGGACAAGACCCCCAGUAGACCAAAACAUGACUAAAGAUAAAUAUCUGAAAGUAAACAGGCCUUUUGGAAUAUAGAAGGCUCACCACUGCACAAUCUGAUCUGCGAUCUGAAAUAUCUACUAUUCAUUUGGAUCCCUAGACUGAGUCUCAAAACCAAGAAGGAGGGGGAGGGGGUCAGCACAAAAGUACUAGCACGCGAAGUAAUCCAAAAUAGAGUAAUUGAAUAUAUAUAUAUAUAUAUAUAUAUAUAUAUAUAUAUAUAUAUUAAAUAAUAUAAGAGAGCUAUUUUGAAAAACAUGAAAAACACAUAGGCACCUUCGGAAAACAUGUAACCUAUUUGUAAAUUUCAAAUUCUGAUCUGUGUAUUACUUCUGAGUUAGGUGGUAUCCCCUACAAACCUGAUAUUCCACGGGCAAUAUGGAAUCCGCCAUUGAAUCAGCGGGGAAGCCUCCAACCCGAGUGUGCCGCAAGGGUUGGAGUUCCUGAAUCUGAUAUGCCACACGACACUUAAGUCAGCGAUAAUAAUAUACCCGGGCCGGCAAACCACCGUUUUGGGUAAAGAGUUGUAUGAACUCACGUCUUCUUCGGGGAAACACCUAAGCUCUCUUUAUGACCUAUUUUAGCCUUUUCUGAACAUGCAUCAUUCUGAAGUUCUAAAAUAUGCAAAUCUGAUAAUGUCUGAUUUCUGUAUUUGACUGUGUCUGUUAUGGCAUUUUCUGAGUUUGGUAUCGGCAUACCAAGACUUGAAAGUCCUAUUUCUGAGCCAUAAUGCAUUAAGCAUGAUCUUUCAUAAAAUAUAGUUUCAGACCACCCAAACAUAUAAUUUGCAUAAAAGAUUUCAUGUUCCGAAACUCAAGUCAAAACCAUGCAAAAACUUCAUCAAACAUAUGGUGUUCUAAUCAAAUAUAUGUGUUUCUAGUGCCUUUAGCAAAUCCAUGCACUCUUUCGUUACAUGCAUUAUGAACAUUAAACAUUCAUGCUAAAUUCCCUCUUUAGUGAUUUAAAACCACCUUUAGAUCAUAUAAAGAGUUCAACCAUUUCAUAUAGUGCUUUUCAAGAAUGCAUUGCAAAACAAUUCAUAUGAUAUGAAAAAUCUGAAAAUUCAUAAUAAGAGGGAAUUCACCAAAAGUCAUGCUCUCAACAAGAAUUCAUUCUUAAAUUCAUGUUUUCAUACAUACAUAUUCUCAAAUCACUUUGGGGAAGGUCAAAAGACCAAAACAAUGAUGUUAAAACAUCUAAUACGUGAAUAUAUACAUAGUUUCAAAAACCCCAUUCUAAAANNNNNNNNNNNNNNNNNNNNNNNNNNNNNNNNNNNNNNNNNNNNNNNNNNNNNNNNNNNNNNNNNNNNNNNNNNNNNNNNNNNNNNNNNNNNNNNNNNNNNNNNNNNNNNNNNNNNNNNNNNNNNNNNNNNNNNNNNNNNNNNNNNNNNNNNNNNNNNNNNNNNNNNNNNNNNNNNNNNNNNNNNNNNNNNNNNNNNNNNNNNNNNNNNNNNNNNNNNNNNNNNNNNNNNNNNNNNNNNNNNNNNNNNNNNNNNNNNNNNNNNNNNNNNNNNNNNNNNNNNNNNNNNNNNNNNNNNNNNNNNNNNNNNNNUUAUUCAAUUGAAAUAUUCAUUUACACAAAAUCACCCUCACUCUGACUUCUAACUUUGUGACUUUACAUCACUAACUUCUUGGUCCAAUAUCAUUACCAAUAGGUCAUGACAACAACACUUUAACACACACUACUAUUCGGGUGGAAAUACAGUUCCAACAUUCUACUACACCUUAUUACCUCUGAAGCGUGACACUGGCAACAUAAGUUCUGAAAAGAACUAAAUAUACUUAAUACUGCAGGCUGAAAAGCACGAUUUCAUCAAAAUCAAGGUUCACACUAGAACCAACACACUCUGAAGCACUAAUGGACUCUUCUCAAGUCCUUACAAAAAUCUUAUAUGAUUCGAUCAGAACGAACCAUACCAUUUAGAAUCUAAACUUCUGUACUUGAAUCGGCCCAAUGAUGAGACAUGUCUGAGAAUGUCUGAGUAAGGAAAGAAUUGGGAUGACUGUUACUUUCUUAUGGGUGACACCAUAGCACGAAUUUAAGUAUGAAAGAGGAACAUUCUGACUCUAUUGCACGAACUAGAACAUGAAGAAAGAGAGACAUUCCUAAACGCCUUGUAGCCUCCUUCUUAUAAGUGUGGUGUGAUACACACCCAUAAACAAGACUCUACCCGACGCGAUUUCGCAGACACCUUGGGACCAUGAACCGUGCUUUGAUACCAAGUUUGUCACAACCCAAACUGGGGCCCUGGACAUGACGAGCAUCCCAAACCAUCAAGGCCCGAAACACCCCUGUCUAUCUGGUAAUCAUGCACAUAAUUCAUAUGAUAAAAGAAAUGCGGAAGAUACACAAUAUUACGGAAACAUGGUCAUAAUUCUAAUACAAUCUAUAAUGGGAAAUAAAGUCCCACAACAUCUAUCAACAUCUGAAAUCCGUCUGCGAAAUCUCUUACAUGACUAAUAGCAACAGUCUGAAAUCUGGGACAAGACCCCCAGUAGACCAAAACAUGACUAAAGAUAAAUAUCUGAAAGUAAACAGGCCUUUUGGAAUAUAGAAGGCUCACCACUGCACAAUCUGAUCUGCGAUCUGAAAUAUCUACUAUUCAUUUGGAUCCCUAGACUGAGUCUCAAAACCAAGAAGGAGGGGGAGGGGGUCAGCACAAAAGUACUAGCACGCGAAGUAAUCCAAAAUAGAGUAAUUGAAUAUAUAUAUAUAUAUAUAUAUAUAUAUAUAUAUAUAUAUAUUAAAUAAUAUAAGAGAGCUAUUUUGAAAAACAUCUNNNNNNNNNNNNNNNNNNNNNNNNNNNNNNNNNNNNNNNNNNNNNNNNNNNNNNNNNNNNNNNNNNNNNNNNNNNNNNNNNNNNNNNNNNNNNNNNNNNNNNNNNNNNNNNNNNNNNNNNNNNNNNNNNNNNNNNNNNNNNNNNNNNNNNNNNNNNNNNNNNNNNNNNNNNNNNNNNNNNNNNNNNNNNNNNNNNNNNNNNNNNNNNNNNNNNNNNNNNNNNNNNNNNNNNNNNNNNNNNNNNNNNNNNNNNNNNNNNNNNNNNNNNNNNNNNNNNNNNNNNNNNNNNNNNNNNNNNNNNNNNNNNNNNNNNNNNNNNNNNNNNNNNNNNNNNNNNNNNNNNNNNNNNNNNNNNNNNNNNNNNNNNNNNNNNNNNNNNNNNNNNNNNNNNNNNNNNNNNNNNNNNNNNNNNNNNNNNNNNNNNNNNNNNNNNNNNNNNNNNNNNNNNNNNNNNNNNNNNNNNNNNNNNNNNNNNNNNNNNNNNNNNNNNNNNNNNNNNNNNNNNNNNNNNNNNNNNNNNNNNNNNNNNNNNNNNNNNNNNNNNNNNNNNNNNNNNNNNNNNNNNNNNNNNNNNNNNNNNNNNNNNNNNNNNNNNNNNNNNNNNNNNNNNNNNNNNNNNNNNNNNNNNNNNNNNNNNNNNNNNNNNNNNNNNNNNNNNNNNNNNNNNNNNNNNNNNNNNNNNNNNNNNNNNNNNNNNNNNNNNNNNNNNNNNNNNNNNNNNNNNNNNNNNNNNNNNNNNNNNNNNNNNNNNNNNNNNNNNNNNNNNNNNNNNNNNNNNNNNNNNNNNNNNNNNNNNNNNNNNNNNNNNNNNNNNNNNNNNNNNNNNNNNNNNNNNNNNNNNNNNNNNNNNNNNNNNNNNNNNNNNNNNNNNNNNNNNNNNNNNNNNNNNNNNNNNNNNNNNNNNNNNNNNNNNNNNNNNNNNNAUUCAUAUUCUCAAAUCACUUUGGGGAAGGUCAAAACACCAAAACAAUGAUGUUAAAACAUUUAAUACAUGAAUAUAUACAUAGAUUCAAAAAACCCAUUCUAAAACAUGAUUUUUUAAUGCCCAUGAGAAUUUAGGAAAACCCCGCGUACCUCUAUAUGCGAAGAUGAUAGGUGCUUCUUGAAGCCUAGGUUCUGGGGAUUCCAAAUAUGCCAUUAUUUUCAAAAACCCACGGUUGAUUCUUGAGUUGCUUGGGUUUUUAUUUUGAAACCCUAAGGAGAGUUCUUGAGCAAUUUUGUUGAAUGAAGGUGUAUUUUGGGUCUUUGGGAACUGAAUUUCGUGUUUAUGGCUAAAUAAGGGUGGGAAAAGGACCAUUUUGCCCCAAAAAAUGGAGUGUUUAAGCCACUUGAAACGAUUACAUAGGCACCGCCUAUGCUAUCACCUACCUAUGUUUUCCACUGGCCAUGUGCGAUUGGUUAGGCGACGCAUACUACUUUGAAAGGCCAUAACUUCUUGCUCGGGUGUCGAAUUUUAGCAAAAUUGGUAUCGUUGGAAAGAUAACUCAAAAACCUAUGAUUUUACACAUAGUAGGCUCUCUAAUUCGACAUAUACAAAGAGUCAUGGUCGAUAUAAGUUGACACAAAUUAUAAUGUCCACUUAAACUUAAUCGAUCGAAGUAGUUUUCAACUCGUCCUUAAGUUGAAGGACCUCUAUAGUGUAAAUUCAUGCUCAAAUAGAUUCACAUACUACAUAAACAUGCCAAAUUGGAAUAGGAUUUAUGGCUUUGGGAUUAUCGACGCAUCGGAAUCAUGGUCUAUAUUCUAGCUCGAAAUAUGGGGUGUUACAUAAUUAUAGACUCAUGGUUGUUUGUGGAAUUUGAAGGUAGUCUAAAUGUACGCUUGGGUAAGUAAGUGUGAUGUGAGAAAGCUGUAUAAGUAGAUAAGAUUGUAUGGGGUUAUAAUAUAAGACUAGUACUACUUGUGAGAAGGUAUGUAGUAGAUUUUCGAGGUAUUUGGAUGGAAUGCCCCAAUUUGAUGGACUAGUAUAUUAUGUUGCCUUCUUCAUUGGUGGUAGAUGAUUGAUGCUAGACUAUUGGCUUGAAUUUAAUUUAGGAUGUGGAUGUAAGAAUAGGGGCCUAAGAUUAAUGAUGAAUGUUUUGUGAGAAUUGUGUGUCAGGUUGGGUUGUAAAUCAUGCUUAGCACUAGACAUUAAGUUUGAACAGUUGAUGUCCAUAAAGGUGGAUGUGAAGAUUUCUUGGUUAAUGAUACUAGUUAUAUGGAAGUGAUCUAAUAGGCUUGAAUGAUGUAUGCAAUAGAUUAAGUUUAUUUGAUUAGUAACAAUGUAUGAUGUUGUAUGUAUGAGGUAGAAGUAUGGCCAAGGUGAUAUGGAGUUGCGGCAUUUUCUAAGACUAUUACCUGUUGCGUGUGGCUAGUAGACAUAGUAGCACCAUUGAGUUGCUAGGUGGAGAAAGACUAGUAGUAUGAUUCAUCAAAGGCUUGGUGAUAUCCAUGUUAAGUGUUAUAAUUGAAGUUUGAAUUUUUGAAGGUUGAACCGACAGAAAUAAGAGUUGAAGCACUACAGGGUGUGCACUCCGACUAUGAGAAUACUCAUGAGAGAUUCAAAGUUUGUAAGUGUUCAAGUAUUAUGUGAUUGACUAUUGAGGCUAUAGAAAGAUAGAGUAUGUCUCAGAAGGUAUGAUUAGCCGUGAGUUUUCCCCUUCUAGGUGUAGCCAUUCGGGUUAAGUUCUAUUAAAUUGCAUGUAUUGUCAUAUUCCCGACCCCAGAGUGCAGUGAGUGUAGUUCAGUUUAGAGUCUAGUAAGGGAUCUCUCAAUCUUAAGAUGAUGAUUCCCAGAAUUAUUUUUUUCCUUCAGUUUUCCACUCUAAUGUUUCUUUUCACAGUGCACUGUUUUGCUUCCACUGAUGAGGAAGCAGCUGCACUUGUCAAAUGGAAAGCAACUUUCCAUAACAAGAAUAAUUCCUUAUUGGCUUCAUGGACACUAAGUACUGAUGCAUGCAGGGACGAUUGGUACGGAAUAAUAUGCUUUAAUGGUCGGAUAAACAGGUUGAAUAUUUCAAAUGUUGGUGUUACUGGUACACUCUAUGAUUUUCCAUUUUAAUCUCUCCCUUUUCUUGAAUACGUUGAUCUUAGCAUGAACCAACUCUUUGGUCCCAUUCCACCUGAACUAGGAAAGCUCACUAAUCUUGUCCAUCUUAACUUGUCCAACAAUCAGAUUUCAGGUUCCAUUCCUUUUAAAGUAGGGAAGAUGAAGUCACUUGAGGUUUUAACCUUAGGGAGUAACAAUCUUUCUGGCCCAGUUCCAACUUCUCUAGGUGAUUUAACUAGGCACAAGAUAUUGUACCUUUAUUCUAAUCAACUUUCUGGUCCCAUUCCUAGUGAGUUGGAGAAUUUGGAAAACCUCACUGAUUUGGACUUGUCCGCUAAUCAGCUUAGUGGUUCAAUUCCAAUUACUCUAGGUGACUUAACCGAGCUCAAGAUAUUGAACCAUGGUUUGAACAAUCUUUCUGGUCCCAUUCUAAGUGAGUUGGGGAAUUUGAAAAACCUCACCGCUUUGUCAUUGUCUUAUAAUCAGCUUAGUGGUUCAAUUCCAAUUACUCUAGGUGACUUAACCGAGCUCAAGAUAUUGUAUGUUUAUUCUAAUCAACAUUCUGGUCCCAUACCUAGUAAGUUGGAUAAUUUGGAAAACCUCACCAAUUUGGAUUUGUCUCAUAAUCAGCUUAGUGGUUCAAUUCCAAUUACUCUAGGUGACUUAACCGAGCUCAAGAUAUUGUACCUUUUUUCUAAUCAACUUUCUGGACCCAUUCCUAGUGAGUUGGGGAGUUUGAAAAACCUCACCGAUUUGUACUUGUCCGCUAAUCAGCUUAGUGGUUCAAUUCCAAUUACUCUAGGUGACUUAACCGAGCUCAAGAUAUUGUCCCUUUUUUCUAAUCAACUUUCUGGUCCCAUUCUUAGUGAGUUGGGGAAUUUGCAAAACCUUACCGAUUUGGACUUGUCCGCUAAUAAGCUUAGUGGUUCAAUCCCAAUUACUCUAGGUGACUUAACCGAGCUCAAGAUAUUGUACCUUUUUUCUAAUCAACUUUCUGGUCCCAUUCCUAGUGAGUGGGGGAUUUGAAAAACCUCACCGAUUUGAGAUUGUCUUAUAAUCAGCUUAGUGGUUCAAUUCUAAUUACUAUAGGUGACUUAACCGAGCUCAAAAUUCUGUACCUUGGUUUGAACAAUCUUUCUGGUCCCAUUCCUAGUGAGUUGGGGAAGUUAAAACACCUCACUAAUUUGGAAUUGUCCGCUAAUCAGCUUAGUGGUUCAAUCCCAAUUACGCUAGGUGACUUAACCGAACUCAAGAUACUGUCCCUUUUUUAUAAUCAACUUUCUGGUCCCAUUCCUAGUGAGUUGGGGAAUUUGAGAAACCUCACUUCUUUGUCAUUGUCUUAUAAUCAGCUUAGUGGUUCAAUCCCAAUUACUCUCGGGGACUUAACUGCGCUUAACAUUUUGUACCUUCAUUCUAAUCAACUUUCUGGUCCCAUUCUUAUUGAGUUGGGGAAUUUGAAACACCUCACCGGUUUGUCAUUGUCUAAUAAUCAGCUUAGUGGUUCAAUUCCAAUUACUCUAGGUGACUUAACCGAGCUCAAGAUAUUGUCCCUUUUUUCUAAUCAACUUUCUGGUCCCAUUCCUAGUGAGUUGUGGAAUUUGAAAAACCUCACCGAUAUGGAAUUGUCCACUAAUCAGCUUUGUGGUUCAAUCCCAAUUACUCUAGGUGACUUAACCGAGCUCAAGAUAUUGUGCCUUUAUUCUAAUCAACUUUCUGGUCCCAUUCCUAGUGAGUUGUGGAAUUUGAAAAACCUCACCGAUUUGAAAUUGUCCGCUAAUCAGCUUUGUGGUUCAAUCCCAAUUACUCUAGGUGACUUAACCGAGCUCAAGAUAUUGCGCCUUUAUUCUAAUCAACUUUCUGGUCCCAUUCCUAGUGAAUUGGGAAAAUGCAACAAAUUGACUGAUUUGCAAAUAGCGAUAAACAUAAUUGGAGGUAGCAUACCACCAGAGAUUGGAAAUGUCAAAGGGCUUCUAGGACUUGAUCUUUCAUCGAAUCAUUUGAUCGGGCAGAUUCCAAAGGAAUUUGGAAAAUUAACCUCUCUGAUUAGGCUUUUGGUGCAAAACAACAGUAUUUCAGGCAAUAUACCUGUCGAAGUUGUAUCACUGGCAAAAUUAGAGUCCCUCGAUCUAUCUGAUAACAGAUUGAAUGGAUCGAUCCCAACAUGUAUAGCAGAUUUCGUGCACUUGUUUCAAUUGAACCUGAGCAAUAACAAAUUUGGCGAAAACAUUCCAAUGGAGAUCCAAUGGAGAUAGGGAGGAUGACUCAGCUUAAUGUACUUGAUUUGAGUCAUAAUCUUCUGGUUGGAGAUAUUCCCCCUCAGUUAGCUAAUUUGAAGGUGUUGGUAGACUUAAAUCUUUCCCACAACGGCCUGUCCGGGCACAUUCCCGAAGAAGUUGAAAGUAUGACUGGUUUGCAGGUUGUUUUUCUGUCAUACAAUGAGUUGGAAGGUCCAAUCCCUAAUAAUAAAGCUUUUAUUACUGCUUCAUUACAAGGUAAUAAAGGUCUUUGCGGCAAUCUAACAGGAUUCCAGCCCUGUGAAAGGCCAUCUACUGUGGUGAAGAAGCACUCAAUUGUGAAGCGACGACAUAAACUCAUUCUCAUCACUCUACUUCCUGUUAUGGGAGGACUAGUACUACUCUAUGCUUUCCUUGGUGUGCUGUUUAUGUAUGAUAGAAGAAGAAGGAGAGCUAAAGACGAUGGAAGACGGAAUGAUGAUGGUUGGCUUUCGAUAUCCAUGUUAGAUGGGAAGGCAUUGUACAGGGACAUCUUAAACGCUACGGAGGAGUUUGAUGCAACAUUUUGCAUUGGGCAAGGAGGGCAUGGAAGCGUUUACAAGGUCAACCUCCCAUCAUUAGGGACUAUAGCAGUGAAGAGACUUCACUCUUCAUUUGAGAUCAAUACACAUCCCAAAAGCUUCGUGAAUGAAGUAAGGGCAUUGACUGGGAUUAAGCACCGGAACAUUGUGAACCACUACGGCUAUUGUUCGUAUGCACAACACUCGUUCUUGGUUUACGAGUAUGCGGAGAGGGGUAGUUUGUCUAGUAUUUUAAGCAAUGAAGUUGAGUCCAAGAAACUGAAUUGGCUUAAAAGGGUGAAUAGCAUCAAAGGUGUUGCGUUUGCUUUAUCUUUCAUGCACUAGGAUUGCUCACCACCUAUUGUUCAUCGAGACAUAUCAAGCAGUAAUGUUUUGCUUGAUUCUGAGUACGAAGCUCGUGUAUCAGAUUUUGGCAUAGCUAAGCUUCUCACGCCAGACUCAUCCAACUUCACCGCGCUUGCAGGCACAUAUGGCUACGUUGCACCUGGUAGGGUUUAACUUUAAUUCUAUCCUUUUUUUCAAACACACUUAAAAUGUUCUUAAUCUGAUUUGCGCGUUUAAAUCGUGUUGUUUCAGAGCUUGCAUGUACAAUGAAGGUUACGCAAAUGUGUGAUGUCUAUAGCUUUGGAGUAUUAGCAUUGGAGAUAAUCAAAGGAAAGCAUCUUGAUGAGUACAUUACUGUGCUAGCAAAUUCAUCUACUAUGGAUCAUCAGGUGCAAAUUCAUCUAGAUUUUCCGUAUCCUGAAAUGCUAGCAAGCUCUUAUUUGGUUGAAACUCCAAAAUCAAGGCCAACAAUGGAAUUCAUCUCUCAUAAGUUAUCAUCAAUGGAUGCUUACGCCCACCCAUUAUUCCUGUAAGGCGAGCUUUCUAAUUCCGUAAAAGUGCCUUUGAAUGAAAAUGUAUGUAUAGCUUUUGACCCACGACAAAAUUAUUACUGGGUUUAGUUUUUUUGUAUUGUUAGGGUGCUUGUGUGGUUUAUUGUAUUAGUGUGUACAAUUUUGAAGGUAAUUGUUCCUUGUGCCAAAAAGUAAACAAAAAAAACAAGCUUCAUGUUUUCUAAGUACUGAUGUUUUAUAGAGGAUUUACUAGUCUGCAUCGUAUAGUAAUUUGAAGGGGAGCCUUGGAGUAACUGGUAAAGUUGCUGCCAUGUGACCAGGAAGUCACGGGUUCAAGCCUUGGAAACAGCCUCUAUAUGGCAGAAAUGCAAGGUAAGGCUGCGUACGAUACACCCUUGUGACGGUAGCUUUAGUGCACCGGGCUGCCCCUUUUUUUUAUGAUCAAAAGAAAGCAUCAGAUGGAAUAUAUUACUUUGCUAGCGAAUUCCUUUUAUGUGAAUAUGCCUUUCAAGUUGAUCGGACUCUCCAAAUUUGUUGUUGCACCCGUGUCGGAUCCUUCAAAAAUAUAAUACUUUUGAAGGAUCCAACACACACCCAUCAAAAAUUUUGAAGACUCCGAGCAGCAUAGCUUGUAACAGAUCAAGCAUUCGCACUAAAGCUUCCGCUAUGUGCAGGCCAAGCGGGUACUCGAUGUUCCAACAAAACAAGCAUAGCAUGCAUCCAUAUGUCUAUAAAUAUAGCAAUCCAUAAUCAAAAUACUACAAAGACGUCCAAGUCUAGCUCAAGAACUUUUUCCCGAGGGAGCUCGGAGUCUUGAUGUAACAACUCAAUCCCUCAUGUCGCGGCUGGCUAAUUUACUCAGAAGCAACAUUAUUUUUACCCUCGUUCAUGCUUCUUUUUCUCUUUUGCAUCGAAUUAGAGGAGCCUUUCACGCGCACUUCCUUUUUCUGUCCAUGACGUGUUGAAGCACGAGCAAUUUCAUUUAAUGUCAUUUCAUCAUCAUUGUCGCUCAUCACAUGAACAGACAUAGUUUCUGGUUUGUCUGCAAGAAAAUAACGUAACAUAUUAAGUUUUCCCCUUUUAAAUUGAUGUAAGAAACUCAUCUGUCCAAUAAAAGUGUGAUAUCCGCGCCAAUAUAAGUCACACAACAACAACAACGUACCAAGUAUAAUCCUACAAGUGAGACCUGAGAGGGGUAGGAUAUAUGCAAACGUUACCUAUACCAUUACGGGGUAGAGAGGCUGUUUAAGAUAGGCUCAAAAAAAAAAAAGAAAAAUGAAUCAUGUUUGCAUGAAAACAUGACAAUAUCCUAAUAAAAGGGAAACCAAGACAGUCGAGAAAGGAAAAAAAUUAACUACAGCAAAGUGGCUAGAUCGACACAGCUAAAAAACAUGUAACAGUGGACGAAGUGGAUGUCUAGAAGAUACGAUGCAAGUGUGUCUCACAGUCGCUUUCUACUUGAACGUCUAGUGUUUCAUUUUUCAUUUUUCGUGUGUGUCUGUGUGGUUGUGGCGGUGUUAUUUUUAGUGUAUCGUGAAGAAUAAUCAGAAAAUAUCAUACCUAUAACCGUUUAACAGAACAACAGUAACUACUAUUCCACAAUCCAAAGAGUUGAGGUCGGCUAUAUGAAUCCUAAUGAAAUAUCCACAUAAUAUAGACAGAUAGUAAUAACAACAAAGUCGUCUAAAUCACAAAACCGUUAUACCUUUGAGUCUCGAUUGACCACUGCUAUUUCCGGUUGAAGUGCCAACACGUUUUGGAUCAGCAAAAAGCCCAAUUGCCCGAUCUUCGCCUUGAGAAGAUACCACGUUGUUAUGCUUCAAGUUAACUCCAGUUGCACCAGGAUCUUGACGGGCUGUUUCCACCUCCAAAUUUAUAGCCAAUUUUCACGAAACACACACGUCAACACAAAAAAAUCAAGAUCUACCAUUAACUAUACAUUAAACGAUUCUUAACAAGUUGUAAGGAGCAAAAAAAAAACAAAACAAAUCGAACCUAAAUUCACAUAACAGCAAUACCUUCAUCAAUUUUUCUCUUCGUUUCCUUCAAACGGGAAAUUCUAUCUCUAAAGUCGAUGAUUUUCUUCUCGUAGCGAGCCUCUUUAUCACUUUUUACCUUCUUUUGCAUUUCAAUUCUGUCAAAUAGCAAAUCGUUUGUUAUUUUGUACUCCUUGUAGUCCUCUUCUAUUAUUUUAUUGUACUUUUUGUGGAUACUUCUUUUUUCUUCCUCUAUACCUUUUUCACAAUCCAUUAGAAUUUUUCGCGCAAAAGGGAAGUCUUUCUCUUCAACCAUUUGUUUUUCCUACAUGAUUGAAAGUAAUGCCCGGAUCGACAACAUCUUCAAUGGAACAGCAAAAAAAUGCGGUGCAGCUAACUGUGAAAAAAGUUGAUCUUUUAUAGUUGAAAUGGCGGCGUGAAGCGGAAAAAGAGAGUAAUACAGGGAGGAUUACGCAGAUAAAUUCAAAAGAGCGAAACAUGAAAACACAUAUCUAAGAACAAUAAUUUGUACUAUUUGGUCAAGAUUUAAAGAUUACAAGAAUCUUUGAUACUUUUACAUUAAAGAUUAGUCAAACACCUCAGCUUUUAAAGUAAAAACAUUAAAAGUACAUUUGGUUUCUGCAAAAGAAUGAAUGUAGUUGUAAUCCUUGUAAUGUACAUAGAUAAAUAGUAAUUAUCAGAUAUCCUUUUUUGCUCUUUCCAUACUAAGAUAUCGAUUCAUUCCUUCGUACCUUUAUUACAUGGUAUCGGAGUCAUUGUUUGAGUUGGUAUUUUGUCUUUGCCGGAGUUCAUUAUGACUUCGCUGAGCACAUUUGAUUAGUUGCAGACUGUAGUUAGAAUUUAAAAGUUCUUUAUGCAGACAUUAUAUGGAAAAACCAUAUGCGCGAUCAAUGGCAACUUCAACUUAGCACUUUAGCAGCAGUUGUAUCAUGUUGCUGUAUAUGGAAAAGUCGUGCGUAAGAGUUGUAUCAGUGCAUAUUAUACCAAUGUUGAUAGAUACUUUUCUUCAAUACAGUAGUUAGGUUUCGUUACUUUCUGAAACUAUACUACAUUUCAUGAAUAAAGUGUAAAUAUUUAAAUAACUUAACUAUAGUAAAGUGACAAAAAGUUGAGAUGACAAAUAUUUACCUCGUUAGGAGAUUAGUGGAGCAGUUUAGGGAGAGGAAGAAGGACUUGCACAUGCAUGGUGUUCAUUAUUCUUGAGAAGGAGUAUGACAAAGUCCUUAGGGAGAUUCUGUGGAGGUGCUUGGAGGCUAGAGGGGUGCCCGUGACAUACAUUAGGUUGAUUUAGGACAUGUACGACGGCGCGAAGGCUCGUGUGAGAAUGGUAGAGGGAGAUCAGAGCACUUUCUUGUUCUGACAGUGUUGCAACAGGGUAGAUGAUGGUUGUUUUGACGCUGCAAAGUGGAGGUGCCUUGGUGUAUGGUGUUUGAUAAUGAUAUUGUACUGAUUGACGAGACUCGGGAAGGAGUUAAUGAUAAGUUGGAGGUUUGGAGACAGACCCUUGAGUGUAAAGGAUUUAGGUUGAGCAGUACCAAGAUGGAGUACUUGAAAUGUAAGUUUAGUGAUCUGUAAAAUGACCCUAAUGUGGUAAUGAAGCUGGAUUCUCAGACCAUUCAGAAGAGAGAGAGAGAGAGAGUUUCAAGUAUCUUGGGUCUAUGAUUCUGGAAAAUGGUGAGAUUACCGAGGAUGUCAGACACCGUAUUGGAGCAGGGCGGUUGAAAUUGAGGCUCGCUUCGGGAGUCUUGUGUGAUAAGAAGGUGCCUCCUAAGCUUAAAGGUAAGAUCUACAAAGUGACAGUUUGACCGGCUAUGUUGUAUGGAGGAGAGUGUUAGCCAAUUAAGAACUCCCACAUCCAAAAGUUGAAGGUGGCGAAAAUGAGGACGUUGAGAUGGAUGUCUGGGCUUACCAAGAGGGAUAGAGUUAGAUAUGAGAUUAUUCGGAGAAGGUGGGAGUGGUUUCAGUGGAGGACAAGAUGAGGGAAGUGAGGUUGCGAUGGUUCAGACAUGUGAUGAGGAGGUGCACGGAUGCUCUAGUGCGGAGGUAUGAGAGGCUAGAUAUGGAUGGUUUUAGGAGUGGUAGAGGCAGGGCAAGGAAAUAUUAGAGGGAGGUGAUUAGGCAUGAUGUGGAGCAGUUACAGCUUACAGAGGACAUAACCCUUGAUAGGAAGGGGUGGAGGACGCGGAUUAGGGUAGAGGUUAGUAGGUAGGAGUACGUCGAUUUACAAUUUAAAUGUAUUUUUUUCUUCUUUCUCGUGGCCACGACUCAUUCUCUAUGUGUUCAACUUUUAUUCUAGGCUAUUCAAACACAAAAUCAUUCUUUAGCUUUAACGACUGUUAUACGAAUACCAUGACUCAACAAUAUGUGUAUCGAGCAAACAUGGUUUCGAAUAGGUGGUCUAAUAAUGUGACGACACAUAACGUGCCUCCAUCGUUCAAUUGUACUUAAACCAUUCUAUAAAUAUAGCGAUCCAUAAUCAAGAUACUACAUCGAAGUCCAACAGAUGAACGAUAAGUAGCUAAUUGUUCCUACUAGCAAAGCAAGUCUAGUAUAAAAACUUUUUGCCAAGGGAGCUCGAAGUCUGGUGCAACAACUCGACCCCUCAUCUUGAGCAUCUGUGUACAUAGAGAUGAGCAGACAGACUCCGCGGCAACUGGAGCUUCAUUUGCGGAUACCAACACCAACACAGAACAUCUGGUCUUUCUUGCUAUUGUAAAUCCUACAUAUUUGGCGAGAGUAUCGAAUAGCCAGUGUCUUGCAUAUGCAAAGAUCUUCCGGUCCAACCUCCGAAAUUGUUCUCUUGAGCUUGUUUUCGGGAUAAUCACGACACAGAAACACCCCUAAAGCAGUAAUCCUGAAAGAAAAAAACAGGCAAAAAGGGAUUACAAAGUGAGUAAUCGAAUGAACAUACUUGACCUUACCCCUACCGUAGAGGUAGAAGACUAUUUCUGAUAGACCGUCACAAAUUUUCUUUUCACAAACUAAGGAAAAAAAACUAUCGAGAGGUUGAUAUAUACCUUUUUUUGUCGAUCUUACUCAUCGAGGAGAAUUUGUUUGAAGAAAUUUGUUGACGGUACAAAGCACAUACAGCAUUCAAACAAAGCUCAUCAUCCAUAUCAAAUGCAGUACAAAAAUCGUCUUCAGACGACCAUUCUAUACCCGACCUAUUCCCAGGAUUAACCAAUUCUGGAAUAACUUAUUUUAUUUGACCCUCAUUCAUGCUUCUUUUUCUCUUCCGCAACGAAUUAGAGGAGCCUUUUCCGUGCACUUCCUUUUUCUGUUUGCAAAUUUUUGAAGCACGAGCGAUUUCAGUUAACAUCAGUUCAUCAUCACUGUUGUUCAUUACACGAACAGGCGUAGUUUCUGGUUCGUCUGAUGCUUCACUCAAGACUAUUGCUUUACAUGCCAAUGGAUCUGCAAGAAGAUUAUAUGCGAUAACAUCUUAGAUUUUCCUCUUUUAAGCUGAUAUACGAAACUUAUCUGUCCAAUAAAGUAUGAUAGCCGCCAAUAUAAGUCACAUAACAACAACUUACCAAGUAUAAUCCUCAUGUACGCAGACCUUACCUCUAUCUUUUGCGCUAGAGAGGCUGUUUUAGAUAGUCCAGCGGCUCAAAAGAAAUAAAAAUGAAUCACGUUUGCAUGAAAACACGACAAUAACCUAGUAGGAUACAAAGCAACUAAAAGGGGAAACGAAGACAGACGAGAAAGGAAAAAACUAACGGCAGCAAAGUGGCUAGAUGGACUCAGUGUGUAACAGUGGAUGAAGUGGACGUAGCAAGUGUAUGUCGGAAUUGCUUUCUACUCGAGCAUCUAGUGUUUCUUUAUUUCAUUUUUCAUGUGUGUCUGCGUGUCUGCUUCUGUGCUUUACUCUGCUUUAGUGCUUUACUAUGUGUUUGUGUGGUAUCUCGUGCCUUGAGCCGGGGGUCUUUCGGAAACAGCCUUUCUACUUCAUCAGAGGUAGAGGUAUGGACUGCGUACAUCUUACCCCCCCAGACCCCACUAGGUGGGAAUACACUGGGUUUGUUGUUGUUGAUGUGUGUCGGCGUGGUUGUGGUGUCAUCAGAAAAUAUCAUACCUAUAACCGUUUAACAGAACAACACUAACUCCUAUACCUCAAUCCAACGAGUUGAGGUCGGCUAUAUGAAUCCUAAUAAAUAUCCACAUAAUACAAACAGAUUGUAACAACAACAAGUCGCCUAAAUCACAAAACCGCUAUACCUUUGAGUUUCGAUUGACCACUGCUGUUGAGGUGCCAACAAGUUUCGGAUCAUCAAUAACCACGAUUGCCCGAUCUUCUCCCUGAGUAGAUUCCUCGUUGUUAACGCCAUUCGCACCAGUAGCUUGAAUGCCCAUUUCCACCUCCAAAUCUAUAGCACAUUUUCAGAAAACAAGCAAAUUUUCAGAAAACACACACAUCAACAUAAAGAAUUUUCCAAAUUAGUUAAAUAAUUGAACGCGACAAAUAACUAAAACAGGUUUUGCAAAUGCAGUAAAAUCAAGAUAUACUAUCAACACACAUUAUGAAACGUUACGUAACAAUACAUAAAAGGGAAGCCCGGAGAACUAAAGAUACCGCUAUGCGCGGUGUCACCACAAGGGUGUAUCGUAUGCAGCCUUACUUUGCAUUUCUACCGGAGGCUGUUUCCAAGGCUUGAACCCGUGAUCUCCUGGUCACAUGACAACAACUUUACCAGUUACGCCUCACAUGACAACAACUUUACCAGUUACGCCAAGACAUAAUAACAACAAUACCUUCAUCAUUUUUUCUCUCAUUUUCUACCAUAACAGAAACUUCAUCCCUCAACCCUUUCAAUAUCUCCGCGUAGCAAUCCACGCUUUCACUUGUCACGUUCUCUAUCUCUUCGAUUCUCGUAGACAACAAAUUGUUGUCGCCAUUAUAGUAUUUCAGAUGCUCUUCGAUUAGCCUAUUAUAAGUUUUUUCCAUAUUCCUGUUUCUUUCCUCGAUUUUUUUUUCACAUUUCAUUAGAUAUCUUUGCACAAAAGAGUAGUGUUCUUCUUUAACAAUUAGUUUUUCCUUAAAGAUCGCAAGUGCUUCUACGAUCGAUAUCCUCUUCGACGAAGAAUCCAUUAUCGAAAAUGUGAUAAUAAUGAGAUUUUCUUGAUAUAGCAAAAAAGUGAGAUGCUGUUAAAACUGCGAAAAAUCGCAUCGGCUAACUCUGUGCCAGUAGCCGCGGUAAUGAAGAGGAUGCAAGCGUUAUCCGGAAUGAUUGGGCGUAAAGCAUCUUUCACAACCAUUUAAAUGGUUCAAUUGAACCUGAGCUAUAACAAAUUUGGCAAAAACAUUCCAAUGGAGAUCCAAUGGAGAUAGGGAGGAUGACUCAGCUUAAUGUACUUGAUUUGAGUCAUAAUCUUAUGGUUGGAGAUAUUUCCCCUCAGUUAGCUAAUUUGAAGGUGUUGGUAGACUUAAAUCUUUCCCACAACGGCCUGUCCGGGCACAUUCCCGAAGAAGUUGAAAGUAUGACUGGUUUGCAGGUUGUUUUUCUGUCAUACAAUGAGUUGGAAGGUCCAAUCCCUAAUAAUAAAGCUUUUAUUACUGCUUCAUUACAAGGUAAUAAACGUCUUUGCGGCAAUCUAACAGGAUUCCAGCCCUGUGAAAGGCCAUCGAAGCACUCAAUUGUGAAGCGACGACAUAAACUCAUCCUCAUCAUUCUGCUUCCUGUUAUGGGAGGACUAGUACUACUCUAUGCUUUCCUUGGUGUGCUGUUUAUGUAUGAUAGAAGAAGAAGGAGAGCUAAAGACGAUGGAAGACGGAAUGAUGAUGGUUGGCUUUCGAUAUCCAUGUUAGAUGGGAAGGCAUUGUACAGGGACAUCUUAAAUGCCACGGAGGAGUUUGAUUCAACAUUUUUCAUCGGGAAAGGAGGGCAUGGAAGCGUUUACAAGGUCAACCUCCCAUCAUUAGGGACAAUAGCUCUGAAGAGACUUCACUCUUCAUUUGAGAUCAAUACACAUCCCAAAAGCUUCAUGAAUGAAGUAAGGGAAUUGACUGGGAUUAAGCACCGGAACAUUGUGAACCUCUACGGCUAUUGUUCGCAUGCACAAUACUUGUUCUUGGUUUACGAGUAUGCGGAGAGGGGGAGUUUGUCUAGUAUUUUAAUCAAUGAAGUUGAGUCCAAGAAAAUGGAUUGGCUUAAAAGGGUGAAUAGCAUCAAAGGUGUUGGGUUUGCUUUAUCUUACAUGUACCAGGAUUGCUCACCACCUAUUGUUCAUUGAGACAUAUCAAGCAGUAAUGUUUUGCUUGAUUCUGAGUACGAAGCUCGUGUUUCAGAUUUUGGCAUAGCUAAGCUUCUCAAGCCAGACUCAUCCAACUUCACCGCGCUUGCAGGCACAUAUGGCUACGUUGCACCUGGUAGGGUCUAACUUUAAUUUUAUCCUUUUUUUCAAACACACUUAAAAUGUUCUUAAUCUGCUUUGCCCGUUUAAAUCGUGUUGUUUCAGAGCUUGCAUAUACAAUGAAGGUUAUGCAAAUGUGUGAUGUCUAUAGCUUUGGAGUAUUAGCAUUGGAGAUAAUCAAAGGAAAGCAUCUUGGUGAGUACAUUACUGUGCUAGCAAAUUCAUCUACUAUGGAUCAUCAUGUUCAACUUAGUGAUUUUCUAGAUGAAUGCCUUCCGUACCAGAAGAUAGAGUAAAUGAACUUUUGGUUUUUAUCAUCAAGCUAGCAAGAUCUUGUUUGGUUGAAACUCCAAAAUCAAGGCCAACAAUGCAAUUCAUCUCUCAUAAGUUAUCAUCAAUGGAUGCUUACGCCCACCCAUUCCUGUAAGGCGAGCUUUCUAAUUCCGUAAAAGUGUCUUUGAAUGAAAAUAUAUGUAUAGCUUUUGACCCAUGACAAAUUUAUUACCGGGUCUAGUAUUUUUGUAUUGUUAGGGUGAUUGUGUGGUUUAUUGAAUUAGUGCGUACAAUUUUGAAGGUAAUUGUUCCUCGUCUAAGUACUGAUGUUAUAUAGAGGAUUUACUAGUCUGCAUCGUAUAGUAAUUUGAAGGGGAGCCUUGGCGUAACUGGUAAAGUUGCUGCCAUGUGACCAGGAGGUCUAUCGGAAACAACCUCUCUACUUCUUCGGAAGUAGCGGUAUGGAUUGCGUACAUCUUACCCUCCCCAGACCCCACUUUGUGGGAAUACACUGGGUUUGAUGUUGUUGUUAAGCUAGCAAGAUCUUGUUUGAUUGGAACUCCAAAAUCGAUGCCAACAAUGCUCUUCAUCUCUCACAGGUCAUCGAACUUCAACGGAUCCACGUCCAUCUACUCAUGUAAGACGAGCUUUGUAAUCUCUGAGAUGUAAGGUGUCUUUGUAUGAAAUGAAUAACCAUUGAAAGUUUGAAACCAAGUGGUUGCGUAAGUAAACCAAGUUGUUGCCAUGUGACCAGGAAGUCACGGGUUCAAGCCUUGGAAACAGCCUCUGGCAGAAAUGCAAGGUAAGGCUGUGUACGAUACACCCUUGUGGUGGGGCCCUUCCUUGGACACAGCGCAUAGCGGUAGCUUUAGUGCACUGGGCUGCCCCUUUUUCUAUAAUCAAAAGAAAGCAUCACAGGGACUAUAUUACUUAGCUAGCGAAUUCCUUUUAUGUGAAUAUGCCUUUCAAGUACUAGUUUUUGUCAAGCAAGUUUUUGUCACGACCCGAACCGGGGCCUUAGCCGUGACGAGCAACCCGAACCAUGGAGGCCCGGGCGCCCUUUUACAUCUGGUAAGUCAUGCACAAUUCUCAUAUAAAAAGAAAUGCGGAAAUAUAAUCAUUACGGAAUUAUGGUCAUCAUUUUGAAAAUUUGGAACAGGUAAUUUGGGACGGAGGGAGUAGUAAUUUUCAAUGAACAAAUAUAGUUAUACAGCCACCAUUUAUGUCUUAUCAACAUUGCCAAACACUAACUGAUGCGAACUUAUCCUUGUAACCUAAGUUGCUCAGACUCUCCAAAUUUGUUUUUGCACCCGUGUCGAAUCCUUCAAAAAUACAAUACUUUUGAAGGAUCCAACACGCACCCAUCGAAUUUUUUGAAGACUCCGAUCAGCAUAGCUUGAACAGAUCAAGCAUUCGCACUAAAACUUCCGCUAUGUGCAACCCAAGUGGGUACUCGAUGUUCCAGCAAAACAAGCAUAACAUGCAUCCAUAUGUCUAUAAAUAUAGCAACUCUAAUACAAGAAAUUUUUGCCGAGGGAGCUCGGAGACUGGUUCAACAACUCGAUCCCUGGCUAAUUUACUCAGAAGCAACAUUAUUUUGACCCUCGUUCAUGAUUCUUUUUCUCUUUUGCAUAGAGUUAGAGGAGCCUUUCACGCGCACUUCGUUUUUCUGUGCACGACGUGUUGAAGCACGAGCAAUUUCAUUUAACGGCAUAUCAUCAUCAUUGUCGCUCAUAACACGAACAGACAUAGUUUUUGGUUUGUCUGCGAGAAAAUAUAUGUAACAUAUUAAGUUAGCUCCUUUUAAAUUGACGUAAGAAACUCAUCUGUCCAAUAAAAGUGUGAUAUCUGCCACAAUAUAAGUCACACGACAACAACAACGUACCAAGUAUGAUCCCACAAGCGAGACCUGAGAGGGGUAGGAUAUAUGCAAACAUUACCUAUAACAUUACGGGGUAGAGAGGCUGUUUAAGAUAGUCCCUCGGCUCAAAAGAAAGAAAAAUGAAUCAUGUUUGCAUGAAAACACGACAAUAUCCUACUAAAAGGGGAAAACCAAGACAGAUGAGAAAGGAAAAAAAUUUAGCUACAGCAAAGUGGCUAGAUGGACACAGCUAAAAAUCAUGUAACAGUGGACAAAGUGGAUGUCUAGAAGAUACGAUGCAAGUGUUUGUCGCAGUCGCUUUCUACUUGAACGUCUAGUGUUUCAUUUUUUCUGUGUGUGUCUGUGUGGUUGUGGUGGUGAUAUAUUUAGAAUCAUCACAAAAUAUCGUACCUAUAACCGAUUAAAAAAACAACAGUAACUAAUAUACCUCAAUCCAAAGAUUUGAGGUUGGCUAUAUGAAUAAUCCUAAUGAAUAUCCACAUAAUAUAGACAUAUUGUAAUAACAAUAAGUCAACUAAAUCACAAAACCGUUAUACCUUUGUGUCUUGAUUGACCACUGCUAUUUCCAGUUGAGGUGCCAACACGUUUUGAAUCAUCAUAAAGAACAAUUGCCCGAUCUUCGCCUUGAGAAGAUUCCACGUUGUUGCGCUUCAAGUUAACUCUAGUUGCACCAGGAGCUUGAUGGGCUGUUUCCACCUCCAAAUUUAUAGCCAAUUUUCACGAAACACACGUCAACACAAAAAAAUCAAGAUCUACCAUUAACUAUAUAUUAAACGAUUCUUAACAAGUUGUAAGGAGCAAAAAAUAAACAAAAAUAAUCAAACCUAAAUUCACAUAACAGCAAUACCUUCGUCAUUUUUUCUCUUCGUUUCCUUCAAACGAGAAAUUCUACCUCUAAACUCGAUGAUUUUCUUCUCGUAGCGAGCCUCUUUAUCACUUUUUGCCUUCUUUUGCAUUUCAAUUCUGUCAAAUAGAAAAUCGUUUGUCCUUUUGUACUCCUUGUAGUCCUCUUCUAUUAUUUUAUUGUACUUUUCGUGAAUACUUCUUUUUUCUUCCUCGGUACCUUUUUCACAAUCCGUUAGAAUUUUUUGCGCAAAAGGGAAGUCUUUUUCUUCAACCAUUUGUUUUUCCUUCAUGAUUGAAAGUAAUUCCUGGAUCGACGACAUCUUCAAUGGAUAUCAAAGAUGUGAUCAAUGAAAGGCUUUUCAUGAAACAACAGAAAAACGCGGCGCAGCUAACUGUGAAAAAAAUUGAUCUUUUUUAGUUGAAACGGCGGUGUGAAGCGGAAAAAGACAAUAAUACAGGGAGGAUUACACAGAUAAAUUCAAAAGAGCGAAACAUGAAAACACAUCUAAGAACAAUAAUUAGUACUAUUUGGUCAAGAUUUAAAGAUUACAAGAAUAUUUGAUGCUUUUACAUUAAAGAUUAGUCAAAAACCUUAGCUUUUUAAGUAAAACAUUAAAAGUACAUUUGAUUUCAGCAAAAGAAUGAAUGUAGUCGUAAUCCUUGUAACAUAUACAUAGACAACUUAGUUUAGUAAUUAUAGGAUAUCCUUUUUUGCUCUUUCCAUAACAACAUAUCUAUCCAUUCCCUCAUACCUUUAUUACAUGGUAUCAGAGUCGUUGUUUGAGUUGGUAUUUUGUAUUUGCCGGAGGUCACUAUGACUUCGCUGAGCACAUCGGAUUAGUUGUAGAUUGUAGUUAGCAUUUAAAAGUUCUUUACGCGGACAUUAUAUGGAAAAAUCAUAUGCGUGAUCAAUGGCAACUUGAACUUAGCACUUUAGCAGCAGCUGUAUCAUGUUGCUGUAUAUGGAAAAAUCGUGCGUAAAACUAUACUACAUUUCAUAAAUAAAGUGUAAAUAUUUGUUGCUUUGCAUGAUUUUUCCUAGAAAUAACUUAACUAUAGUAAAGCGACAGAAGGUUGAGAUGGCACAUGUUCAAAGUUUUAUGAAAAUAUUUCCCAUAUCUUUAUUAGUUUGGGUCAGACAUAAGAAGCAAACUAAGUGUUUUCAACAAGUAAUGAAGAGUUGUAGUGGGUCGCUCCUCAACUCAGGGACCUAUCACAGAAGAACUAGGAAGAUGAACAGUAAAAGUACGUGGAAAGAUUAAUAGCAGACACAAGAGUUUUAUGUGGAAAUUCUUUGCUCAAGGGAGAAAAUACUACGACCUGCCUCCAGGAAUUAACCUCUUAAUCCUUUGUCGCUUGCAAAAUCUCUAUUACAACGAAACACAAGCAGUAACUCUACUGUUUCAACCUCCAGCUAACUCUAACUGGAUAUUACAAGCUAACUCUAAAUGAUUACGAAGAGAAAGGUUUGAACCUCAACACCUACUAAUAAUCAUAAGCAAAUGUAGGCAAACAUUUAAGAACAGUACACAAGGACUCAACUACAACAGGGAAGUAAAAAUACAAUUCGAUGAACAAUCAGUUUCAUGUUGCAGUGUAUAUAUAAUCUUUGAUUCAGCUUUUGAAAGAUAUUUAUUUGUGAGAAUAUGGAAGCGUUAGUUUUCUUGUUGAGGAAGAUGAGAAAUAUAUAGUAUGAUACAAGAAAACUCAGGAGAGAUCCCAUUGGCUGAGGCAAAAAGGUGGAAGCAUCUUUUUCACCAACUUUUGUACUUUGUGUUAGCUCUGACCGUUGACCGUGAUAGUGACAGAUGAGCCCAACCUGUUCCCUAUUCCGUAGAAGCAUUUUCAGCUCAAAAAAAUCCAGGAAACAGGUCCCAACAUGCAAAUUAUAUAUAGUUUGACAAUCAUCAAAACUAAGGACUUAACAAGUAGUUUUCACUGGUUGUCCCUUUUAUAGAUGGUUGUUUAGUAAAUGAUCUUGCUUUUAUUUCUCUUGCAACUUACGGACCUUUUUCAUCACAAUCAGCAAAUAAUAUUUUUAACGAAAUUGAGAAAACAAUAGACCACGGUCUAAAUUAUUGUCAGUAACUGCAAACGUCAAGGUUGGACAAUAUAUGAACAAACAUUAGGUAGGCGUUUGGCCGUGAAAACAAAAAAUAAUUAACCUUAUUUGGAAUCUUCAAAGUUGGAGUUGUAUUACGCCAUACAUUUUCAGCGACUGUUAUGCCAAUACCAUGACUCAACAACAUGUGUAUCGAGCAAACAUGGUUUCGAAUAGGUGGACCAAUAAUGUGACGGCACAUAACAUGCCUUCAUUGUUCAAUUGUACUCAACCAUUCUAUAAAUUUAGCCAUUGAAGUCCAACAGAUAAACGAUAAGUACUUAAUUGUUCCUACUACAGCUAGAUAUCUUCCUAAAACAAAGCAAGUCUAGUAUAAGAACUUUUUGCCGAGGGAGCUCGGAGUCUAGUGCAACAACUCGACCAUACCAUUUGUAUACAUAGAGACGAGCAGACAACCCUCGCGUCAACUGGAGCUUCAUUUGUGGAUACCAACACCAGGGCAGAAAAGCUGGUCUUUCUUGCUAUUGUAUAUCCUAUAUAUUUGGCGAGAGUAUCGAAUAGCCAGUGUCAUGCAUAUGCAAAGAUCUUCCGGUCCAACCUCCGAAAUUGCUCUCUUGAUCUUGUUUUCGCGAUCGUCAUGACACAAAAACACCCCUAAAGCAGUAAUCCUGAAAGAAAAAGCCGGCAAAAAUGGAUUACAAAGUGAGUAAUCGAAUGAACUUACUAGACCUUACCCCUACCGUAGAGGUAGAAGGCUAUUUCUUAUAGACCGUCACAAAUUUUCUAUUCACAAACUAAAGAAAAAAACUAUCGAGAGAUUGAAAUAUACCUUUUUUUGUCAAUCUUACUCAUCGAGGAGAAUUUGUUUCCAGAAAUUUGUUGACGGUACAAAGCACAUACAGCAUUCAGACAAAGCUCGGCAUCCAUUUAAAAUGCAGUACAAAAAUCGUCUUCAGACGACCAUUCUAUACCCGACUUAUUCCCAGGAUUAACCAAUUCUGGAAUAAAUGAUGUUAUUUGACCCUCAUUCAUGCUUCUUUUUCUCUUCCGCGUCGAAUUAGAGGAGCCUUUCACGUGCACUUCCUUUUUCUGUCCGCGACUCUUUGAAGCACGAGUGAUUUCAGUUAACGUUAGUUCAUCAUCACUGUCAUUCAUUACAUGAACCGGCAUAGUUUCUGGUUUGUCAGACGCUUUACUUAAGACUAUUGCUUUACAUGCCGAUGGAUCUGCAAGAAGAUUAUAUGCGAUAACAUCAUAGAUUUUCCUCUUUUAAGCUGACGUAUGAAACUUAUCUGUCCAAUAAAAGUAUGAUAGCCGCCAAUCUAAGUCACACAAAAACAACAACUUACCAAGUCUAAUCCUCAUGUACGCAGACCUUACCUCUAUCUUUUGCGGUAGAGAGUCUGUUUCAGAUACUCCCACGGCACAAAAGAAAUAAAAAUGAAUCACGUUUGCAUGAAAACACGACAAUAUCCUGGCAAGAUACUAAGCAACUAAAACGGUAAACCAAGACAGACGAGAAAGGAAAAAAAUGAAUUGCAGCAAAGUGGCUAGAACACAGCGUGUAACCGUGGGUGAAGUGGACGUAGCAAGUGUUUUGUCGGAAUUGCUUUCUACUCGAGCAUCUAGUCUUUCUUUUUUCAUUUUUCGUGUGUGUCUGCAUGGUUGUGGUGGUGUUAUUUUCUGUAUAUCAUGAAGAAUCAUCAGAAAAUAUCAUACCUAUAACCGUUUAACAGAACAACACUAACUACUAUACCUCAAUCCAAUGAGUUGAGGUUGGCUAUUUGAAUCCUAAUGAAAUAUCCACAUAAGAUAGACAGAUCGUAACAACAAGUCGACUAAAUCACAAAAACAUUAUACCUUUGUGUCUCGAUUGACCACUGCUAUUUCCGGUUGAGCUGCCAGCAAGUUUCGGAUCAUCAUAAAGCACGAUUGCCCGAUCUUCUCCCUGAGUAGAUUCCACGUUGUUUACGCCAUUCGCACCAGUAGCUUGAAUGCCUGUUUCCACCUCCAAAUCUGUAGCCAAUUUUCAGAAAACACACACAUCAAGAUAAAGAAUUUUCCUCGUUUCGUACGAGAAAAUCUAACAUCUAACUCUUUGAACAGAAAAAAAGGUAUGAGAACAGAAAAUAUAAGUCACACAACUGAUGAAAAUGCAUUCAUUUGCUUUUCGUAGCAUCAGUCAUCAUUUACCAAACUUUAUCCGACUCCAAAUUAGUUGAUUAAUUGAAUGCCACAAAUAAUUUAAACAGGUCUUGCAAAUACAGUAAAAUCAUUAUUAUCAAAACGAUAAGCUAAGUACAUUAAACGAUACGUAACAAGUUCACAUAACAGAAAUACCUUCGUCAUUUUUUCUCCUCUUCGUUUCCUUCAAACGAGAAAUUCUACCUCUAAACUCGAUGAUUUUCUCCUCGUAGCGAGCGUCUUUAUGACUUUUUGCCUUCUUUAGCUUUUCAAUUCUGUCAAACAGCAACUCAUUUGUCUUUUUGUACUCCUUGUAGUCCUUUUCUAUUAUUUUACUGUACUUUUCGUGGAUACUUCUUUUUUCUUCCUUGAUUCCUUUUUCGCAAUCCAUUAGUAUUUUUUGCGCAAAAGGGAAGUCUUUUUCUUCAACCAUUUGUUUUUCCUUCAUGAUUGAUAGCAAUUCAGGGAUCGACAUCAUCUUCAAUGGAUAUCAAAGAUGUGGUGAAAGGCUUUUCUUGAAAAGGCAAAAAAUUGCGGCGCAGCUAACUGUGAAAAAGAUUGAUCUUUUUUAGUUGAAAUGGCGAUGUGAAGCGGAAAAAGACAAUAAUACAGGGAAGAUUACGUAGAUAAAUUCAAAUGAGUGAAACAUGAAAACACAUCAAAAAACAAUAAUUAGUACUAUUUGUUCAACAUUUAAAGAUAACAAGAAUAUUUGAUACUUUUACAUUAAACAUUAGUCAAACACCUCAGCUUUUAAAGUAAAACAUUAAAAGUACAUUUGAUUUCUGCAAAAGAAUGAAUGUAGUCAUAAUCCUUGUAAUAUACAUAGAUAACUUAAUUUAGUAAUUAUAGGAUAUCCAUUUUUGUUCUUUCCGUAGUUAGGAAUUUAUGCUCGUGUAUACAUACUUGCUAAUUUAUGAAAUAAUAAAUCGAUUCAUUCUCUCAUACCUUUAUUACAUGGUCACUAUGACUUCGCUGAGCACAUCGGAUUAGUUGUAGAUUGUAGUUAGCAUUUAAAAGUUCUUUACGCGGACAUUAUUGUUGGGAAGCAAAUCAAUCUCACAUCUCCCACAUCGGAGAAAUAGAGGAAGAAUGCCCAAUAUUUAAGUGUGUCACCCAACUCCACUAAUAUGAGGCCUUUUGGGAGGUGCCCAAAAACAAAUCCGUGAGGGCUUGGCCCAAAGAGGACAAUAUCAUAAUAGUGCGGAGUUCGGGUGUGGUUACACGCGGUCCCGAGAAGUGGUAUCAGAGCCCUGAUUCGGGUGUGUCGGAAUGGUGGACUGCGGUUGGGGAGAAUUUUCCGGUGUAAUGACAAGACUGGGAGAUCUGCAGGUGGUGCCUUGUGUCGAAAGUCUUCCUGGCGAGUGGUGGUCAGGCAGCGUGUCUCAUUGGAUGAUAAAGGAGGUACAAGAUGUUUGGCAGAUCAUGUGAAUUUGAUCUAGUAGUUGAGAUCUACUGUUUGAUGCCUAGCAAAGUCCAACUCCUUGUUUAGCAUAGCUCCCUAACACUCAAGCACCAGAUCAUAUGAAAGGCCGGAUGCAAACUUCCUCAUUCGAACCCUCAUACAACUCGUCAUCUCAGGAGCAUAACGGGCCAGCUGAUUGAACUUUAGAGUAUACUCCUGAACACUCAUCUUACCCUGCUUAAGGUUCAUGAACUCCCCUACCUCUUUCAGCUGGUACGCGACCAAUUCUACCCCUUCUACUUCAUCUACAUGCAUCACUUGAAGAUCUUUUCCAUUUCGUCUACAAAUUCCUACGGAUCCUCUUGUACUUUAGUACUUCUGAAUUUGGGAGGAUUCAUCCUGAUGAAUUGGCUCACCCAUGUAGCUUCAGAGGUAAUAAAUGCAGACCUAGUAUCUUCUGACCGCUAAAUCUGUGCAGCCACCAACUAUGUUAACAUGUGAAUAGAUUUCCUAAACUCUGCAUUUGAAAUAUUCCCCUGCGAAGUCGGGGGAUGGUUCAUUUUGGUCUGUGAGCCCGAGGUGGACUGGUUGGGACUGGAGGGACUCCCGAAGUAGGGACAAGGCCUGGAGUGGGAACUCUAUUACGUCUCCUCAUACCAUGAGUGUGACGAACUUCAUCAUUCUGAGCACUCUGAUUAGUAUUGCGACGAGGAGGCAUGGCUGUUAUUUUUGUAAGACAAAAGAUCACUGAUUAGGAACAGACUUUACUCUGAAGCACGAACUAAUUCACAAAGAAGGGAAGCAUUUCCUAAACGCCUAGUAGCCUCCCGCUUAUAAGUGUAGAGUGCUACACACCCCAAAGCAAGACUCUACCCGAUGCGAUUUUGCAGACAUCCUGGGAACAUGAACCGUGCUUUGAUACCAAGUUUGUCACGACCCAAACCAUUGCCCUGGCUGUGAUGAUCAUUCCGAACCAUGAAGGCCCGAAACAUCCCUAUCUAUCUGGUAAUCAUGCACAUAAUUCAUAUAAUAAAAAUAAAUGCGGAAUAUAUACAAUAUUAUGGAAACAUGGUCAUGAAUCAAAUGAAAUCAAUAAUGGGAAAUAGUGUCCCACAACCUCUAUCGACAUCUGAAAAACCAUCUGUGAAAUCUCUACUACAUGAUUGAAACAAAUAAUUAUAUGAAAACUGGGACAAGGCCCCCAGUAGACCCAAACCUACUAAAUGAUAAAUGAGAAGGCUUACCACUUGAUUUUGUAAGUCUGUCUGAAGACGUCUACUGAUUAUCUAGACCCCUAGACUGUGCCUCCGAACCUGGGAGGGAAGGGGGUUAAUAUUGUCACGACCCGAACCAGGUCCUGGCUGUAACGAGCAUUUUGAACCAUGGAGGCCCGAAACACCACUAUCUGUCUGGUAAUCAGGCACCUAAUUCAUAUGAUCAAAGUAAUGCGGAAGAAACACAAGUAUUCGGAAAUAUGGUCAUAAAUAUGAAAAGAAACAAUAGCGGGGAAAUAAGGUUCCCCCAACAUCAAUCAACCUCUAAACAAUUGUCUGCGAAAAUCUCUAACAAAUGACUGAGUCAAGUAACUGUAUAUAAACUGGGACAAGGACCCAGUAGACCCCAAAGCUAUAUAUAAGCUAAAGGACUCGGGACAUAAGACCUUCCGAAACAUAGAAGGCUCACCACUUGUCUUUAUAACUCUUUCUGAACGAUCUACUGAUUCACUUGACCCCUACACUGGGACUCUGAAUGUGAGAGGUUGGAGAGGGGAGGGGGUCAGAACAAAAGUACUGGCAAAUAGAGAUAUCAAAACAAAACAUAAUAUUUUUACGAAAUAUAGUUGAGAGCCAUUAUAAAGCAAUUUCGUAUCAAAUUAUUUGAAAACAUAUGGGCGUAAUGCAAUAGUUUCUCAACAACAAUGAAAUGCAAUUGAGCUAGGUGGAAUACCCUACAUAAUUUACACCAACUGUCUAACCUCGGUUGCCGCCGAGAUUAGAGUAUAAGUGAGGGAGAGACACAUAAGACCACGAAGCCUGGUGUCUCGACCCACUGGUAGUGCAAAAGAUCACACAGCCUGGGCUCUUACCUAUAGUCCCAAUUUGGGAAUAACAUAAAGUCAAGUACACAAUAUCACUUAGCCUGGUACCAAAUCUCUGUGUCGGCAAACACGUUUUCCAACGAUGAGCCCUUACACUCAAACGCCUUCUUUGGGCAUCCACCUAUCUCAUGUAAAAUCAAUGCAUUCAAAUUUUAUCUGAUUCAAUCACAUAUCAUAUUCUGUAGAGUAUCAUCAUACCUGACUUGCAAGUCAUCAAUAUCACUUCCACAUAUACAUUAUCAUGUAAAAAUCAAGGUUCUUCAUCAUUUACAAGUGGUAAACAAUAAUUAUUUCAAAUUCGUGCUCUCUUUUGUUGGUCACAAUAUGAUAUGGGGUAUCAAGACAUUAACAUGGGAAUUUGAAAGCAAUUUAUCAUUCAUAUUUAUCAAACUUCCAUGGAAAAUCUCAAAUCACAUAUGCAUGGUUUCAACCAUUGAAGUAUAUAGGCAAACAAUUCUCAUGACAUAAAGAAAAUGUCUUAGAAAUCGUAUUGAAAGCAAGAUAUUAGCAUUUGAUUGAAAACCCCCAUUUAAAAGCAUGCAUGUUCAUAAAAACUACACCCAUGAGAUUUUNNNNNNNNNNNNNNNNNNNNNNNNNNNNNNNNNNNNNNNNNNNNNNNNNNNNNNNNNNNNNNNNNNNNNNNNNNNNNNNNNNNNNNNNNNNNNNNNNNNNNNNNNNNNNNNNNNNNNNNNNNNNNNNNNNNNNNNNNNNNNNNNNNNCCCAUCCCAUUGCCUAUGUUUACAUAGGCGCCGCCUAGGCUAUCGCCUAUGUUUACAUAGGCUCCGCCUAGGCUAUCUCCUAUACUUUCCAAUGGCCAUGGGCGAUUUGUUAGGCGACGCAUAUCACUUUGAAAAGCCAUAACUUCUUGCUCGGGUGUCGGAUUUUAGCAAAAUUGGUAUCGUUGGAAAGCUAACUCGAAGACCUAUCAUUUGAAACAUAGUAGGCUCCCUAAUUCGACAUAUACUGAGAGUUAUGGUCGAUGGAAACUGACACAAUUUACAACGUCCACUAAAUCUUAGUCGAUCGAAAUAGUUUCAACUCGUCCUUGAGUUGAAGGACCUCUAUGGUCUAAAUUCAAGCUUCAAUGGAUUCACAUGAUACACAAAUAAUUAACAUGCCGUAUUGGCAUAGGAUUUUAUGGCUUUGGGAUUUAUCAACACAUCGGAAUCAUGGUCUAUAUUGUAGCCCAAAAUGCGGGGCGUUACAUUAUCCCCCCCUUAGGAUCAUUCAUCCCCGAAUGAUGAUGCGGGACACACACAGACACGAUUUCAUGCAUAAUAAAGGACUAGGAAAGUUAAGAUAGGAAUAGUACCUUCUGUCUCAUCCUCCAUCGAAGCAAACAAUUUGGGAUAUCUAAUUCUCAUGUCAUCUUCUGACUCCCAAGUUGCUUCUUCGACUUUCUGAUUCCUCCACAGUACCUUUACUGAGGCUAUCUCUUUGCUCCUCAGCUUUCGAACUUGGCUAUCUAAAAUUUUAACGGGCUCUUCUUCAUAAGACAGGGAGUCUGUCACUUUGAUACCUUCUACUGGCAAUACUAUAGAAUGAUCUCCAAUGCAUUUCUUCAACAUGGAUACAUGGAAUACUGGAUGAACGGAGCCCAAACUUGCAGGCAAGUCUAGCUCAUAAGCAACUGCACCAAUCUUUUUCAGAAUCUGAUAUGACCCUAUAUAGCGAGGGCUUAAUUUAUCCCUUUUUCCAAAUCGUAUAACUCCUUUCAUAGGAGAAACAUUGAGAAACACCCAAUCACCAACUUCAAACUCUAGUUCUCUUCUCCGAACAUCGGCAUAGGACUCUGACAACUCUGAGCAGUCUUGAGUCGUUCUCUAAUGAUCUUUACUUUCUCUAUCGCCUGAUCAACAAGAUCAUGCCCAUACAAAUGAGCCUCACCAACUUUAUACUAUCCUAUCGAAGACCUACAUCUCCUCCCAUACAAAGCCUCAAUAUGAGCCAUCUUGAUGCUGGCAUGGUAACUAUUAUUGUAAGGAAAUUCAACCAACUACCUUUGAAAUCAAUGACGCAUUCCCUCAAUAUAUCCUCAAGGGUUUGAAUGGUAUGCUCAGCUUGCCCAUCCGUCUGAGAGUGGAUAGCUGUGCUCAAAUUCACUUGUGUACCUAAACCCUUCUGAAAAAAUUUCCAAAACUGAGAUAAAAACUGCGUACCUCUAUCGAAUAUAAUGGACACUGGUGCCCCAUGCAAUCGAACUAUCUCGUCAAUAUAAAUCUUAGCAUAACCCUCUACCGAAUAAUUAGUCCUCAUAGGCAGAAAGUGGGCUGACUUUGUCAACCGAUUUACAAUCACCCAUAUAGAAUCAUACUGGUUUUGGGAUCUCGGAAGUCCUGUAAUGAAGUCCAUGUUUAUCAUCUCCCACUUCCAUAAAGGCAGGGCUAUCUCUUGGGAAGUACCACCUGGCCUCAUGUGUUCUACCUUUACUUGUUGAAAGUUCAAACACUUGAACACAAAAUUAGCUAUAUCAUGUUUCAUGUUAUUCCACCAAUACAAGGUUUUCAGAUCAUGGUACAUCUUAGUAGAGCCUGGGUGAAUGACAUACCUCGAAGUGUGCACCUCAUUAAGGAUUCUUUCCCGUAGCCCAUCAACAUUUGGAAUGCACAACCUACCCUAAAAUCUUAGAACACCAUCACCACCAAUUUCAAACGGCAUAACCUUUUAUUAACCCACAUCUUUCUUGAUUUGAAUCAAGAUGGGAUCCUCAACCUGCUUCUUCUUAACUUUAGCACAAAGGGAUGACUUAGCUAACUCAUGAAUAAUCACCUCUCCAUCUUUAGAAUCUAAGAGUCACACUCCCAGAUUUGCAAGGCGGUGAAUAUCCUUCACCAUCUCUUUCUUUCCUUUUUCUACAUGAGAAAGGCUGCCCAUAGACAACCUGCUGAGGGCGUCGGCUACAACAUUUACCUUACCCGGAUGGUAAUACAGACUCAUAUCAUAAUAUUUCAAAAGCUCCAUCCAACGCCUCUACCUGAGGUUCAAUUCUUUCUGUGAGAAAACAUACUGUAAACUCUUAUGGUCAGUAUAAAUGUCAACAUGUACUCCAUAGAGAUAGUGCCUCCAGAUUCUAAGUGCUAACACCAUGGCUACUAACUCCAAGUCAUGAGUGAGGUAAUUUCGCUCAUGCACCUUUAACUGCCUAGAUGCAUAAGCUAUCACCUUACCACGCUGCAUCAAUACACAACCAAGUCCCACACGAGAUGCAUCACAAUAAACCAUAAAAUCAUCUACACCCUCGGGAAGGGUCAAAAUAGGAGCAGUAGUCAGCUUGUCCUUCAAUUUCUCAAAACUGUUUUCACACAAGUCAGACCACGCAAACUUUAUCUUUUUCUGAGUCAGUUUAGUAAGCGGAGCAGCUAUGGAAGAAAAAAUCUCUACGAACCUUCUGUAAUACCCUGCCAAACCUAAGAAGCUCCGAAUAUCGGUUGGAGUCGUGGGUCUAGGCUAUUUUCUCACUACUUCAACUUUCUGGGGAUCCAUUCUUAUCCCGUCACUGGACACAAUAUGCCCCAGGAAGGCAAUAGCAUCUAACCAGAAUUCACACUUAGAAAAUUUAGCAUACAGCUGAUGAUCCUUAAGGGUCUGAAGAAUAAUUCGAAGGUGAUUGGCGUGAUCCUCUUUACUCUUAGAAUAGAUUAGAAUAUCAUCAAUAAAUACAAUGACGAACAAGUCAAGAAACUGAUAGAACACUCUAUUCAUAAGAUCCAUGAAGGCUGCAGGGGCGUCAGUCAACCCAAAGGACAUGACUAGAAAUUUGUAGUGACUAUAUCGGGUUCGGAAGGCUGUCUUAGGUAUGUCUAACUCCUUAACUUUCUACUGACGAUAACCCGAAUGAAGGUCUAUUUUUGAAAAACACUUGGCACCCUGAAGCUAGUUAAAAAGGUUGUCAAUCCUAGGAAGAGGAUAUUUAUUUUUAAUCAUGACCUUAUUUAAUUAACGGUAGUCUAUGCACAUCCGAAGGGACCCAUCCUUCUUUCGCACGAAGAGCAUGGGUGCACCUCAUGGGGAAACACUAGGAUGAAUAAAACCUUUGUCUAGGAGGUCUGCAAGCUAUUCCUUUAACUCCUUUAGUUUCACGGGAGCCAUUCUAUAUGGCAGAAUAGAAAUAGAAUGAGUGUCUGGCAAUACAUCAAUGCCAAAAUCUAUCUCCCUAUCAGGCGGUAUCCUUGGGAGAUCUUCGGGAAAGACUUCUGGGAAUUCAUUCACUACAUGAACUGAAUGCAGAGGAAGGUUUUCAACUUUUGAAUCUUUCACUCAGAUUAGAUGAUACAUACAACCUUUGGAGAUAAGCUUUCGGGCUCUAAGAUAAGAGAUAAAGUGACCUCUAGGUUCCACAGAAUUCCUUGCCCGUACAAUUGGUGUCUCAUUCGGGAAAGAAAAAGUGACCUUUUGGGUUCUGCAAUCAAGGAUGGCGUAACACGGAUGGAGCCAGUCUAUCACAAGGAUGNNNNNNNNNNNNNNNNNNNNNNNNNNNNNNNNNNNNNNNNNNNNNNNNNNNUCCCUACAAUGAAUAGACACGACACAAUUUCUAUAUACCCUUCUAACAAAAACAGAAUCACCUACAGGAGUAGAAACAGAGAAGGUUUCUACAAUAACUUUAGGCUUAAACCCGAAACAAAUAGCCACAUAAGGGGUCACAUAAGAUAAAGUAGACCCGGGAUCAAGCAAUACAUAAACAUCACGAGAAAAUAUUCGUAACAUACCGGUGACAACAUCUGGUGAAGCUUCCGCCUCUUGGCAGUUAAUCAAAGAAUAUAACCGGUUACAACCGCUCUCGAUAGCUGAAGGGGUACCCUUAGAAAGAGGAGCUGUGGAAGCGGCUUGGGACUUAGCCCUCCUCCCCCCCGCAUUUCCUCCAGCAGAAGGACAAUCUCUCUGAAGGUGACCCACUUUGCUAUAAGUAUAGCAGUUUCUCCCCUCAAACCAGCACUUUCCUGGAUGAUUCCUUCUGCAAACCUUGCACUGCAGAUAAGUAAGACGCUGCUGGGCCUCACUGCCCUGAGAAUGUGUACCUAAAGCUUUGGAUCUAUGAGGAGUCUGAAAACUCUGAGUUUAUCUGUCUGUCGGUGGUCUUGGUUCUGGGGCGCUGGCUGCUGACUGUACAUUAUUCCAAAACUUCUUCUUCUUCGACCACUUAUUGCCCCAGUUACCACUCUGAAGCUGAUUCUAGCUCUCUUAGCCUGUCUUUCUCUCUAGAUUUCAGCAAUCCUUUUCUUCCUCUCUUCCACCUACUGCAUAUGAAAGGUCAGUCGAGCAAAGUCUAACUACUUAUUCAACAUAUCCCCUGGCAGUCAAGUACCAGGUUAUUAGCAAGGCCAGAUGCAAAUUUACUCAUCGAGGCUCUCAUAUUACUAGUCAACUCUAGUGCAUAGCGGGCUAGUUUAUUAAACUUCAAAGUGUACUCCUGGACACUCUGCCCUGCUUCAGAUUCAUAAACUCUUCCGCAUUGGUCUCCCUAAACUCUAGAGAAAAGAAUCAAUCAAGGAAAGCUUCCACAAAUUUUCCCCAAACUGUGGGCUCAGCACUUUCACCUUUUGUAUCUUCCCAGUUGGCAUACCACUGAUUCGCAACGUCCUUGAGCUGAUAGGUUGCUAACUCCAAUCCUUCAACCUUAUCGACAUGCAUCACCUUAAAGAUCUUUUCCAUCUCAUCCAAACACCUGUGGAUCUUCCUCCACCUUCGUGCCAGUGAACCUAGGUGGGUUCAUCUUCAUGAAAUAUCCGACUCUAGUAGCCUCAGACGUAACAGAUGCAGACCCAACAUCUUUCUAUACUUGAGCCUGGUUAGCUACAAACUGUGUCAACAUAUGAAUAGAACGUCUGAAUUAUGCAUUAUAAAUAUCUCCCUGAGCAGUUGGGGGACGGUUGACAUUAGUCUGUGGAGCUCGAGGCGAACUGGUCGAGACUGGAGGGACUCCCAAAGUAGGGACAAGUUCUAGAGUGUGAGCUCUGUUACGGGUCCGCAUCCCAUGGGUGGGACGGACAUCAUCUGCCUGAGCAUUUGAUCGAUGAUACGACUUAGAGGCAUAACUGUGUUUUUGAAACACAAGUGAUCAUUGAUUAGGGGACAGUUCAAACUCUGAAGCACGAACUAAAUCACAAAGAAGGAAAAUAUUUCCUAAACGCCUAGCAGCCUCCUACUUAUAAGUGUGGCACGCUACAAACCUAUAAACAGGACUCUACUCGACGUGAUUUUGCAGACAUCCUGGGACCAUGAACCGUGCUUUGAUACCAAGUUUGUCAUGACCUGAACGAGGGCCUGGCCGUGACGAACAUCUCGAACCAUGAAGGCCCGAAACACCCCUAUCAGUCUGGUAAUCAUGCGCCUAAUUCAUAUGAUCAAAGUAAUGCGGAAGAAACACAAGUAUUCGGAAACAUGGUCAUAAAUAUGAAAAGAAACAAUAGUGGGGAAAUAAGGUUCCCCCAAUAUCAAUCAACCUUUAAACAUCUGUUUGCGAAAAUCUCUAACAAAUGACUGAGUCAAGUAACUAUAUAUAAACUGGGACAAGGCCCCCAGUAGACCCCAAAACUAAAUAUAAGCUAAAGGACUGCAGGACAUAAGACCUUCCGAAACAUAGAAGGCUCACCACUUGUCUCUGCAACUCUAUCUGAAUGAUCUACUGAUUCUCUUGACCCCUAGAUUAGGCCUCUGAACCUGAGAGGUUGGAGAGAGGAGAGGUCAACACAAAAGUACUGGCACACAGAGAUAUCAAAACAAAACAUAAUAUUUUUACAAAAUAUAGUUGAGAGCCAUUAUAAAGCAAUUUUGUAUCAAAUCAUUUGAAAACAAAUGGGCGUAAUGAAAUAGUUUCUCAACAACAAUGAAGUGCAACUGAGCUAGGUGGAAUACCCUGUAUAAUUUACACCAUCUGUCUAACCUCGAUUGCCGCCGAGAUUAAAGUGUAUAAGAGAGGGAGAGACACACAAGACCACAAAGCAUGGUGUCUCGAACACUGGUAGUGCCAAAAAUCACUUAGCCUAGGCUGCUACUUAUAGUCCCAAUUUGGGAAUGACAUAAAGUCAAGUACACAAGAUCACUUAGCCUGGUACCAAAUCUCCAGGUCGGCAAACACAUUUUCCAAUGAUGUGCCCUUACACUCAAACGCCUUCUUCGGGCAUCCACCUAUCUCAUGUAAAAUCAAUGCAUUCAAAUUUUAUCUGAUUCAAUCACAUAUCAUAUUCUGUAGGGUAUCGUCAUACCCGACUUGUAAGUCAUCAAUAUCAUUUCCACAUAUGCAUNNNNNNNNNNNNNNNNNNNNNNNNNNNNNNNNNNNNNNNNNNNNNNNNNNNNNNNNNNNNNNNNNNNNNNNNNNNNNNNNNNNNNNNNNNNNNNNNNNNNNNNNNNNNNNNNNNNNNNNNNNNNNNNNNNNNNNNNNNNNNNNNNNNNNNNNNNNNNNNNNNNNNNNNNNNNNNNNNNNNNNNNNNNNNNNNNNNNNNNNNNNNNNNNNNNNNNNNNNNNNNNNNNNNNNNNNNNNNNNNNNNNNNNNNNNNNNNNNNNNNNNNNNNNNNNNNNNNNNNNNNNNNNNNNNNNNNNNNNNNNNNNNNNNNNNNNNNNNNNNNNNNNNNNNNNNNNNNNNNNNNNNNNNNNNNNNNNNNNNNNNNNNNNNNNNNNNNNNNNNNNNNNNNNNNNNNNNNNNNNNNNNNNNNNNNNNNNNNNNNNNNNNNNNNNNNNNNNNNNNNNNNNNUGGUGAUUCCAAAUAUGUAAUUAUCUUCAAAAACAUAUGGUCGAAUGUUGAACUAUUUGGGUUGUUAUUUUGAAACCCUAAGGAGAAUAUUUGAGCACUUUUGAUGAAUGAAGGUGUAUUUUGGGGUCCUUGGAACUAAAUUUCGUGUUUUAGGGCUAAGUAAGGGUGGAAAAGGACCAUUUUUCCCCAAAAAUGGAGUGUUUAAGUCACUUGAAUUCUUUACUUAGGCGCCGCCCAUCCCAUUGCCUAUGUUUACAUAGGCGCCGCCUAGGCUAUCGCCUAUGUUUACAUAGGCGCCGCCUCGGCUAUCGUCUAUGCUUUCCAGCGGCCAUGGGCGAUUGGUUAGGCAACGCAUAUCACUUUGAAAGGCUAUAACUUCUUGCUCGGGUGUCGGAUUUUAGCAAAAUUGGUAUCGCUGGAAAGCUAACUCGAAGACUUAUCAUUUGACACAUAGAAGGCUCCCUAAUUCGAUAUAUAUAGAGAGUUAUGGUGGAUGGAAGCUGACACAAUGUACAACGUCCACUAAAACGUAGUCGAUCGAAAUAGUUUCUACUCAUCCUUGAGUUGAAGGACCUCUAUGGUCUAACUUCAAGUUUGAAUGGAUUCACAUGCUAUACAAAUAAUUAACAUGCCAUAUUGGCAUAGGAUUUUAUGGCUUCGGGAUUUAUCAACACAUCGGAAUCAUGGUUUAUAUUGUAGCCCAAAAUGUGGGGCGUUACAAAUACAAAUGUACUGGUACGCAGAGUAAUAUGAAACAAAAAUACAAUAUUUUUUACAUAAUAUAAGUGAGAGUCAUUAUAAAGCAGUUUCAUAUCAAAUCUUUUGAAAACACAUGGCAUAAUGUAAUAAUUUUUCAACAACAAUGCAAUGCAGUUGAGCUAGGUGGAAUACCUUACAAUAUCACAUUUACACCAACUAUCAUAUCUCGGUUGCCGACAAGAUUAGAGUAUAAGUGAGGGGAAUACACAAAAGAUCACACAGCAGGGUGUCUCGACCCAAUGAAUGCACUAGAUGACAAAGCAGGGAUCCUAACCAUAGUCCCAAAUUGGGAUAACAUAUAUCAGGUACACAAGAUCACAAAGCAGGGUACCAAAUUCCCUUAUUGGCAAAUACGGUUUCCAGCGAUGAGCCCUUUCACUCAAAUGCCUUCUUUGGGCAUCCACCUAUCUCAUGUAAAAUCAAUGCAUUAAAACUUUAUUUAAGUCAAUAACAUAUCAUAUUUUGUAGGGUAUCAUCAUACCUGACUUGCAAGUCAUCAGUAUCACAUCAUUCUUUUCAUUCAACCUUUAUAUUCAACAUGUUUCAACAGAAACAAUCCUCUCUUUGCAAGUCAAAAUCAUAUCCAUUCAUAAUAAUUUUCAAAACAUUUCAUGUCAUGCUUUUCAAGAUGAUUUCAAACAAUUCACAUCAUAUGAAAAUUUAAAACAAAAUCAUAACAAGAGAGAGAUUUCCAUAUAAUUCAUGCUCUCAAGUUACCAUCUUUUUGAAACACAUGCAUGUACAUAUAUAAUAUAUCAAAUAAAUUCGGGGAAAGGCCUAAAGACCAAACCAAUAUCAUUGAAACAUUUAAAACAUGAUAAUAUUCAUAAUUUCAAAACCCCCAUUCUUAAAGCAUGAAUUUUAAGCCCAUGAGAUUUUUAGGAUAGUCCCACGUACCUCUAUAUGCAAAGUUAAUAGGUGCUUCUUGAAGCCUACGUUACGGGGAUUCUAAUUAUGCGAUCAAUUUCAAAAACCUACAGUUAAAUCUCGAACUACUUGGGUUUUUAGGUUGAAACCCUUGAGAGUGUUCUUGAGGAUUUUUGGUGAAAAUAUCAAUAUUAUGCUCAAUAGGGAGUGUAAUCCCGUGUUUAAGUUGAUAGAGUUUUGGAAAAAUACCACAAUGCCCUUAAUAAGAUGGAAUAGUACACUGCAUUUUGGCUGGGCGCGAUAGGCAGGGCAGCGCCUUGCUUAGACCCUGGGAGAACCCAGGCCGGCGCCUUGCUUUCACCAGAGGAGAGACCACGACGGCGCCCCGCUUAGAGUGGGGCUGAGCCCUGGGAGGUGCCCCCAAAUGCCUUUAGCUACUGUUUUCCCACCCAAACACGACCGUAGAUUCAUCUAAAAAUUCUAAAACUUACCCGAGAUGUACUACGGCCUUGCCCCAUUGUAGUGCAAUAAGAAAAUCUAAAAAUGGAGGUCGAGAAGUUUGAAAAUAAAAUCCCCGAAGAUUACGAGCUAGAAAUAAGUCUUAAGUCCUUUGACACUUAGAGAAUUUUUCAUGUUUUCAAGUUUAAGACCACACCACUAAGAGUUAGUGCAUGCAUGACUUCUACGGGGCGUUACAUUUGGUGUAUGCUAUUUGUUGAUGAUAUUGUACUGAUUGACCAGACUCGGGAAGGAGUUAAUGAUAAGUUGGAGGUUUGGAGACAGAAACUUGAGUGUAAAGGAUGGGGUACUUGAAAUGUAAGUUUAGUGAUCUGUCGAAUAACCCUGAUAUGGUAAUGAAGCUAGAUUCUCAAACCAUUUAGAAGAGAGAGAGUCUCAAGUAUCUUGGGUCUAUGAUUCUGGAAAAUGGUGAGAUUACCGAGGAUGUUAGACACUGAAAAAGAAGGUGCCUCCUAAGCUUAAAGGUAAGAUCUACAGAGUGACAGUCUGACCGGCUAUGUUGUAUGAAGCAAAGUGUUAGCCAGUUAAGAACUCCCAUGACUAAAUGUUGAAGGUGGCGAAAAUGAAGAUUUUGAGAUGGAUGUCUGGGCUUACCAAGAGGGAUAGAGUUAGAAAUGAGAUUAUUCGGGAGAAGGUGGAAGUGGAUUCAGUGGAGGAAAAGAUGCGGGAAGUGAGGUUGCGAUGGUUCAGACAUGUGAUGAGGAGGGACACAGUUGCUCUAGUGUAGAGGUAUGAUAGGCUGGCUAUGGAUGGUUUUAGGAGUGUUAGAGGUAGGGAAAAGAUGUAUUAGAGGGAGGUGAUUAUGCAUGACGUGGAGCAGUUACAGCUUACGGAGGACAUGACCUUUGAUAGGAAGGUGUGGAGGACGCGGAUUAGGAUAGAGGUUAGUAGGUAGGAGUACGUCGAAUUAUAAUUUAAACAUAUUUUUUUCUUCUUUCUCGUGGUUGCUACUCAUUAUCUAUGUGUUCAACUUUUAUUCUAGUCUAUUCAAACACAAAAUCAUUCUUUAGCUUCAACGACUGUUAUAUAAAUACCAUGACUCAACAAUAUGUGUAUCGCGCAAACAUGAUUUCAAAUAGGUGGAUCAAUAAUGUGACGACACAUAACACUCCUCUAACAUUCAAUCGUACUCAAACCAGUCUAUAAAUAUAGCAAUUCAUAAUCAAAAUACUACAUUGAAGUCGAACAGAUGAACGAUAAUUACCUAAUUGUUCCUGCUAACAAAGCAAUUCUAGUAUAAGAACUUUUUGUCGAGGGAGCUAGGAGUCUGGUGCAACAACUUGACACUUCGUUUCGAGCAUCUGUGUACAUAGAGAUGAGCAGACAGACUCUGCUUCAACUGUAGCUUCAUUUGCGGAUAUCAACACCAGGGCAGAACAGCUGAUCUUUCUUCCUAUUGUAUAUCCUAUAUAUUUGGCGAGAGUAUCGAAUAGCCAGUGUCUUGCAUAUGCAAAGAUCUUCUAGUCCAACCUCCGAAAUUGUUCUCUUGAGCUUGUUUCGGGAUCAUCACGACACAGAAACACCCCUAAAGCAGUAAUCCUGAAAGAAAAAGCAGGCAAAAAUGGAUUACAAAGAUUGUCUUUUCAUGAACUAAGAAAAAACUAUCAAGAGAUUGAUACAUACCUAUUUUUGUCGAUCUUACUCAUUGAGGAGAAUUUGUUUCCAGAAAUUUGUUGACGGUACAAAGCACAUACAGCAUUCAGACAAAGCUCGGCAUCCAUUUAAAAUGCAGUAAAAAAAUCGUCUUCAGACGACCAUUCUAUACCCGACUUAUUCCCAGGAUUAACCAAUUCUGGAAUAAAUGAUGUUAUUUGACCCUCAUUCAUGCUUCUUUUUCUCUUCCGCGUCGAAUUAGAGGAGCCUUUCACGUGCACUUCCUUUUUCUGUCCGCGACUCUUUGAAGCACGAGUGAUUUCAGUUAACGUUAGUUCAUCAUCACUGUCAUUCAUUACAUGAACCGGCAUAGUUUCUGGUUUGUCAGACGCUUUACUUAAGACUAUUGCUUUACAUGCCGAUGGAUCUGCAAGAAGAUUAUAUGCGAUAACAUCAUAGAUUUUCCUCUUUUAAGCUGACGUAUGAAACUUAUCUGUCCAAUAAAAGUAUGAUAGCCGCCAAUCUAAGUCACAAAAAAACAACAACUUACCAAGUAUAAUCCUCAUGUACGCAGACCUUACCUCUAUCUUUUGCGGUAGAGAGGCUGUUUCAAAUAGUCCCUCGGCUCAAAAGAAAGAAAAAUGAAUCACGUUUGCAUGAAAACACAACACUAUCCUGGAAAGACACUAAGCAACUAAAACGGUAAACCAACACUGACGAGAAAGGAAAAAAAUGAAUUGCAGCAAAGUGGCUAGAUGGACACAGCGUGUAACAAUGGAUGAAGUGGACGUAGCAAGUGUUUUGUCGGAAUUGCUUUCUACUCGAGCAUCUAGUCUAUCUUUUUUCAUUUUUCGUGUGUGUCUGCGUGGUUGUGGUGGUGUUAUUUUCUGUAUAUCAUGAAGCAUCAUCAGAAAAUAUCAUACCUAUAACUGUUUAACAGAACAACACUAACUACUAUACCUCAAUCCAAUGAGUUGAGGUCGGCUAUUUGAAUCCUAAUGAAAUAUCCACAUAAUAUAGACAGAUCGUAAUAACAACAAGUCAACUAAAUCACAAAACCUUUAUACCUUUGUGUCUCGAUUGACCACUGCUAUUUCCGGUUGAGCUGCCAACAAGUUUCGGAUCAUCAUAAAGCACGAUUGCCCGAUCUUCUCCCUGAGUAGAUUCCACGUUGUUAACGCCAUUCGCACCAAUAGCUUGAAUGCCUGUUUCCACCUCCAAAUCUGUUGCCAAUUUUCAGAAAACACACACAUCAAGAUAAAGAAUUUUCCUCGUUUAGAACGAGAAAAUCUAAUAUCUAACUCUUUGAACAGCAAAAAAGGUAUGAGAACAGAAAGUAUAAGUCACACAACUGAUGAAAAUGUAUUCAUUUUCUUUUCGUAGCAUCAAUCAUCAUUUACCAAACUUUAUCCGACCCCAAAUUAGUUGAUUAAUUGAAUGCCACAAUAAAUUAAACAGGUCUUGCAAAUACAGUAAAAUCAUUAUUAUCAAAACGAUAAGCUAAGUACAUUAAACGAUACGUAACAAGUUCACAUAACAGAAAUACCUUCGUCAUUUUUUCUCCUCUUCGUUUCCUUCAAACGAGAAAUUCUACCUCUAAACUCGAUGAUUUUCUCCUCGUAGCGAGCGUCUUUAUCACUUUUUGCCUUCUUUAGCUUUUCAAUUCUGUCAAACAGCAACUCAUUUGUCUUUUUGUACUCCUUGUAGUCCUCUUCUAUUAUUUUACUGUACUUUUCGUGGAUACUUAUUUUUUCUUCCUUGAUUCCUUUUUCGCAAUCCAUUAGUAUUUUUUGCGCAAAAGGGAAGUCUUUUUCUUCAACCAUUUGUUUUUCCUUCAUGAUUGAUAGCAAUUCAGGGAUCGACGUCAUCUUCAAAGGAUAUCAAAGAUGUGAUGAAAGGCUUUUCUUGUAACAGCAGAAAAAUGCGGCGCAACUAACUGUGAAAAAGAUUGAUCUUUUUUAGUUGAAAUGGCGAUGUGAAGCGGAAAAAGACAAUAAUACAAGGAAGAUUAUGCAUAUAAAUUCAAACGAAUGAAACAUGAAAACACAUCCAAAAACAAUAAUUAGUACUAUUUGUUCAAGAUUUGAAGAUUACAAGAAUAUUUGAUACUUUUACAUUAAACAUUAGUCAAACACCUCAGCUUUUAAAGUAGAACAUUAAAAGUACAUUUGAUUUCUGGAAAAGAAUGAAUGUAGUCGUAAUCCUUGUAAUAUACAUAGAUAACUGAAUUUAGUAAUUAUAGGAUAUCCAUUUUUGUUCUAUCUGUAGUUAGGAAUUUAUGCUCGUGUAUACAUAAUUGCUAAUUUAUGAAAUAAUAACUCGAUUCAUUCUCUCAUACCUUUAUUACAUGGUCACUAUGACUUCGCUGAGCACAUCAGAUUAGUUGUAGAUUGUAGUUAGCAUUUAAAAGUUCUUUACGCAGACAUUAUUGUUGGGAAGCAAAUCAAUCCCACAUCUCCCACAUCGGAGAAAUAGAGGAAGAAUGCCCAAUAUUUAAGUGUCACCCAACUCCACUAGUAUGAGGCCUUUUGGGAGGUGCCCAAAAACAAAUCCGUGAGGGCUUAGCCCAAAGCGGACAAUAUCAUACUAGUGCGGAGUUCGGGUGUGGUUACACGCGGUCCCGAAAAGUGGUGUCAGAGCUCAGGUUCGGGUGUGUCGGAGUGGUGGACUGUGUUUGGUGAGAAGUUCCCGGUGUAACGACAAGCCUAGGAGAUCUGCAGGUGGUGCCUUGUGUCGAAAGUCUUCCUGGCGAGUGGUGGUCGGGCAGUGUGUCUCAUUGGGUGAUACCGGCGGUACAAGAUGUUUGGCAGAUCAUGUGAAGUUGACCUAGUAGUUGAGAUCUACGGUUUGAUGCCUUGUAUUGAAAGUCUUCUUGACAAGUGGUGGUAAAGCGGCGUGUUCCACUGGUUGGUAGUUUUGCUAAGUAUACCAUAUAUUUACACAACACACUUAUUUUAUUAUUGAACAAACAUAUAACCACACACUUAUUUUAUUAUUAUAUCAACUACCACUCACCAUUAUUUUUUGGGUUUGUAGUUUUAACAAUUAUAUGGAAAAAUCAUAUGCGCGAUCAAUGGCAACUUGAACUUAGCACUUUAGAAGCAGUUGUAUCAUGUUGCUGUAUAUGGAAAACUAGUGCGUAAGAGUUGUAUCAGUGCAUAUUAUACCAAUGUUGAUAGAGACUUUUCUUAAAUACAGUAGUUUGGUUUCGUUACUUUUUGAAACUAUACUACAUUUCAUAAAUAAAGUAUAAAUAUUUAAAUAACUUAACUAUAGUAAAGUGACAAAAAGUUGAGAUGGCAAAUAUUUACCUCGUUAGGAGAUUAGUGGAGCAGUUUAGGGAGAGGAAGGCGGACUUGAACAUGGUGUUCAUUAUUCUUGAGAAGGAGUAUGACAGAGUCCUUAGGGAGAUUCUGUGGAGGUGCUUGGAGGCUAGAGGGGUGCCUGUGAAAUACAUUAAUUCUAUUUAGGACAUAUACGAUGGUGCAAAGACUUGUAUGAGGAUGGUAAAAGAUCGAAGCACUUUCUUGUUCAGACAGGGUUGCAACAGGGUAGCUGAAGGUUGUUUUUACGCUGCAAAGUAAAGGUUAGGUGCCUUGGUGUCACGACCCGAAAUGGGGCCCUGACUGUGACGACCAUUCUGAACCAUGAAGGCCCGAAACACUCCUAUCUAUCUGGUAAUCAUGCACAUAAUUCAUAUAAUAAAAAGAAAUACGGAAGAUAUACAAUAUUACGGAAAUAUAGUCAUGAAUCAAAUGAAAUCAAUAAUGGGAAAUAGUGUCCCACAACCUCUAUCAACAUCUAAAAAACCGUCUGCGAAAUCUCUACUACAUGACUGAAGCAAAUAACUGUCUGAAAAUUAGGACAAGGCCCUAGUAGACCCAAAACUAUUAAAUAAUAAAUGAACUGCCAGACAUCAGGCCUUACGAAAUGUAGAAGGCUCACCACUUGAUUCUGUAAGUCUAUCUGAAGACAUCUACUGAUUAUAUGGACCCCUAGACUGUGCCUCCGAACCUAGGAAGGAAGGGGGUCAAUACAAAUGUACUGGUACGCAGAGUAGUCCAAAACAAAAAUAUAAUAUUUUUACAAAAUAUAAGUGAGAGCCAUUAUAAAGCAAUUUCAUAUCAAAUCAUUCGAAAACACAUGGGCAUAAUGUAAUAAAUUUUCAACAACAAUGCAAUGCAGCUGGCCUAGGUGGAAUACCCUACAAUAUCACAUUUACACCAACUGUCAAACCUCGGUUGCCGCCGAGAUUAGAGUAUAAGUGAGAGGAAGACACAAAAGAUCACACAACAAGGUGUCUCGACCCAAAGAAGUAUGGUAGUGCACAAGAUCACAAAGCAGGGCUCUUAACCAUAGUCCCAAAUUGGGAUAACAUAUAUCAGGUACACAAGAUAACAAAGCAGGGUACCAAAUUCCCUUGUUGGCAAACAUGGGUUCCAGCAAUGAGCCCUUUCACUCAAACGUCUUCUUCGGGCAUCCACCUAUCUCAUGUAAAAUCAAUGCAUUCAAACUUUAUUUAAGUCAAUCAUAUAUCAUAUUCUGUAAGGUAUCGUCAUACCCGACUUGCAAGUCAUCAGUAUCUCAUCAUUCUUUUCAUUCAACCAUUAUAUUCAACAUGUUUCAACAUAAACAACUCUCCUUGCAAGUCAAAAUCAUAUCCAAUUAUAAUAAUUUUAAAAACAUUUCAUGUCAUGCUUUUCAAGAUGAUUUCAAACAAUUCACAUCAUAUGAAAAUUUAAAACAAAAUCAUAUCAGGAGAGGGAUUUCCAUAUAAUUCAUGCUCUCAAGUUAUCAUCUUUUCAAAACACAUGGAUGUACAUAUAUAAUAUAUCAAAUCACUUCACAGAAAGGCCUAAAGACCAAACCAAUAUCAUUGAAACGUUUAAAACAUGAUUAUAUUCAUAAUUUCAAAACCCCCAUUCUUAAAUCAUGAAUUUUAAGCCCAUGAUAUUUUUAGGAUAGCCCCACGUACCUCUAUAUGCGAAGUUAAUAGGUGAUUCUUGAAGCCUACGUUGUGGGGAUUCAAAAUAUGCGAUCAAUUUUUAAAACCUACGAUUAAAUCUCGAACUACUUGGGUUUAUAGGUUGAAACCAUUGAGAGUGUUCUUGAGGAUUUUUGGUGAAAAUAUCAAUAUUAUGCUCAAUGGGUAGUGUAAUCCCAUGUUUAAGUUGAUAGAGUUUUGGAAAAAUACCACAAUGCCCUUAAUAAGAUGGAAUAGUAUGCUGCAUUUUGGCUGGACGCGAUAGGCAGGGCGACGCCCUACUUAGACCCUGGUAGAACCCAGGGCGGCGCCUUGCUUUCACUGGGGGAGAGACUAGGGCAGCACCCCUCUUAGAGCGGGGGUGAACCCUGGGCGGCGCCCCCCAAAUGCCUUUAGCUACUAUUUUCCCCACCCAAAUGCAUCCUUAGGCUUGUCUAAAAAUUCUGAAACUUACCCGAGAUGUACUAAGACCUUUCCCCUUCAUAGCGCAAUAAGAAAAUCUAAAAACGGAGGUCGGGAAGGUUGAAAAUAAAAUCCCCGAAGAUUACGAGCUAGAAAUGAGUCAAAGUCCUUUGACACUUAGAGAAAUUUUCAUGUUUUCAAGUCUAAGACCACACCACUAAGAGUUAGUGCAUGCACGACUUAUACGGGGCGUUACAUUAUCCCCUAGGGAUCAUUCGUCCCCGAAUGAUGAUGUGGGAUUACAGUCAAGCACGAUUUUUCUAGCAUACUAGGACAUAGGAAGCAUAAGUCAAGGAUUGUACCUUCCACCUCGUCAUUCACCGGAUCAAAUAAGCUAGGGUAUCUAAAUCUCAAGUCGUUUUCUGAUUCCCAAGUUGCUUCUUCAACUUUCUGAUUUCUCCACAACAUUUUGACUGAGGCUAUCUCUUUUCUCCUCAAUUUCCUAACUUGACAAUCUAAGAUUGCUACAGGCUCUUCUUCAUAACACAAGGAAUCGGUCACUUUGAUUUCUUUAACAGGAAACACUAAAGAAUGAUCUCCAAUGCAUUUCUUCAACAUAGAUACAUGGAAUACCGGGUGGACAAAACCCAAAUUUGCAAGCAACUCUAACUCAUAUGGAACUCCACCUAUCCUUUUUACAAUCCAGUAUGGUCCUAUAUAGCGAGAACUCAGCUUACCUUUCUUCCCAAAUUGCAUAACUCCCUUCAUGGGAGAAACUUUAAGAAAUACCCAAUCUCCAACCUCAAAUUCUAAAUUUGUUCUUCUAACGUUGGCAUAGGAUUUCUGAUGACACUAAGCUGUCUUAAGUCAUUCCCUAAUAAUCUUCACAUCUUCCAUAGCCUGGUGAAAAGAUCAGACCCAAUCAUCUGCAUCUCACCUACUUCAUACCACCCCAUCGGAGACCUACAUCUCCCACUAUACAGUGCCUCAAACGGUGCCAUCUUAAUUUUGGAAUGGAAGCUAUUAUUAUAAGCAAACUCUAUCAAUGGCAAGGGAUCUACCCAACUACCUUUAAAGUCAAUUACACAGGCCCUCAACAUAUCCUCAAGGGUCUAGAUGGUGCACUCAGCUUGCCCAUCAGUAUGAGGGUGGAAUGUUGUACUUAGAUUUACUUGGGUACCUAAACCUUUCUGAAAAGAUCUCCAAAACUGAGAAAAAAACUGCGUACCUCGGUCAGAUAUAAUGGACACAGGUGCUCCAUGCAAACGAACUAUUUCUUCGAUGAAUAGCUUAGCAUAAUCCUCCCCAGAAUAAUUAGUCCUCACAGGAAAAAAGUGGGCUGACUUUUUCAACCGAUCUACAAUCACCCAAAUGGAGUCAUACUGGUUUCGGGACUUCGGAAGUCCUAUAAUAAAGUCCAUAUUUAUCAUCUCCCACUUCCAUAAAGGCAGAUCUAUCUCUUGGGAAUUACCUCCUGGCCUCAAAUAUUCUACCUUUACUUGCAGACAGUUCAAACACUUGGAAACAAAAUCAGCUACAUCACGUUUCAUAUUAUUCCACCAAUACAAAGUUUUUAGAUCAUGGUACAUCUUAGUAGAGCUCAUGUGAACAACAUACCUCGAAGUGUGAACCUCAUCAAAGAUUCUUUUCCGCAGUCCAUCAACAUUCGAAAUGCACAACCUACCCUGAUAUCUUAGAUACCAUCUCUACCAAUUUCAAAUGACAUUACCUUUUGUUGACCCAUAUCUUUCUUGAUUUGUAUCAAGAUGAGAUCUUCAACUUGCUUCUCUUUAACUUCAGCACAAAGGGAUGACUUAGCUAACUCAUGAACAAUCACCCCUCCAUCUUCGGAAUCUAAGAGUCGCAUACCCAAAUAUGCAAGGCGGUGAAUAUCCUUCACCAUACCUCUCUUCCCCUCUUGAAAAUGAGAAAAACUUCCCAUAGACAACCUGCUGAGAGCAUCGACUACAACAUUUGCCUUGCCCGAAUGGUAAUGUAGGCUCAUAUCAUAGUCUUUUAAGAGCUCCAUCCAACGCCUCUGCCUAAGUUUCAAUUCUUUCUGCGAGAAAACAUACUGCAAACUUUUGUGAUCAAUAUAAAUAUCAACAUGCACUUCAUAGAGAUAAUGCCUCCAGAUUCUAAGUGCAAACACCACACCUGCUAACACCAAGUCAUGAGGGGGGUAAUUUCGCUCAUGCACCUUUAAUUGCCUAGAUGCAUAAGCUAUCACUUUACCAUGUUGCAUCAGUACACAACCAAGUCCCAUACGGGACGCAUCACAGUAUACCACAAAACUAUCGACACCCUCGGGAAGACUCAAACCAGGAGCAGUAGUUAGCUUGUCUUUCAACUUCUCAAAACUAUUUUCACACAAGUCAGACCACAUAAACUUCACCUUUUUUUGAGUCAAUUUAGUGAGCGGAGCCUCGAUGGAAGAAAACCUCUCUACUAACCUUCUGUAAUAACUUGCCAAACCCAAGAAGCUCUGAAUAUCAGUUGGAGUCGUAGGUCUGGGCCAUUUUCUCACUGCCUCAAUCUUUUGGGGAUCCACUCUAAUCCCGUCACUAGACACAAUAUGCCCCAAGAAGGCAAUAACAUUCAGCCAGGAUACACAUUUAGAGAACUUAUCAUAUAAUUGAUGAUCCUUAAGGGUCUGAAGGAUAAUUCGAAGGUGAUCGGCAUGGUCCUCCUCACUUUUGGAAUAGAUCAGAAUAUCGUCAAUGAACACUAUGACGAACAAGUCUAGAAACGAAGGAACAUCCUAUUCAUAAGAUCCAUGAAGGCUGCAGGGGCGUUAGUCAACCCGAAGGACAUGACUAAGAACUCAUAGUGACCAUAUUGGGUUCGGAAGGCUGUUUUAGGAAUGUCUGACUCCCUAACCUUCAACUAAUGAUAGCCCGAACGAAGGUCUAUUUUUGAAAAACACUUACCACCCUGAAGCUGGUAAAAAAGAUCAUCAAUCCUAGGAAGAGGAUAUUUGUUUUUAAUAGUAACCUUAUUCAACUAACGGUAGUCUAUGCACUUACAAAGGGACCCAUCCUUCUUUCUUAUGAAAAGUACGGGUGCACCCCAUGGGGAAACACUAGGACGAAUAAAGUCUUUGUCUAGGAGGUCUGCGAGCUAUUCUUUUAACUCUUUCAGUUCUGCGGGAGCCAUUCUAUAUGGCGGAAUAGAAAUAAGAUGAGUAUUUGGCAACACAUCAAUGCCAAAAUCUAUCUCUAUACCUGGGAGAUCUUCGAGAAAGACUUCUGGAAACUCAUUCACUACAGGGACUGACUAAAGAGGAAGAUUUUUAACCCUUGAAUCUGUUACUCGGAUUAGAUGGUACAUACAACCUCUGGAGAUGAGCUUUUGGGCUCUAAGAUAAUAGAUAAAAUGACCUCUAGGUGCCAUAGAAUUUCCUGCCCACUCAAUUGAUGACUCAUUCCGGAAUGAAAAAGUAACCUUUCAGGUUGUGCAAUCAAGUGUGGCAUAACAUGAAUAGAGCCAGUCCAUCCCAAGGAUAGCAUCAAAAUCUACCAUAUUAAGUUCUAUAAGGUUUGCCACAGUAUCCCAGCUAUGAAUAGACACAACACAAUGUUUAUACACCCUUCUAUCAAUAACAGAAUCUCUUAUAGGAGUGGAAACAGUGAAGGGUUCUACAAUAACUUCGGGCUCAAACCCAAAACCAAUGGCCACAUAAGAUAAGGUAGACCUAGGAUCAAGUAAUUACAUAAACAUUACGGGUAAAGAUUCAUAACAUACCGGUAACAACAUCUGGUGAAGCUUUCGCCUCCUGGUGGUUAGUCAAAGCAUGUAACCAGUUACGACCGCUCCCGACAGCUGAAGGGGUACCCUUAGGAGGAGGAUCCGUGAAGGUGGCUUGGGACUUUGCCAACCCCCUCCCCCCGCAUUUCCUCCCGCAGAAGGAAAAUCUCUCUAAAGAUGACCCACCUUGCCACAAGUAUAAUAAUUUCUCCCCUCAAAAUAACACCUCCCUGGAUCCCGGGUCGGGUAGCAUGUCUCGUUGGGUGAUAAUAGCAGUACAAGAUGUUUGGCAGAUCAUGUGAAGUUGACCUAUAUUUACACCUAGCACUUAUUUUAUUAUUGAACAAACAUAUAACCACACACUUGUUUUAUUAUUAUAUCAACUACCGCUCACCAUUAUUUGUUGGGUUUGUAGUUUUAACAAUUAUAUGGAAAAAUCAUAUGCGCGAUCAAUGGGCACUUGAACUUAGCACUUUAGCAGCAGUUGUAUCAUGUUGCUGUAUAUGGAAAACUCGUGCGUAAGAGUUGUAUCAGUGCAUAUUAUACCAAUGUUGAUAGAUACUUUUCUUAAAUACAGUAGUUUUAGGAUAGCCCCACGGACCUCUAUAUGCGAAGUUAAUAGGUGAUUCUUGAAGCCUACGUUGAGGGGAUUCCAAAUAUGCAAUCAAUUUUGAAAACCUACGAUUAAAUCUCGAACUACUUGGGUUUUUAGGUUGAAACACUUGAGAGUGUUCUUGAGGAUUUUUGGUGAAAAUAUCAAUAUUAUGCUCAAUGGGUAGUGUAAUCCCAUGUUUAAGUUGAUAGGAUUUUGGAAAAAUACACCAAUGCCUUUAACAAGAUGAAAUAGUACACUGUAUUUUUUUAUUGGGCACGAUAAGAAGGGCGGCGCCCUGUUUAGACCCUGGGAGAACCCAUGGAGGCGCCUUGCUUUCACUGGGGGAGAGAUCAGGGAGGCGCCCCGCUUAGAGCGGGGAUCAACCCUGGGCGGCGCCCCCCAAAUGCCUUUAGCUACUAUUUUUCCCACCCAAGCAUGACCUUAGGCUUGUAUAAAAAUUCUGAAACUUACCCGAGAUGUACUACGACCUUUCCCCUUCGUAGCGCAACAAAAAAAUCUAAAAACGGAUGUCGAAAAGGUUGAAAAUUAAAUCCCCGAAGAUUACGAGCUAGAAAUGAGUCAAAGUCCUUUGACACUUAGACAAAUUUUCAUGUUUUCAAGUCUAAGACCACACCACUAAGAGUUAGUGUAUGCACGACUUUUAUGGGGCGUUACAUUAUCCCCCUUGGGAUCAUUCGUCCCCGAAUGAUGAUGUGGUAUUACAGUCAAGCAUGAUUUCUUUAGCAUACUAAGACAUAGGAAGCAUAAGUCAAAGAUAGUACCUUCUACCUCAUCAUUCACCGGAUCAUAUAAGCUUGGGUAUCUAACUCUCAUGUCGUUUUCUGAUUCCUAAGUUGCUUCUUCAACUUUUUGAUUUCUCCAUAACACUUUGACUGAGCCUAUCUCUUUGCUCCUCAAUUUCCUAACUUGACUAUAUAAGAUUGCUACAGGAUCUUCUUCAUAAGACAAGGAAUCGGUCACUUUGAUUUUUUUAACAGGAAACACUAAAGAAUGAUCUCCAAUGCACUUCUUCAACAUGGAUACAUGGAAUACUGGGUGGACAGAACCCAAAUUUGCAGGAAACUCUAGCUCAUAUGCAACUUCACCUAUCCUUUUUACAAUCUGGUAUGGUCCUAUAUAGCGAGGACUUAGCUUACCUUUCUUCCCAAAUCACAUAACUCCCUUCACAGGAGAAACUUUAAGAAAUACCCAAUCUUCAACCUCAAACUCUAAAUCUCUUCUUCUAAAGUCGGCAUAGGAUUUCUGAUGACUCUGAGUUGUCUUAAGUUGUUCCCUAAUAAUCUUCACAUCUUUCAUAGCCUGGUGAAAAAGAUCAGGCCCAAACAUUUGCAUCUCACCUACUUUAUACCAUCCUAUCGGAGACCUACAUCUCCUACCAUACAACGCCUCAAAUAGUGCUAUCUUAAUACUGGAAUGGAAGCUAUUAUUAUAAGAAAACUCUAUCAAUGGCAAGUGAUCUACCCAACUACCUUUAAAGUCAAUUACGCAGGCCCUCAACAUAUCCUCUAGGGUCUGGAUGGUGCGUUCAGUGUGCCCAUCAGUCUGAGGGUAGAAUGCUGUACUUAGGUUUACUUGGAUACCUAAACCUUUCUGAAAAGAUCUCCAAAACUAAGAAGAAAACUACGUACCUCAGUCAGAUAUAAUGGACACAAGUGCUCCAUGCAAACGAACUAUUUCUUCAAUGAACAGCUUAGCACAAUCCUCUCCGGAAUAAUUAGUCCUCACAGCCAAAAAGUGGGCUGACUUUGUCAACCGAUCUACAAUCACCCAAAUGGAGUCAUACUGGUUUCGUGAAUUUGGAAGUCCUAUAAUGAAGCCCAUAUUUAUCAUCUCCCACUUCCAUAAAGGAAGAGCUAUCUCUAGGGAAGUACCUCUUGGCGUCAAAUUUUCUACCUUUACUUGCAGACAGUUCAAACACUUGGAAAAAAAAUCAGCUACAUCAUGUUUCAUAUUAUUCCACCAAUACAAAUUUUUCAGAUCAUGGUACAUCUUAGUAGAGCCCGGGUGAACAACAUACCUCAAAGUGUGAGCCUCAUCAAUGAUUUUUUUCUGUAGUCCAUCAACAUUCGGAACGGGCAACCUACCCUGAUAUCUCAGAUUACCAUCUCUACCAAUUUCAAACGGCAUUACCUUUUGUUGACCCACAUCUUUCUUGAUUUUCAUCAAGAUGGGAUCUUCAACUUGCUUCUCUUUAACUUCAGCACAAAGGGAUGACUUAGCUAACUCAUGUAUAAUCUCCCCUCCAUCUUUGGAAUCUAGGAGUCGCACUCCUAGAUUAUUAAGGCAGUGAAUAUCCUUCACCAUACCUCUCUUCCCCUCUUCAACAUAAGAAAAACUGCCCAUAGACAACCUGCUAAGAGCGUCCGCUACAACAUUUGCCUUGCCCGGAUGGUAAUGUAGGCUCAUAUCAUAGUCUUUUAAGAGCUUCAUCCAACGCCUCUGCCUAAGGUUCAAUUCUUUCUACGAGAAAACAUACUACAAACUUUUGUGUUAGUAUAAAUAUCAACAUGCACUCCAUAGAGAUAAUGCCUCCAGAUUCUAAGUGCAAACACCACACCUGCUAACACCAAGUCAUGAGGGGGGGUAAUUUCGCUCAUCACCAUUAACUGCCUAGAUGCAUAAGCUAUCACUUUACCAUGUUGCAUCAGUACACAACCAAGUUCCACACGAGAUGCAUCACAGUAUACCACAAAACCAUCUACACCCUUGGGAAGAGUCAAAACAGGAGCAGUAGUUAGCUUGUCUUUCAACUUCUCAAAACAAUUUUCACACAAGUCAGACCACACAAACUUCACCUUUUUUUAGUCAAUUUAGUGAGCGGAGCAACAAUGGAAGAAAAAUCUCUACGAAUCUUCUGUAAUAACCUGCCAAACCCAAGAAGCUUUGAAUAUCGGUUGGAGUCGUGGGUCUGGGCCAUUUUCUCACUGCCUCAAUCUUUUGGGGAUCCACUCUAAUCCCAUCACUAGACACAAUAUGCCCCAAGAAAGCAAUAACAUUCAACCAGAAUACAUAUUUAGAGAACUUAGCAUAUAACUGAUGAUCCUGAAGGGUUUGAAGGAUAAUUCGGAGGUGAUCGGCAUGGUCCUCCUCACUUUUGGAAUAGAUCAGAAUAUCGUCAAUGAACACUAUGACGAACAAGUCUAGAAACGAAGGAACACCCUAUUCAUAAGAUCCAUGCAACCCAAAGGACAUGACUAAGAACUCAUAGUGACCAUAUCGAGUUCGAAAGGCUGUUUUGAGAAUGUCCGACUCCCUAACCUUUAAUUGAUGAUAGCCAGAACAAAGGUCUAUUUUCGAAAAACACUUAGCACCCUGAAGCUAGUCAAAAAGAUCAUCAAUCCUAGGAAGAGGAUAUUUGUUUUUAAUAGUAACCUUAUUCAACCAGCGGUAGUCUAUGCACAUACGAAGGGGCCCAUCCUUCUUUCGCACGAAAAGUAUGGGUGCACCCCAUGGGGAAACACUAGGAAGAAUAAAGCCUUUGUCUAGGAGGUCUGCGACCUGUUCUUUUAACUCUUUCAGUUUUUGGGAGCUAUUCUAUAUGGCAGAAUAGAAAUAGUAUGAGUGUCUGGCAACACAUCAAUGCCAAAAUCUAUCUCCCUAUCAGGUUGUAUCCCUGGGAGAUCUUCCGGAAAGACUUCUGGAAACUCAUUUACUACAGGGACCGACUAAAGAAGAAGAAUUUCAACCCUUGAAUCUUUUACUCAGAUUAGAUGGUACAUACAAUCUCUGGAGAUGAGCUUUCGUGCUCUAAGAUAAGAGAUAAAAUGACCUCUAGGUGCCACAAAAUUUCCUACCCACUCAAUUGAUGACUCAUUCAGGAAAGAAAACGUAACCUUUCGGGUUCUGUAAUCAAGUGUUGCAUAACAUGAAUGGAGCUAGUACAUCCCAAGGAUAGCAUUAAAAUCUAUCAUAUUAAGUUCUAUAAGGUCUGCCACAGUAUCCCAGCUAAGAAUAGAUACAACAUAAUUUCUAUACACCCUUUUAGCAACAACAAAAUCUCUUACAGGAGUAGAAACAGUGAAGGGUUCUACAAUAACUUCAGGCUCAAACCCAAAACCAACGGCCACAUAAGGGGUCACAUAAUAUAAGGUAGACCCGGGAUCAAGUAAUACGUAAAUAUUAUGGAAAAAGAAUCAUAACGUACCGGUAACAACAACUGGUGAAGCUUCCACGUCCUGGCGGUUAGUCAAAGCAUAUUACCGGUUACGACCACUCCCGACAGCUGAAGAGGUACCCUUAGGAGGAGGAGCCGUGGAUUUAUAAUUUAAACGUAUUUUUUUCUUUUUCUUGUGGUCGCUACUCAUUCUCUAUGUGUUCAACUUUUAUUCAAGGCUAUUCAAACACAAAAUCAUUCUUUAGCUUCAACAAUUGUUAUAUAAAUACCAUGACUCAACAAUAUAUGUAUCGCGCAAACAUGGUUUCGAAUAGGUGGAUCAAUAAUGCGACGACACAUAAUACUCCUCUAUCGUUCAAUCGUACUCAAACCAGUCUAUAAAUAUAGCAAUUCAAAAUCAAAAUACUACAUUAAAGUCUAACAGAUGAACAAUAAGUACCUAAUUGUUCCUACUAACAAAGCAAGUCUAGUAUAACUACUUUUUGCCGAGGGAGCUAGAAGUAUGGUGCAACAACUCGACCCCUCAUUUUGAGCAUCUGUGAACAUAGAGACGAGCAGACAGACUCCGCGUCAACUGUAGCUUCAUUUGCGGAUACCAACACCAGGGCAGAAUAGCUGGUCUUUCUUGCUAUUAUAUAUCCUAUAUAUUUGGCGAGAGUAUCGAAUAGCCAGUGUCUUGCAUGUGCAAAGAUCUUCCGGUCCAACCUCCGAAAUUGUUCUCUUGAGCUUGUUUUCGAGAUCAUCACGACAUAGAAACACCCCUAAAGUAGUAAUCCUGAAAGAAAAAGUAGGCAAAAUGGAUUACAAAGAUUGUCUUUUCAUGAACUAAGGAAAAACUAUCGAGAGGUUGAUACAUACCUAUUUUUGUCGAUCUUACUCAUCGAGGAGAAUUUGUUUCCAAAAAUUUAUUGACGGUACAAAGCACACACAAAAUUCAGACAAAGCUCGGAAUCCGUAUAAAAUGUAGAACAAAAAUCGUCUUCAGACGACCAUUCUAAACCCGACCUAUUCCCAGCAUUAACCAAUUCUGGAACAAAUGAUGGCAUUUGACCCUCAUUCGUGCUUCUUUUUCUCGUUUGCGUCGAAUUAGAGGAGCCUUUUGAGUGCACUUCCUUUUUCUGUCCAUGAAUUUUUGAAACACGAGCGAUUUCAGUUAAUGUCAGUUCAUCAUCACUAUCGUUCAUUAUAGAAACAAGCAUAGUUUCUGGUUCGUCUGAUGCUUCACUCAAUACUAUUGCUUUGCAUGCCGAUGGAUCUGCAAGAAUAUUAUAUGCCAUAACAUCUUAAAUUUUGGUCUUUAAGCUGAUGUACGAAACUUAUCUGUCCAAUAAAAGUACGAAAGGAACCAAUAUCAGUCACACAACAACAACUUACCAAGUACGCAUAAGAUUACACGGUUGCAGGGAUCGCUCUGCAUAAAAUGUCAUCGGUGUCCAAAAGUGCCAGACAUAUUCAAUGGACAAGUGAGCUAAUUAUGCAACAACCAAGACGGUUGCUGUGUCUGUUGUCACAAGUUAUUUCUUUUCAAACAGGUACAUAAGAGGAUGACUUUGCUUUCUAGGCAAGGACUCAUGUGAAGAUAUGGUAAAAGAAUAUAUACCCUUUCAUGAAUUGUGUUUAGCACUAACGAUUUUUGUUUGAGACAUUGUCAAGAGCAUCCGAGAGGAUGAAAAUCUCAAAUAAAACCAUAGGUGCGGACAACUGCUAAAAGGACCUCACCUCGUGGUAGAGAGGCUGUUUAAGAUAGGCACUCAACUCAAAAGAAAGAAAAAUGAAUCACGUUUGCAUGAAAACACUACAAUAUCCUAGUAGGAUACAACGCAACUAAAAGGGGAAACGAAGAUAGACGAGAAAGGAAAAAAUUAACCGCAGCAAAGUGUCUAGAUGGACACAAUGUGUAACAGUGGAUGAAGUGGACGUAGAAAGUGUUUUUUCGGAAUUGCUUUCUACUCGAGCAUCUAGUCUUUCUUUUUUUAUUUUUCGUGUGUGUCUGUGUCAUUGUGGUGGUGUUAUUUUUAGUAUAUCAUGAAGAAUCAUCAGAAAAUAUCAUACCUAUAACCGUUUAACAGCACGACAGUAACUACUAUACCUCAAUCCAAUGAGUUGAGAUCAGCUAUAUGAAUCCUAAUGAAAUAUCCACAUAAUAUAGACAGAUCGUAACAACAGCAAGUCGACUAUAAAUCACAAAACCGUUAUACCUUUCUGUCUCGAUUCAUCAUAAAGCACGAUUACUCGAUCUUUGCCUUGAGUAGAUUCCAUGUUGUUAACACCAGUCGCAGCAAUAGCUUGAAGUCUUGUUUCCACCACCAAAUCUAUAGCAAAUUUUCAGAAAACACACACAUCAACAUAAAGAAUUUUAAAAAUUAGUUAAAUAAUUGAACGCGACAAAUAACUUAAACAGGUUUUGCAAAUGCAGUAAAAUCAAGAUAUACUGUCAACACACAUUAUGAAACGAUAAGUAACAAGACAUAAACGGGAAGCCCGGUGCACUAAAGCUACCGCUGUGCACGGUAUCCAGGGAAGGGCCCCACCACAAGGGUGUAUCAUACACAGCCUUACCUUGCAUUUCUGCCAGCGGCUGUUUCCAAGGCUUGAACCCGUGACCUCCUGGUCAUAUGACAACUUUACCAGCUACGCCAAGACAUAAUAACAACAAUACCUUCAUCACUUUUUCUCUCAUUUUCCACCAUAAGAGAAACUUCAUCCCUUAACUCUAUCAGUUUCUCCACGUAGCAAGCCACGCUUUCACUUGUCGCGUUCUCUAUCUCUUCGAUUCUUUCAGAGAACAAAUCAUUGUCCUUCUUGUAGUACUUGUGAUGAUCUUUGAUUAUCUUGUUAUACGUUUCUUCCAUUUUCUUGUUUUAUUCCUCGAUUUUUUUUCACGUUUCAUUAGAGCUCCAUGGACAAAAGAGUAGUAUUCAUCUUUAACAAUUUAUUUUCCUUAAAGAUCGCAAGUGCUUCUGUGAUCGAUGUCCUCUUCGACGAAGAAUCCAUUAUCAAAAAUGUGAUAACAGGAUUUUCUUGAUAUAGCGAAAAAAUGCGACGCAGUUAAAACUGCGAAAAAUUGAGAAAUGAUGAUGUGAAGUUUUUUUAGUUGAAAUAUAUAUAUAUAUAUAGGAACUUUGGAAGCGUGAAAAGAAGAAAGUGUACUAAAUACAUUGGGAUUUGGGAAGUUAAAAUUCAAAAGAGCUAAAUGAGAAAAAUAAUAAUUAGUAUUUGGUCAAGAUUUUAUGAAUACAAGAGUAAUUACUAUAGGCUCUAUAUUAUUUAUCACAUUAUGCCUUUAAAUUGGGUGGAUAAGUUCAAAAAAAAGUAAAACGAAAAAAACACAUCUAAAAACAAUAAUUAAUAUUUGAUCAAUAUUUUAAGAAUACACCUUGGAAUUCGAGUAGAUAAGUUUAAAAAAAUAAAACGUGAACAACUUAUUAUUUGUGGCAUAAGUCUAUAUUUUGUAACCAAGCAUAAAUUCGAUUGCUAAAGGACAAAAUCUAAAGAUCAGCCUAUUUAAAGGGCACAACUCAUGAAAUUUCUUCCUAUUGCAUGUUUAAUAGCUCGUAAAUUACGAGUGACUAUUGAAUAUGUUUUGGAGAAGAUCUGUCAAUAUAUUUCCACAAAGUUUAACUUACGCCAUAUAUAAUUGAGACACCCAGUAGAUAUAUUGUAACACUCCGACGUCUUCUUAGCUAAAUUUCGUCCAUGGAAAGUCUAAGCAUUAGCUUCUAGAAUGGUCUAAAUUAAUUUUCAUGUAGAAUUUCCUACAUUUCAACCUUUCAUUACGUAGAUGACUAUAUUAGCUUUCCAACGAUAUAAGAUUCGUCCAAAACGGACCCUCAGUGAAGAAGUUAUGAAUAAUUUAUAGUUCCAGUCGUAAACAUCAUCAUUUUGGUUUCUAGCGCGUCGCGGAGAGGGUAAAAUUGACAAUCGUCAAAUUCCAGUGGGGCUUAGCGUUGGUGGCGCAUCGCGGAGGCACCCAAUUUACCACUCAUCAAAUUCCAUUGAACCACCGCGAUUGCGGCGCGUCGCGGUUGUUUUGCAAAAAUUUUUGAUUUUUGAAAGAGUCGCCACUUAAUUUUGAAAAGGAAUUAAGAAACCUUUAUAAAACAUUUUAAACGAUUCAAAAUAGGGAAAUCGUAUAAGUUAGAGAUUCUAGAUAAGCGGUUCCUAUUAACGUUUUAGGAAGGUGUUAGGCAUGUAAAACGUUCGCUAACUUGCGGUUAUCCGAACUGCUUGAAAAUUGUCUUUUGAUUAACUUCGAAAAGAUUAAUUUGUUGAAAUAGUGAUUUGAUUUUUUCAAAAAAAAAAGAAAGACGUGUAAAAUAGAUUUAGGCGACUUAGUAGGGAUUUUAACUAAGUCUAAACAAAACUAAUAAAUAAAUAAACACAUAAAAGGGGAAGGGAGGAGAAAGUAAAGGAUUUAGGCCAUUAGGCCCAAAUCAACGAGAUCUGUCCUAGUCUAGUUGGGCUUCCAACCCAUUUCACCAGUCCUAAACAAUUUUUCGAGCCUUUGGCUAGAGUCUUGCUCCACCUGUAUUAAAUACAACUUUGGCUUCGAGACCAAAAUGAAUAAAUGACUAAAUGAAUAAAUAAAAAGAAGACAAUAAUAAAAAUUGAGACUUUUCAAGUCUUUUAGUGACCUCAUCAAUGGGUUUUGACCCAUUUUCCUUCUUUGUCUAUCUUUUAGCACCCGUACGCCAUGUAGUGGACCUUGGGUUUAAACGUCGAACUUGACUCGAAGGGGUGAGCCUCAUUUACCCAUUACGAAAUGCAGGAGGAGAGGAGUCCAUUUGGACUCGAGAUAUUUUUUUGCAUGCAAAGAAAAGAUAAAGAAAUUAAUAUAUGUUCAAGGCAUAAAAGUGACAUAUUUCAAAGUAAAAGAAACUAUCAAGAACCAAUUUUUGAAUGACAAGAAUAACCACCCUUGCGCAAGAAUGAGAGCCAACAAAUAAAAAAUGCAAAGCAAAAGUUUCACAAUCAUACUAUGCAUGAGUCAAAAAUAUCCCAAUUAAAGAUAAGGUGAGGCGGAAGAUAAUGUGGGGGAAAAUAGUACAAUGUAGUACAAUCUUUGAAUUUCAAAUUAGAAAAGGACAAAGUUGGGGGGAGUAGUACAAUUUGAAUUUAUUUUUUGAUGGGAAUUGGGUAAAAGUUAUGAGAGUUCUUGAGAAUUUUGGGGUUAUUUAAAAUAUAACCCCAAUUGGAAUUUAAAAUUUAUCCAUAUUUAUUUAUUUUGACCAAAUUAAAAAUUAAUUGACGAAUUGCAUUGCAAUUAUGUCCAAUUUUCAAUUAUGGUCAAAUCUAAUAUAUUGGCUAAAUUAAAUUAAAAUUCGAUACAAAUUAAUACUUUUUUUUUUAAUCCCUAGCUUCUUGAUUUAAUAAAAUGAAUGCAUAUUUAUCUAAAUAAAUUAUUUUUGAGAAUAAAUUAUAUUUAAAUUAAGAUUUUAAUCAUUUGAAUUUAUUUUCAAGAUAAGCCUUAAUUAAAUCUGAUAUUUUGUAAAAUAAAUAUUUAAGUAACAAAUUAUAUAAUCUCGUAUAACUGAACAUGAUAGUAUAUAAUCGCUACUUAAAAUAACAAAAUCAAGUACGAAAAAUAUUUUAAGUUUUUUUAUUUGGAUGAAAUAAUUAUUUUGAUUUAUUAAAAGCUGAAGAAACUCAGGAUUAAAUUUAGUUGUGGAGGGCAAAAAUUAGGUGUCAACAGUGGUGGCACCUGAAAUCGGGUUUUUUAAGUUCAAAUUUUCAGUUCCUUUUAGGAGUCAUUAAGGGUAAUUUUGACUUUUCUCUAACCUUUAAAACUGCCCAAGCAAAUGAUUUAGGUUAUGUUUGAGCAACUUAACCCUAUUUUCAUCAAUAUCAUCAAGAAUCCUCUCUAGGGUUUCAAAAAUAAAAACUCAAGUAGUUCAAGAUUCAACCGUAGAUUUUCGAAGUUGAUCGCAUAUUUGGAAUCCCCAGGUCGUAGGCUUCAAUAAGCACCUAUUGUCUUCCUAAGUCGAAGUACACGGGAUUUUCCUAAAAUCUCAUGGGCAUAGAAAUCAUGUUUUAAGAAUAGGGUUUUGAAGUUUAUGAAUAUAAUCAUGUUUUAGAAGUUUUAACGGUAUUGUUUUGAUCUUUAGACCUUUCCCCCAAAUUGAUUUGCAAUUAUGUAUAAAUGUACUUAUGUUUUCAAGAAUGGUUAUUCAAUUGAGAGCAUGAAUUAUAAUGAAUCCCGCUCUUGUUAUGAGUUUUCACAUCUUCGUAUGAUAUAAAUUGUUUCGAAUGCAUUUUGAAAAGCAUGACAUGAAAUACUUUGGCUUUUUGCUAUGUUUUGAAUAUGAUUUUGAAUACGAAAGAGUGGGUUGUGAAUGUUGAAUAUACAUAUAAUGAAAGAGUGCAUGGUUUUGCCCAAAGCACAUGACCACCAUAUGUUCGAUGAAAGUUUUUGCAUGGUUUUGACUUAAGUUUUGGAACAUGAAAUCUUUUAUGCGAAUUACAUGUUUGGGUGGUCUAAACCUACAUUUUUAUGAAAGAUCAUGCUUAUUCCAUUAUGGCUCAGAAAUAGAACUUGCAAGUCUUGGUGUGACAACACCAACUCAGAAAAUGUCAUGAUAAAUUCAGAACAGAAUAGAAUGCAUAUUUGAAAUCAGAUUUACAGAUUUUGUGAUUAGAAUGUUGCAUGAUUAGAAUUGGUUAAAAAUUGGGCGGAAAGAGAUGUUAUGUGGUUCCCCGAAGAAGGCAUGAGUCUAGAUACUCAUUGCCCGAAAUCGUGAUUUGCCGACCCGGGUAUAUCUUAUAUUACACUGGCCUAGUGCCGUGUAGCGUAUUAGAAUCAGAGACUCCAACCCUUGCGGCAUACUCGGGUUGGAGGCUUCUCUUCCGAGUCAAUGGUGGAUUCCAUAUAGCCCGUGGAAUAUCAAAAAAUGUAGGGAAGUGCCGCCUAACUCAGAAGUAAUACAAAGGUCAGAACUGUUUUGACAAGAAUGACAUGAUUUUUGAAUGAUGCCCAUGUGUUUUCAGAAACUUUUUUAUGCAUGAUAUUUGAUGAAAAAUUGCUCGCAUAUUAUAUAUAUAUAUAUAUAUAUAUAUAUAUAUAUAUAUAUAUAUAUAUAUAUAUAUAUAUAUAUAUAUAUAUAUAUAUAUAUAUAUAUAUAUAUAUAUAUAUAUAUAUAUAUAUAUAUAUAUAUAUAUAUAUAUAUAUAUAUAUAUAUAUAUAUAUAUAUAUAUAUAUAUAUCUAUAUAUAUAUACCCCUCCUCCCUCCAGGUCCUGAGGCAAAGUCUAGAGGACCAGAUAAACAGUAGAUAUUUUAGAUCGCAAAUCAAGUUGUAUAGUGGUGAGCCUUCUAUGAUCAAGAAGGCCUGGUUAUCUCAGAUAAUUAUCUUUAGUUAUGUUUUGGUAUACUGGGGGCCUUGUCCCAGUUUUCAGACUUUUUGUUUUAGUCCAUAGUAGAGAUUUCGCAGACUGAAUCAGACAUUAUUAUUCAGAUAUAUGUUGGAUUUCAGUUUUCAGUGUUAUGAUCACAUUCAGGUUGACCAUGUUUCCGUAUUAGAUUUCUAUUUCCACAUUAUCUUUUAUUAUAUGAAUGUUGUGCAUCAUUACUAAAUAAAGAAGGGUGUUCCGGGCCUACGUGGUUCAGAAUGCUCGUUACGGCCAGGGCCUUAGUUCGGGUCGUGACAAACUUGGUAUCAAAUCACGGUUCAUGGUCCCAGGGUGUCUGUGAAAUCACGCCGGGUAGAGUCUUUUUAUGGGUGUGUAGCGCGCCACACUUAUAAGCAGGAGUGUACUAGGCGUUUAGGAAAUGUUUUCCUUCUUUUUGAUUUAGUUCGUGCUUCAGAGUCAAGUCUGUUCCUAAUCAGUGAUCUUUCUUCUUAUAGAAUUAACAGUCAUGCCUUCUCGUCACAAUACUAAUCAGAGUACUCAAAAUGAUGCAGUUUGUCCCACUCAUGGGAUGAGGACACGUAACAGAGCUUCCACUCCAUACCCUAUCCCUACUUCAAGAGUCCCUCUAGUCCCGACCAGUCCACCUCAGGCUCGAUGGACCAAUGUUAACCAUCCCCCGACUUCUCAGAGGGAUAUUUUGAAUGCCGAAUUUAGAUAGUCUAUUCAUAUGCUGGCACAGUUGGUGGCUAAUCAGGCUUAACAAUCGGAAGAUGUUGGGUCUGCGUCAGUGACGUCGGAGGCUACUAGGGUAGGACAGUUCAUAAGAAUGAACCCACCCAAGUUUACCGGCACCAAGGUAUAAGAAGAUUCGCAAGAAUUCAUAGAUGAAAUAGAGAAAAUUUUUAAAGUGAUGCAUGUGGAUCAGAUGAAAGGUGUUGAGUUGGCAGCCUACCAGCUGAAGGAUGUAGCAAACCAAUGGUACAAUGAGUGGGAGAAUGCAAAGGGUGACAUAUCUGAGCCCACAGUUUGGGAUGAGUUUGUAGAAGCUUUCCUUGAAAGGUUCUUUCCUCUGGAGCUGAGGGAAGCUAAAAUAGAGGAGUUCAUGAACCUCAAGCAGGGUAAGAUGAGCGUUCAGGAGUACACUUUAAAAUUUAAUCAGCUGACCCGUUAUGCUCCCAAGAUGACGAGUAGUAUGAGGGUCCAAAUAAGGAAGUUUGCUUUCGGCCUUUCAGAUGAUCUAGUUCUUGAGUGUCAGGGAGCUAUGCUGAAUAAGGAGUUGAACUUUGCUAGGCUGACAGUUCACAUGCAAUAGAUAGAGGAGAAGAAAAAGAAGAUUUCUGAAGCUAGGUAGAAAGAAAGACAAGAAAAAAGAUCUAGAUCUGCCGACCAGGGUUACAGUAAGCCUCAAAGUGGUAAGUGGAGAAAUAAAUGGUAGAAGAAGAAGAAUUGGGGUAAUGCACAGUCUGCUGGCAGUGCUCCAGUACCCAAACCACCAGCAGAUAGAUGGUCUCAAAGUUUCCAGGCUCAUCAUGGAUCCAGAGCACCGGAUACUCAGUUGCAGGGUAGUGUGGCGCAGCAACAUCGUACUUUUCCACGGUGUGAGAAUUGUGGUAGAAAUCAUCCAGGGAGAUGUCAGUUGGGCUCAUUUGUAUGUUAUUUAUGUGGUCAACCGGGUCAUAUUUAGAGGGACUGUCUAUCUGCUAGGAAGAAUGUUGGUGGUGCAAAGUCUUAGGCAAAUUCUUCGGCACCACCCCCGCCUCAAAAGGGCUCCACAUCAACUGCCGAGAGUGGUUGCCACUAGUUAUAUGCUUUGACCAACUGCCAGGAGGCAGAAGUUUCCCUAGACGUUGUCACUGGUACAUUACAAAUCUUUUCUAGUGAUGUUUAUGUAUUACUUGAACCCAGGUCUACCCUAUCCUAUAUGACCCUUUAUGUGGUUGUUGGUUUUGGGUUUGAGCCCGAUAUGAUUUUUGAACCUUUCUCUAUUUCCACUCUGGUGGGUGAUUCUAUUGUGUCUAGGAGGGCGUAUAAAAAUUGUGUGGUAUCUAUUCUUAGCCAUGAUACUGUGGCAGAUCUCAUAAAACUCAAUAUAGUUGCUUUUGAUGCUAUCUUAGGGAUGGAUUGGCUCCAUUUGUGCUAUGCCACGUUAAAUUGUAGGACUCAAAAAGUCACUGUUUCUUUCCCAAAUGAGUCAGUGAUAGAAUCGGAGGGACAUUUCUUAGCACCUAGAGGGCACUUUAUAUCCUAUCUCAGGGCCCGCAGACUCAUUUCUAAGGGCUGUUUGUAUCACCUUAACCGGGUUAAGGACUUUAAUUUCGAGAGUCCUCCUCUUCAGUCUGUCCCUGUAGUAAAUGAAUUUCCAGAAGUCUUUCCAUAUGAUCUCCCAAGAAUACCACCUAAUUGGGAGAUAGAGUUUGGUAAUUAUGUGUUUUCAGAUACCUUCCCCAUCUCUAUUUUACCAUAUAGAAUGGCUCCUAUAGAACUAAAAGAGUUGAAAGAACAGCUAGCAGAUCUUCUAGGUAAAGAUUUUAUAUGCCCUAGUGUGUCUCUUUGGGGUGCGCCUGUACUUUUUGUGCGAAAGAAAGACGGUUCACUUCAUAUGUGCAUAGACUACCAUCAACUGAAUAAGGUCACGAUUAAAAAUAAGUAUCCUCUUCCUAGGAUUGAUGAUCUUUUUGACCAGCUUCAGGGUGCUAGAUGUUUUUCAAAGAUAGACCUUCGUUCGGGAUACCAUCAGUUGAAGGUUAGAGAGUGAGAUAUUCCCAAAAUAGCUUUUCAAACCAGAUACGGCCAUUAUGAUUUCUUAGUCAUGUCCUUCGGAUUGACUAAUGCCUCUGCAACUUUCAUGGACCUAAUAAAUAGGGUCUUCCGUCAGUUUUUGGAUCUGUUUGAGAUAGUAUUCAUUGAUGACAUUCUUAUAUAUUCAAAAAGUGAGGAGGACCAUGCCAAUCACCUCUGAAUUAUCCUUCAGACACUUAAAGAUCAUAGAUUGUAUGCAAAAUUCUCCAAGUGUGAAUUCUGGCUUAAUGCCAUUGCGUUCUUAGGUCAUAUUGUAUCUAGUGACGGUAUUCAGGUGGAUCCCCAAAAGGUUGAGGCAGUAAGAAAAUGGCCUUGACCCGCGACUCCAACUGACAUUUGGAGCUUCUUAGGUCUGGCAGGUUAUUAUAGAAGGUUCGUAGAGAGUUUUUCCUCUAUAGCUGCUCCGCUCACUAAAUUGACUCAGAAAAAGGUGAAGCUUGUGUGGCCUGACUUGUGUGAAAAUAGCUUUGAGAAGUUGAAAGACAAGCUGACUACUGCUCCUAUUUUGAUUCUUCCAGAGGGGGUAGAAGGUUUUGUGGUAUACUGUGAUGCGUCCCGUGUGGGACUUGGUUGUGUUCUGAUGCAGCAUGGUAAGGUGGUAGCUUAUGCGUCUAGGCAGUUAUAAAAUCAUGAGCAAAACUACCCCACUCAUGACUUGGAGUUAGCAGCUAUGGUGUUUGCACUUAGAAUUUGGAGGCAUUAUCUCUAUGGAGUGCAUGUUGAUAUUUAUACUAACCAUAAAAGUUUGUAGUAUGUUUUCUCACAGAAAGAAUUGCACCUCAGGCAGAGGCGUUGGAUGGAGCUUUUGAAAGACUAUAAUAUGAUCCUGCAUUACCAUCCGGGCAAGGCAAAUGUUGUAGCCGACGCUCUCAGCAGAUUGUCUAUGGGCAGCCUUUCUCAUGUUGAAGAGGGGAAGAGAGAGACGAUGAAGGAUAUUCACCGUCUUGCAAAUCCGGGAGUGCUACUAUUAGAUUUCAAAGAUGGAGGGGUGAUUAUUAAUGAGAUAGCUAAAUCAUCCCUUUGUUCCGAAGUCAAAGAAAAACAGGUCAAAGAUCCCAUCUUGAUGCAGAUUAAGAGAGAUGUGGGUCAAUAAACAGUAAUGUCAUUUGAGAUUGGUGGCGAUGGUAUUCUGAGAUAUCAGGGUAAAUUAUGUGUGCCUGAUGUAGAUAGGUUACGGGAAAAAAUCCUUAGCGAGGCUCACACGUCGAGGUAUGUUGUUCACCCAGGCUCUACAAAAAUGUAUCAUGAUUUGAAAACCUUUUAUUGGUAGAAUAAUAUAAAGCGUGAUGUGGAUAAAUAUGUUGCCAAGUGUUUAAAUUGUCAGCAAGUCAAGGUGGAACACAUGAGGCCGGGUGGUACUUCUCAAGAGAUAGCAUUGCCUUUAUAGAAGUGGGAGAUGAUCAAUAUGGACUUCGUUACAGGACUUCCGAAGUCCCGAAACCAGCAUGAUUCUAUAUGGGUAAUUGUAGAUAGGCUUACCAAGUUAGCGCACUUUCUUCCUGUUAGGAGUAACUAUUCGGGAGAGGAUUAUGCUAGGUUGUUCAUCGCUGAAAUAGUUCGUUUGCAUAGGGCACCUGUGUCUAUCAUAUCCGACCGAGGUACACAGUUUUCUUCUCAGUUUCGGAAAUCUUUUCAGAAAGGUUUAGGUACCCAAGUGAACCUAAGUACAACAUUCCACCCUCAGACUGAUGGGCAAGAUGAGCGCACCAUCCAGACCCUUGAGGAUAUGUUGAGAGCCUGUGUAAUUGACUUUAACGGUAGUUGGGUAGAUCACUUUCCAUUGAUAGAGUUCGCUUAUAAUAACAAUUUCCAUUCCAGUAUUAAGAUGGCACCAUUUGAGGCGCUGUAUGGUAGGAGAUGUACGUCUCCGAUAGGGUGGUAUGAAGUAGGUGAGAUGCAGAUGUUUGGGCCUGAUCUUGUUCACUAGGCAAUGAAAGAUGUGAAGCUUAUUAGAGAAUGACUUAAAAUAGCUCAGAGUCAUCAGAUAUCCUACCCCGAUGUUAGGAGGAGAGAGUUAGAGUUUAAGGUUAGAGAUUGGGUAUUUCUUAAGGUUUCUCCCAUGAAGGGAGUUAUGCGACUCGGGAAGAAGGGUAAGCUGAGUCCUCGCUAUAUAGGACCAUACCAGAUUGUGAGAAGAAUAGGUGGAGUUACGUAUGAAUUAGAGUUUCCUGUAAGUUUGGGUUCUGUCCAUCCGGUAUUUCAUAUAUCCAUGCUGAAGAAGUGCAUUGGAGAUCAUUCGUUAGUAGUACCCGUCGAAGAAAUCAAGGUGACAGACUCCUUGUCCUACAAAGAAGAGCCGGUAGCAAUUUUAGAUUGCCAAGUUAGAAAGUUGAGAAGAAAAGAUUGUUUCGAUUAAAGUGUUAUGGAGAAAUCAGAAAGUCAAAGAAGCAACUUGGGAAUCAGAAGAUAAUAUGAGAGAUAGAUGCACAAAUUUAUUUGAUCCGGUGAAUGAAGUGAUGGAAGGUACAAUCUUUGUCCUUUUCUUUCCAUGCCUUUGUCUGCUUGAAAUCGUGCUUGUCUGUUUUCCGCAUCAUUAUUCGGGGACGAAUGAUCCUAAGGGGGAUAUUGUAACACCCGGACGUCUUCUUAGCUAAAUUCCUUCAUGGAAAGUCUAAGCAUUAGCUUCUAGAAUGAUCUAAAUUAAUUUUCAUGUAGAAUUUCCUACAUUUAAACCUUUCAUUAUGUAGAUGACUGAAUUAACUUUCCAACGAUAUAAGAUUCAUCCAAAACGGAUCCUCGGUGAAGAAGUUAUGAAUAAUUUAUAGUUCCAGUCGUAAACAUAGUCAUUUUGGUGUCUAGCGCGUCGCGGAGAGGGUCAAAUUGACAAUCAUCAAAUUUCAGUGGGGCUCCGCGAUGGUGGUGCAUUGCGGAGGCACCAAAUUUUCCACUCGUCAAAUUCCAGUGGACCACCGCGAUUGCAGCGCGUCGCGGUGGCACCCGAAAUCGGUUUUUUUAAGUUCAAAUUUUCAGUUCCAUUUAGGAGUCAUUAACGGUAAUUUUGACUUUUCCCUAACCUUUAAAACCGCCCAAACAAAGGAUUUAGGGUAUGUUUGAGCAACUUAACCCUAUUUUCAUCAAAAUCAUCAAGAAUCCUCUCUAGGGUUCCAAAAAUAAAAAACCAAGUAGUUCAAGAUUCAACGGUAGGUUUUCGAAGUUGAUCGCAUAUUUGGAAUCCCCAGGUCAUAGGCUUCAAUAAGCACCUAUUGUCUUCCUAAUUCGAGGUACGCGGGGUUUUCCUAAAAUCUCAUGGGCAUAGAAAUCAUGUUUUAAGAAUGGAGUUUUGAAGUUUAUGAAUAUAAUCAUGUCUUAGAAGUUUUGAUGGUAUUGUUUUGGUCUUUAGACCUUUCUCCCAAAUUGAUUUGCAAUUAUGUAUAUAUGUUUUGACUUAUUCUAAUCAACUUUCUGGUCCCAUUCCUAGUGAAUUGGGAAAAUGCAAUAAAUUGACUGAUUUGCAAAUAGCGAGAAACAGAAUUGGAGGUAGCAUACCACUAGAGAUUGGAAAUGUCAAAGGGCUUCUAGGACUUGAUCUUUCAUCGAAUCAUUUGAUCGGGCAGAUUCCAAAGGAAUUUGGAAAAUUAACCUCUCUGAUUAGGCUUUUGGUGCAAAACAACAGUAUUUCAGGCAAUAUACCUCGCGAAUUUGUAUCAUUGGCAAAAUUAGAGUACCUUGAUCUAUUUGAUAACAGAUUGAAUGGAUCGAUCCCGACAUGUAUAGGAGAUUUCGUGCACUUGUUUCGUGCAAUAGCAAAUUUGGCCAAAACAUUCCAACUGAGAUAGGGAGGAUGACUCAUUUUAAUGUACUUGAUUUGAGUCAUAAUCUUCUGGUUGGAGGUAUUCCCCCUCAGCUGGCAAAUUUGAAGGUGUUGGUAGACUUAAAUCUUUCCCACAACGGCCUGUCCGGGCACAUUCCCGAAGAAGUUGAAAGUAUGACUGGUUUGCAGGUUGUUUUUCUGUCAUACAAUGAGUUGGAAGGUCCAAUCCCUGAAUCAUUUGAUCGGGCAGAUUCCAAAGGAAUUUGGAAAAUUAACCUCUCUGAUUAGGCUUUUGGUGCAAAACAACAGUAUUUCAGGCAAUAUACCUCGCGAAUUUGUAUCAUUGGCAAAAUUAGAGUACCUUGAUCUAUUUGAUAACAGAUUGAAUGGAUCGAUCCCGACAUGUAUAGGAGAUUUCGUGCACUUGUUUCGUGCAAUAGCAAAUUUGGCCAAAACAUUCCAACUGAGAUAGGGAGGAUGACUCUGCUUAAUGUACUUGAUUUGAGUCAUAAUCUUCUGGUUGGAGAUAUUCCCCCUCAGCUGGCAAAUUUGAAGGUGUUGGUAGACUUAAAUCUUUCCCACAAUGGCCUGUCCGGGCACAUUCCUGAAGAACUUGAAAGUAUGACUGGUUUACAGGAUGUUUUUCUGUCAUACAAUGAGUUGGAAGGUCCAAUCCUUUUUUUCAAACACACUUAAAUAUUCUUAAUCUGAUUUACGCAUUUAAAUCGUGUUGUAACAGAGCUUGCAUAUACAAUGAAGGUUACACAAAUGUGUGAUGUCUAUAGCUUUGGAGUAUUAGCAUUGGAGAUAAUCAAAAAGCAUCUUGGUGAGUACAUUACUGUGCUAGCAAAUUCAUCUAGUAUGGAUCAUCAUGUGCAACUUAGUGAUUUUCUAGAUGAACGCCUUCUGUAUCCUGAAGAUAGAGUAAAUGAACUUUUGGUUUUUAUCAUCAAGCUAGCAAGCUCUUGUUUGGUUGAAACUCCAAAAUCAAGGCCAACAAUGCAAUUCAUCUCUCAUAAGUUAUCAUCAAUGGAUGCUUAUGCCCACCCAUUAUUCCUGUAAGGCGAUCUUUCUAAUUCCGUAAAGUGUCUUUGAAUGAAAAUGUAUGUAUAGCUUUUGACCCACGACGAAAUUAUUACCGGGUCUAGUAUAUUUGUAUUGUUAGGGUGCUUGUGUGGUUUAUUGUAUUAGUGCGUACAAUUUUGAAGGUAAUUGUUCCUUGUGCCAAAAAGUAAACAAAAAAACAAGCUUCAUGUUUUCUAAGUACUGAUGUUAUAUAGAGGAUUUACUAGUCUACAUCGUUUAGUAAUUUGAAGGUGAGCCUUGGAGUAACUGGUAAAGUUGUUGCCAUGUGACCAGGAGGUCACCGGUUCAAGCCUUGGAAAUAGCCUCUGGCAGAAAUGCAAGGUAAGGCUGCGUACGAUACACCCUUAUGGUAGGGCCCUUCCCAGACAUAGCGCAUAGCGGUAGCUUUAGUGCACCAGGCUGGCCCUUUUUUUUUUUUAUAAUCAAAAGAAAGCAUCACAGGGAAUAUAUUACUUUGCUAGCGAAUUCCUCAACCGUAGAUCAACCAUGUGCAGUUCAGUGAUUUGCUGGAUGAACACCUUCCUUAUCCUGUAGACGGAGUAAAACAAGUCUUGGUUUUCAAUUUUCAUCAUCAAGCUAGCAAGCUCUUCCGGGAGUCCAUCAGAAACAUCCUCUCUACUUCUUUGGAGGUAGCGGUAUGGACUGCGUACAUCUUACCCUCUCCAGACCCCACUUUGUGGGAAUACACUGGGUUUGUUGUUGUUGUUUUUGUUAAGCUAGCAAGCUCUUGUUUGAUUGGAACUCCAAAAUCGAGGCCAACAAUGCACUUCAUCUCUCACAGGUCAUCGAACUUCAAUGGAUCCACGUCCAUCUACUCAUGUAAAAUGAGCUUUGUAAUCUCUGAGAUGUAAGGUGUCUUUGUAUGAAAUGAAUAACCAUUGAAAGUUUGAAACCAAGUGGUUGUGUAGGUAAUACAAUGAGAAGGUCUAAGAUAAAAAUUAUUACUCAGACUAGGAAUUUAUGUGAAUAUGCCUUUCAGGUACUUUAACUACUUAAGAAAAUAAGACAUUUAACUACUAGUUUUGCUCAAGCAAGUUUUUGCCACGACCCGAACCGGGGCCCUAGCCGUGAUGAGCAUCCCAAACCAUGAAGGCCCAGUAUGCACAAUUCUUAUAUAAAAUAAUGCAGAAAUAUAAUCAUUACGGAAUCCUGGUCAUGUUCUGGGUCAAGUUUAUCAAUACGAAAGAAAACCCAUCAACAUCUAAACAACAUCUGUUUCUGUUUCCGAAAUCUCUAAUACAUACGAAAUAAGCAAAUUGUCUGAAACUGGGACAAGGCCCCCAGUGGACCUAAACCAAAGUAAAUGAUAAAUGUCUGAAAAGAAACAGGGCUUCCGGAAUAAAGAAGGCUCACCAACUGCACACUUCUGUAUGAUAAUUCUACGGCUUAGCAGGACCUCUAGAUUGAGCCUCAGACCCUGAAAUAUAGGGGGGAUCAAUAAAAUUGUACUAGUAUGUGAAGCAACUCAAAAUAACAUGUUUUUAUACAAAAUAGAUGAGAGCAUUUCACAAUAAUAAUAAACAUUAUAUAAGUGGAAAUACAUGGGCAUAUUUAACAAAUUUAAAGUUCAAUUCUUGACAAUCUUAACUCACUUUUUGUCAUUAUUUUGAGCUAAUCGGUACACCCUACAAUUUGUAAUUCCAUGGGCUAUAUGGAAUCCAUCAUUUACUCGACGGCCAAGCCUCCAAUACAAGUGUGCCACAAGAAUUGGAGUUUUAGUAACAUGGUAUACCCCUUACAAGUAUACUGUGGUGUCACCCUUGCAUGAUGUCCACAUUAUCCCCCUUAUAGGAUAAUACCCGUAUCAGCAACUACGGUUUCCAAUGAUGAGCCCUUACACUCAAACGCCUUCUUCGGAUAACCAAUUAGCUCUCUUAAGCCCAAAUUUUAAUUAUUCAAAAUCUGGCAUCACCCUUGGAUGCUUCGUGUUUUCAAACGUUCAAUACUUUUUCUAUUAAGGGCAUGUCAUCAUCGGGUAUCGUCAUACCCUGACUUGCAAGUCAAUAUCAUAUCAAAUUCACAGCCCAUAUUAUAUUCAAAACAUGCACAUGACCACCAAUGAAAUUCAUAACAUUACAAUAGAGUCAUCACUUGGAAACCUCAAGAACAUUUAAGCAUUUAUCCUCUCUUGGCAAGAUUUCAAAACAUGUGGUGGUCAUGUAAAAUUGAUCAAUCUCAUGUGAUUCUCCCCCCUUUAAAACAAGAAUAUAGUUAUAGCAAGAAACUCCCUCUCAUCACAUAUAAACCAUGUCAAACACCAUAAUAUUGAGAAGAUCACUUUCAAAUCUUCAAACAUGUGUUUCAAUUCCUUCACAAUGAACAUAUAAACUUUAGUUAGCAACGAGAGGGGAUUCAUACUCAUGCUCUCAAUCAAUUUUACAAAAUACACAAAAUCCCAUACAUAUAUAGUUAUAAUUCAAUUUCCAUGAAAAGUGGUUCAAGACAAUAUAUAUUUUCAUCAAAACAAUCCCAUGAUGCAUACCUUCCGAAAACCAUGUAGAAUACUUCAUUAAAAACAUAAUUGGGGAUCUUUAAUCUUGAUAAACAUAUUUAAACUUAUGCCCAAGGUUUUUAGAGUAGUCCCACACACCUUAGAUUAUCAGAUCUGAAAGAUUGAACCCGAAUGUCUAUAUAUUUCCUUCAAAACUUGGCUUAAGAGUUAGGGAUUUUUUUCUUGUUCUUGGGGAAAUGGAGGAUGAUUUUUGAUUUGGGGAGAAUAUGAAUUUGGGGAAAGUGCAGAUUUGGGGCUAAAAUUUGGUGUUAUAGCUGAGGUAAGAUGAGGAAAAAGACUAAAAUACCCCUAAGGAAACAAAAAAGGUCCCAGCAGUACUCCCUCAAUUGACAGGCUGACAUGCUGAAGUAAGUUGGGCAUAACUUUUGACUUCGAUAUUGGACUUGGACGAAAUCAGUUGAGUUGGAAAGAAGACUCAAAUACCUUUCAUUUGACAUAUAUAAGGCCCCACAGUUCGUUAUAUACACAAAUUUAUGGUCGACGAAAGUUGACCCAAGUUGAACUGUCCACUAAAACUUAAUCGAUAGAAUUGUUUUCAACUCGUCUUAGAGUUACGGGAUUCUUGUGACCUCAAUUCAUAUUCAAAGAUUUUCCCACACUAUCGGAGUGAUCACCACACAUACAUUAACAAGGAAUAAUUUAGUUCAUGUGUAUACGUGUUGGAAUGAUGGUCUAAAUUUUAGCCCAAAAGUACGGGGUGUUACAUUAAAAAAGAAAAAGUUUGUUGUUGAAAAUGGUGGUUUGAAGUACUUUUUCAUGGGAGAAGUUUUUGUGAAGAAGAAAAAGAUAAGAAAUAAGGAAAGUACAAGAGUGUGUUACUGAUGGUUUGUGUUGUUUUCAGGAGAAAUUUAUAGCAAGAUGAAAAGUGUAUUUUUUUUUGUUCCCAUCCGUUGUGUUGUCUGGUGUUCACAUUGGAGCUCCAACUAAUCCGAAUUGAGCGUUGUAGGGCCCAUUAAGGUGGUAGCGCUUCCAAUAGAGUUUUCUUCAUACCCAGGAUCGAGCCCUCGACCUCUGAUGAAAAGUGUACUAAUAUCCAUUGGGAAGGUAACUUCUUAAGGUUUUUUUUUUAAUAAUUGAAUUUUUUCAUUCCAAAGAAAAUCUUUUUUUCCCCUCAAUUACCACCAUAAAAGUAUUAUACAAUAUAUAGUUUUCUAUGAAGUCAAGUAAUGUUUCUAGUUACCCUCCACACCCUUCUAUCUAAGGUCACGUUCUCAGUAAUCUGAAGCUACGUAAUAUCAUGUCUAAUCACCUCUCCUCAAUAUUGUUGCUAUAUAUUUGUUAGAAAUUUUGCACCCAAUGAGCAAAUAGUGUUAAGCAUUUUCUUACAACAUACUCCCUCCGUCUCAAAUUACCCAUCCCAAAUUAAGAUGGCACAUUGAUUAAGAAAAAUAAUUAAUAACAUGACUAGUUUAUCAUAGUACCCCUAUUAAAUGAAUACCGCUAAGGAAACAAAAAGGUCACAGCACUCCCUCAGUUGACAGUCUGACAUGCUGAAGUAAAUUGGGCAUAACUUUUGACUCCAACAUCGGACUUGGACGAAAUCAAUUGCGUUGGAAAGAAGACUCAAAUACCUUUCAUUUGAUAUAUAGCCAGACCCCCAAUUAGUUAUAUACACAAAGUUAUGGUCGAUGAAAUUUGACCCAAGUUGAAGUGUCCACUAAUAACAUGGCUAGUUUAUCAUAGUACCCCUAUUAAAUGAUGUUUACGUUUUAAAGAAAAAAUAAUUAAUGCAAAGGGUAAAACAUGGAAAAAAAUUAUCUCAGUAAAAUAUGAAGUCAAAUUAGAAAAUUUGGGACGGAGGGAGUAGUAAUUUUCCAUGAACAAAUAUAGUUAUACAACCAGCAUUUAUGUCUUAUCAACACUGCCAAACACUAACUGAUGUGAACUUAUCCUUGUAACCUAAGUUGAUCGGACUCUCCAAAUUUGUUGUUGCACCCAUGUCGGAUCCUUCAAAAAUUCAAUACUUUUGAAGGAUCCGACACGCACCCAUCAAAAUUUUCGAAGACUCCGAGCAGCAUAGCUUGUAACAGAUCAAGCAUUCGCACUAAAGCUUCCGCUAUGUGCAGGCCAAGCAGGUACUCGAUGUUCCAACAAAACAAGCAUAACAUGCAUCCAUAUGUCUAUAAAUAUAGCAAUCCAUAAUCAAAAUACUACAAAGAUGACCAAGAGAUGAACCAUAAAUACCUAACUGUUCCUACUACAGCUAGAUAUCUUCCCAGAACAAACCAAGUCUAGUACAAGAACUUUUUGCCAAGGGAGCUCGGAUUCUGGUGCAAAAACUCGACCGCUCAUUUCACAACUUGCUAGUUUACUCGGAAGCAACAUUAUUUUGACCCUCAUUCAUGCUUCUUUUUCUCUUUUGCGUCGAAUUAGAGGAGCCUUUCACAUGCACUUCCUUUUCCUGUCCACGGCGUUUUGAAGCACGAGCAAUUUCAUUUAACGUCAUAUCAUCAUCACUGUCGCUCAUCAUACGAAGAGACAUAGUUUCUGGUUUGUCUGCGAGAAAAUAUAUGAAACAUAUUAAGUUAGCUCCUUUUAAAUUGACGUACGAAACUCAUCUUCCCAAUAAAAGUGUGAUAUCCUCCAAUAUAAGUCACACAACAACAACAACGUACCAAGUAUAAUCCCAAAAGCGAGACCUGAGACGGGCAGGGUAGGAUGUAUGAAAACUUUACCUAUACCAUUACGGGGUAGAGAGGCUGUUUAAGAUAGUCCCUCGGCUCAAAAGAACGAAAAAUGAAUCAUGUUUGCAUGAAAACAUGACAAUAUCCUACUAAAAGGGGAAAACCAAGACAGACGAGAAAGGGAAAAAAUUAACUACAGCAAAGUGGCUAGAUCGACACAGCUAAAAAAGUGUAACAGUGGACGAAUUGGAAGUCUUGAGGAUACGAUGCAACUGUUUUUCGCAGUCGCUUUCUACUUGAGCGUCUAGUGUUUCAUUUUUUAUUUUUUCUAUGUGUGUUUGUGUGAUUGUGGUGGUGGUGUUUUUAGUAUAUAACGAAAAAUCGUCAGAAAACAUCAUACCUAUAACCGUUCAACAGAACAACAGUAACUACGCUAUACCUCAAUCCAAAGAGUUGAGGUCGGCUAUAUGAAUCCUAAUAAUAUAUGCACAUAAUAUAGACAGAUCAUAAUAACAACAAAGUCGUCUAAAUCACAAAACCGUUAUACCUUUGUGUAUUGAUUGACCACUGCUAUUUCCGGUUGAUGUGCCAACCAGUUUUGGAUCAUCAUAAAGCACAAUUGCCCGAUCUUCACCUUGAGAAGAUUCCACGCUGUUAACGCCAGUCACACCAGUAGCUUGAAGGCCUGUUUUCACCUCCAAAUCUAUAGCCAAUUUUCACGAAACACACACAUCACAAUAAAGAAUUUUCCUCGUUCAGAAUGAGAAAAUAUAACAUCUAACUCUUUGAACAACAAAAAAGGUAUGAGAACAGAAAAUAUAAGUCACACAACUGAUCAAAAUGUAUUCAUUUGCUUUUCGUAGCAUCAAUCAUCAUUUACCAAACUAUAUCCGACUCCAAAUUAGUUGAUUAAUUGAAUACCACAAAUAAUUAAAAAAGGUUUUACAAAUACAGUAAAAUCAAGAUCUACCAUUAACAUAACAAGUUGUAAAGAGGAAAAACUAAACAAAAAUAAUCGACGUAUAUUCACAUAAUGUCAAGAAUGAACCUUGGGUCUAACUCAACCACAAAAGCUAGCUCAAGAGAUGAGGAUUACCCAAGUCCAUAUAAGCAAACCACUAGUCCAUUCCCCAACCAAUGGGGCAAUUUUACCCACUCUAACACCCCCUUCAUGCCCAGGCCCAAUUGGCACUGGCACGUGGAUCGGGAGCCCAAAAUGGGAAUGGACCUGGCUCUGAUACCAUGUCAAGAAUGAACCUUGGGUAAUCCUCACCUCAUGAGAUAGCUUUUGAAGUUGAGUUAGGCCCAAGGUCCAUUCUUGACAUGGUAUCAAAGCCUUCUCUUGGCUGUCUUGUUUCAUAGAGUUCAUUUGUGGUUUCUUUCAGUCUUUUUGGAAAAUUUUGGUUUUUGUUGAUUGUUCCUCGACAAUUAACACCUUGUAUUUUGAUCUUGGUCAUUCUUUUUAAGUCAGUGUUUCUAGUUUUCAUAAAUAUGACUUCAUAUCAGUUUGAAUCAUUCGGUUUCACUGGAAAGAAUUUCUUGUCAUGUGAGUUUCAUUUUCAGUUAUUUGUCACUGGAAAAGAACUAUGGGGCCAUAUAGAUGGAGCCGAUCCUGCUCUUAUUGAUCCUACAAAGUUAGGUGAAUGGAAGAUUAAAGAUGCUCGGGUAAUGACAUGGCUUUUAAGGUGAAUUGACCCUCUUAUUGUUCUUAAUCUCAGGUCUUACAAGACAGCUAAAGCCAUGUGGGAUUAUUUACAAAGGGUUUACAAACAAGAUAAUAGUUUCCAACGCUGUCACUUAGAGUAUGAAAUUGCUAAUUACUCUCAAGAAGAUCUUUCUAUUCAGGAUUAUUUUUCUGGAUUUCAGAACUUAUGGGCUGAAUUUAUAGAUAUUGUUUAUGCCAAAAUACUGGAUGAAUCUCUUUCUGUAGUUCAACAAGUUCAUGAGCAAAGCAAGCGAGAUCAAUUUUUGAUGGAGUUACACUCUGAGUUUGAGACUGUUCACUCCCACUUGAUGAAUCGUGACCUGUCUCUCUCCUUGGAUGUCUGUUUAAGGGAAUUACUUCGGGAGGAGCAGUGUUUUGUCACACAAAAUGCUUUCAAUCAAGUUGAUGAUAUAGUUGUUACAUUUGCUGCCCAAGGUAAAGGAAAGGGUAGGGAUAUGACUAGAACUCAAUGCUAUAGUUGCAAGGGAUAUGGUCAUAUUGCUAGCAAUUGUGGCAGGAAGUUUUGUAAUUAUUGCAAACAAUAAGGACACAUUAUCAUAGAGUGUCUCACACGCCCUCAAAACCAUAAGGUUAAUGCUUUUCAAGCUGGGACAAAUGGUUUCACUACUGAGAACUCAUCUUUGGGACAAGUUCUUACUCCUGAAAUGGUAAGACAAAUGAUCAUGUCAGUUUUUUCAGCUUUAGGGCUACAAAGUAAUGAUCUUGCAUCUAAUAUUUAGCUUGUUGAUUCAGGAGCUUCCAAUCAUAUGACCAACUCAUCUAGUAUGCUAAAAAAUAAUCAUAAGUAUCAUGGUCCAUCGCAAAUUGAAGUUGCCAAUGGUAGUAGUUUACCCAUUACCAAGGUUGGGGAUAUUACUAAAACUUUCAAUAAUGUUUUUGUGUUACCAAAGCUCUCCACUAGUCUUAUUUCAGUUGGACAAUUGAUAGAUAACAAUUGUGAUGUGAAUUUGUCUCGUAAUGGUUGUCUUGUGCAGGAUCAGAUCUCAUAAAGUUGGACGACUGUUUCCUAUACACUUUUCCAUUCCUCGUGUUCUAUCAUUUGCUUGUACUUCUACACCUAGUAAGACUGAGGUAUGGCAUAAUAACAACUUCCUAACUAACUAAUGGGUUAUUUACUUAAUUAAUUCAACUACUUGGAUAAACAGUAGAAAAUAACUGCUAAGUAAUGCAUUCUCCUUUUCUUUAACACUUAGGACAUCCAAAUUCUAUUGUGUUAUCUCAUUUAUCGAAUUCGGGUUUAUUGGGGAACAAAAAUCUAUUUUUCACUGCUUCCUUUGAUUGUUCCACUUGUAAAUUAGGCAAGAGUAAAAUCUUCCUUUUUCUAAUUUUGGUAGUUGUGCUACAAAGUGCUUUGAUGUCCUUCAUAGUGAUGUUUGGGGUAUUUCACCAAUUGUUUCUCAUGCCCAUAUCAAGUACUUUGUGACAUUUAUAGAUGAUUAUAGUCGAUUUACGUGGGUAUAUUUUCUUCAUUCCAAAUCUGAGGUAUUUUCCAUAUUCAAGACAUUUUUGGCCUAUAUUGAGACUCAAUUUUCUACUUGCAUCAAAUUAUUGAGAUCUGAUUCUAGUGGAGAAUAUAUGUCUUAUGAGUUCAAAAAUUUUUUUCUUGAAAAAGGAAUUGUCUCAGAACGCUCUUGUCCAUAUACACCACAACAAAAUGGGGUUGUUGAACGUAAAAAUCGUCAUCUUUUAGAUGUCACUUGUACUUUAUUAAUUGAGUCCUCUGCUCCAUCUAAGUAUUGGGUGGAAGCUUUGUCUACUGCUGUUUACUCAAUUAAUAGACUACCAUCUUAAGUCUUAAAUCUUGAAUCUCCAUAUUUUCGUCUUUAUCACAAAAAUCCAAGUUAUGAUAAUUUUCAUACAUUUGGCUGUAUUUGUUUUGUGCAUCUUCCUCCUUCUCAGCGUAAUAAACUUUCCGCUCAGUCUACUAAAUGUGUUUUUAUAGGUUAUAGUACUUCACAGAAAGGCUUUCUCUGUUAUGAUCCAUGUUCUAAUAAAUUUCAUGUUUCUAGAAAUGUUGUUUUCUUUGAGAAUCAAUAUUUUUUUCCUACUCAUGUUGAGUCAUCUCCUGCUUCUCUUCUUCUUCCUACUUUUGAGAAUUUGCCAUCUUCUUCUAAGAGGUUGAAACCUGGAUUUGUGUACGAACGUCGUCCGCCAACUUUACCCCCUCCUGAUAUUGAUCUGCCACCUUAAACUGCUACACAACUAGAAUUGAGAAUUCUUCAAUGCCUGCUCCUCUUGAGCCCACUCGGCGAUCUACCAGAGUAUCUUGUCCUCCUAAUUGGUAUGGAUUUUCAUUAACUUUAUCUGCCAUUUUUGUUCCAACUUGUUACUCACAAGCUUCCAAGCAUGAAUGUUGGCAGAAAACAAUGGAGGAAGAACUUUUGGCUCUUAAAGAAAAUGACACAUGGGAUAUUGUUUCAUGUCCUUCAAAUGUCCAUCCAAUUGGAUGUAAAUGGGUUUAUUCAAUUAAACUUCAUUCUGAUGGAAGUCUUGAUUGGUACAAAGAUCGGUUGGUUGUUCUUGGUAACAAACAGGAGUAUGGUGUGAACUAUGAAGAGACUUUUGCACCGGUAGCAAAAAUGACGACGGUGCAAACUAUUAUUGCCAUUACUGCUUCACAAAACUGGACGCUUCAUCAAAUGGAUGUCAAGAAUGCUUUUCUUCAUGGUGAUCUCAAAGAGGAUAUUUAUAUGAAACCUCCACCAGGUUUGUUCUCAUUACCUACAUCAGAUGUAUGCAAGUUGAGGCGGUCUCUGUUUGGAUUAAAACAAGCUCCCAGAGCUUGGUUUGACAAAUUUCGGUCUACUUUUCUACAAUUCUCUUUUGAGCAAAGCAACUAUGACUCAUCUUUCUUUCUUUAGAAAAAAUCCAUAGGUUGUGUCCUUCUUUUGGUAUAUGUUGAUGACAUUAUUAUUACAGGAACUGAUUCUUCACUAAUUACUAGCGUGCAACAACAACUGAAGGAUUCUUUUCAUAUGAAAGAUCUUGAUACUCUUACAUAUUUCUUGGGUUUGGAAGUUCAUCGUGAUUCAUCCGGUGUGUUUCUAAAUCAACACAAAUAUACCCAAGAUUUGAUUUCUUUGGUAGGUCUUUAGGAUUCAUUCUCUGUGGAUACUCCAUUAGAAUUGAAUGUAAAGUAUCGCCGGGAGGAAGACGAUCUUCUUCCUGAUCCAACUAUAUAUCGGCAUUUAGUUGGGAGGUUAAAUUACCUUACUAUUAUUAGGCCUGAUAUCUCUUUUAUAGUUCAACAAGUUAGUCAGUUCAUGCAAGCUCCCCGUCAUCUUCAUUUGGUGGCUGUCCGUCGCAUCAUUCGAUACCUCUGAGGAACAUCUAAUCGUGGAUUAUUCUUUCCUAUUGGUUCACCUAUUCGUCUUAAUGCUUUUAGUGAUUCUAAUUGGGCGGGAUGUUUUGACACUCGUCGUUCGGUUAAUGGUUGGUGCAUGUUUCUUGGAGAGUCUUUGAUAUCUUGGAAGAGUAAUAAGCAAGACCGUAUGUCAAAAUCUUCAACAGAGGCUGAAUAUCGAGCAAUGUCUACUGCUUGCUCCGAGAUUGUGUGGCUUCGUGGACUACUUGCUAAGAUUGGAUUUCCAUAAUCUAAUCAUACUCAUCUCCAUGCUGACAAUACAAGUGCUAUUCAGAUUGCUACUAAUCCUAUUUAUCAUGAGCGGACCAAACACAUCAAAGUAGACUGUCAUUAUAUACAAGAAGCUGUAGAUAAAGGUGUCAUUACUCUUCCGUACGUGUCCGGUGAUCUUCAAAUAGCUGAUGCAUUUACAAAAUCAAUGGCACGACAACGACAUCAGUUUCUCGUCGGCAAAUUGAUGCUUCUUGAUCUCCAACAUCAAUUUGAGGGGGGAUGUUAGCAUGAUGUAAAUAUUGUAUAUUAAUGUAAUCAUAUAUUGUUGUAUAUUGGUGUAAUUAUAUAGAUUUGAUUUAGUAGUUAAAGAGAAUAAUAGUGACUUUAGUAAGAGCAGAUUUGGUGGGAUAAAAAAGCGAAUUUAGAGGGAUAGAAAAAUUGAUCUUUAGGGAUAGGAAGACGGAUCUUUAGGGAAUUAAUCAUUGAAUAUUUUCUGUUUAAUGACAAGACUCUCAAUAUUGAGAGGUAUUCAGCAGAAAAUUGACACAUAACAGCAAUACCUUCAUCAUUUUUUCUCUCCGUUUCCUUCAAAUCAGAAAUUCUACCUCUAAACUCGAUGAUUUUCUCCUCGUAGCGAGCCUCUUUAUCACUUUUUGCCUUCUUUAGCUUUUGAAUUCUGUCAAACAGCAUUUGUCUUUUUGUACUGCUUGUAGUCCUCUUCUAUUAUUUUACUGUACUUUUCGUCGAUACUUCUUUUUUCUUCCUCGAAACCUUUUUCGCAAUCCAUCAGAAUUUCUUGUGCAAAAGGGAAGUCUUUUUCUUCAACCAUUUGUUUUUCCUUCAUAAUUGCAAGUAAUUCUGGGAUCGAUGUCAUCUUCAAUGGAUAUCAAAGAUGUGAUGUAAGCGGUGUGAAGUGGAAAAUGACAAUAAUACAGGGAGCAUGAAAAUACAUCUAAGAACAAUAAUUAGUACUAUUUGAUCAAGAUUUCAAGAAUUUUUGAUACUUUUACAUUAAAGAUUAGUCAAACACCUCAGCUUUUAAAGUAAAACAUUAAAUGUACCUUUGAUUUCUGCAAAAGAAUGAAUGUAGUUGUAAUCCUUAAAAUGUACUUAGAUAACUUAAAUAGUAAUUAUAGGAUAUCCUUUUUUGCUCUUUCCAUAAUAAGAUAUCGAUUCAUUCCCUCAUACCUUUAUUACAUGGCAUCAGAGUUAUUGUCUGAGUUGGUAUUUUGUAUUAGCCGGAGGUCACUAUGACUUCACUGAGCACAUUUGAGUAGUUGUAGACUGCAGUUAGCAUUUAUAUGUUCUUUACGCGGACAUUAUAUGGUAAAAUCAUACUUGCGAUCAAUGGCAACUUGAACUUAGCACUUUAGCAGCAGUUGUAUUAUGUUGCUGUAUAUGGAAAAGUCGUGCGUAAGAGUUGUAUCACUGCAUAUUAUAUCAAUGUUGAUAGCUACUCUUCUUAAAUACAGUAGUUAUGUUUCAUUUCUUUUUGUAACUAUAUUACAUUUCAUAAUAAAGUGUAAAUAUUUGUCGCGUCGCAUGGUUUUUCCUACAAAUAACUUAACUAUAGUAAAGCGACAGAAAGUUGAGAUGACAAAUAUUCAAAGUUCAUAUGAAAAUAUUUCCUAUAUAUUGAUUAGUUUGAGGCAGACACAAGAUGCAAACUAAGUGUUUUCAACGAGUAGUUUUCCCUGGUUGUUCCUUUUAUGGACUGUUGUUUAGUAAAUAAUAUAUUAUGGUCCAUUGAAAAAUGUUCCACAUUAGUACUACAAAGUAUUUGUGUGGGUGUUUAUAGCCUUGCGCUAUCCCACCUUAAUAGCUAUCUUUUGAAAUGUGGUUCUCCUAAGGUUGUAAUAGUGAUAUCAAAGCCAUCCAUUACCUUCCUUGCCCACCGUUCCUGGGAUGGUGACGCAGGUAUGGCAGUAUUUGUUCGGUGCUAGUAAUGUCUAGUGCACAACCAUCGUGGCACCUGACUCAACAAGAGAAAUCUAGGAAAGAGCUACCUACAAAAGUAGAGAGUGGAGCCAUCGAGGACGAAGGAUUCGAAGCGUGAUGGUUUGUUAUGAUCGUAGCAAAAAGUCCCACAUUUGUACUACAAAGUAUUUGUGUGGGGGUUUUAUAGUCUUGGGUUCUCCCACCUUAAUAGCUAGCUUUUGGAGGCGUAGUUUUCUUAAGGUUGUAAUAUUGGUAUUAGAGCCACCCAUCACACUCCGUCGCGGGAGCUGUGCACCUGACUUGGAAAGGGCUACUUAGGAAAGAGCUAUCUAGAAAAGUAAGUGAAAGCUACCCACUUGAAAAGGGCCUUCCAUGCCCACCAUGCCUGGGAUGGUGACGUUGAUAUGACAGUGUUCGGCCGGGGAAAGUAAUGUAUAGUGCACAAUCGUCGCAACAUCUGUGCACCUGACUCGAAACCUGAGACGAUGAAACCAUCCGAUCAAACGAUGAGACGUCUUGAAUUUAGUCAAAAAAACAUCAAGUACAAGGGCAGGCUUUCUCUCUUCCCAAACCACACGCGUCUUUUCCUUUCAUUACCCAAAAUGCACAAAGAAACCAUCCAUCUUUCACUCUCUCUCCAUCUUCCUCAUCUACUCUAUACCCAAAAUCAAAACCACAAUCCACCAUAUCUUACCAUCCGCCUGCACUACAAGGAUUCAUCCUAUUUUCAGCCUUUCCAAUCCGCUACUUCAAUAAAUCAACGAAAAUCAGUUCCCAAUCGGUGAUACAACGAAAUUAGAUUUCAAAUCCAUGUUAAAGACACAAAAAUCGUCCAAAAUCGUGAAGUGAGUUGUCUUUUUCAACUUUUUGAAUUUCAAAUACAUCCCUUUGAUUUGGCCGUUGGUUUCCUUGAAUUUUGGUUUCAAAUUCGGACUUUCAAGUCCGGAUUUGCAUAUAAAUACCUACGGUUUUACCUAUUUCGAAGGGGGGGCGGGGGGGGGGGGGGGGGGGAGAGAAGUUUUUUAGAAGGAGAGACAGAGGGGGAACACUCGAAAAUUGGGGAAUAUUCACACAAAUUCACAAACAAAGUCACAAAAUCAGAAGUUUUGUUUCUUCUUUUCGGUCUAGGUUCGGGCUCCCGGAGUUUGAGUUGGAUAGCUGGAAAAUCUUGGCAUCGAAGCCCCAUCUUGCUGCCCCAUAAAAGUUUCAACGGAAACUCGGUUUUGACCCAAAGUUUGGGUCGAUGGGUAUAGGAUCACAGAGUUCGGGGUCUAAAUUGCUAGGAGCCAAUUUGCUUCCAUAGGAAUUGAUAGUAUCCCAUCCUUUACCUUUCUCAUGACUUUCUUAUUCACGUUUGUUUCAUUAACUUUGUGUCAUUUUGAUAAUUUAUUUUAUAUGUCUUUGAUUGAAACCGAUAUCACUUAACUUUGUUUAGUUUUGUUCGAACUUUAAACCACCUAGAAUUGAUUUUAUUCGGUCAUUUUUUAUUCGUCAUUCAUAAAUAUAAUAACGGUAUAUAGUUCAACCACUUAUUUUUAUAAUUUUGCACCUACGAAUCUACCUUUAUAAUAAAUGGCAAACUCUGCUUUUUAUAAUUACAAUAUGGAAUACAUCUCUGAUUGAACAAAACAACUGGUUAUUAUUUUCGAUUUGCAAAAUAUUAAUUAACGGUUUUGUCACCUUAUCCAGAGUAUUGUUUUCCAAAUGAAUCAACAUAAGUAUUAAAUAGGUUUCAUUUAUUCCAUCCGCCAUGUUUGCAAGUAAAUAAUCCACCAACAUCGAUUUUUUCAUUCAACGCUGUAUAAUUUAAACACCUACUACAGGUCAUAUCUGCUUCUCAACUCUAUUUCAAAUUUUCAGAUUUUAAAGGCUUUCUGAACACAAGAUAUAUAUAUAUGUUAUACACUACCACAUACAAGGUAUAUUUUACUACUAUCAUUAUAAUUGCUAUUACUAUAAUAUUACCACUUACAUUAUUAUUAUCAUUGUUAUUAUUUUCACUUUAUUAUACCUAUGUAGGCUACUAUCACAUUUAUGUUUACCUUAGUUCAAUUUAAAUCUAUUCGGGUUGCACAAGCGAAAAGAAUUUUAUACCUUUUCAUACAUUUCUAAAUCCUCAUGCAUUUAUAUUUAUUUUAAAUAAAUUUUUUCACACUUCAAAAGUAUACUUUAUUUACCUUGUAAUGAAUUUUAUUCACGUAUUUAACUUUGCAAAGUCAUAAGAUCUUAUACUCGCUACUUUACAUAUUAUAACAACAGAAGCUACUACUCUCUCUCAUAAUUUUUCAAAAUAUUCAUUUAUUUAUAACUAUAUUAUUUCGUUGUAUGUGAUAGUGUUACAUCUUUAUGUGCCUUGACUACUAUUUUUUAAAAUUUAUUUAUUUAUUUAUUUAUUUUUUAAAAAAUGAUGACGGUUUUCUUAUCAAUUUUAACAAAUAACUAAGGCAAAAUAUUCUCCAAAUAUUUCUAAAGCUAAGUUUAAGGACUAUCUUCGGAUAGGCUCUCUUAGUAGUUAGUUUUUGGGGUGUGGUUUUCUUAAGGUUGUAAUAGUGGUAUCAAAGCCACCUAUUACCCUCCGUGCCCACCCUUCCUGGGAUGGUGACUCUGGUAUGUUAGUGUUCGGCCAGGGCUAGUAAUGUCUAGCGUACAACCAUCAUAGCACCUAUGCACCUGACUCGAAAAGGGAUACAUAGGAAAGAGCUACCUAGAAAAGAAGAUAGCUGGCUUUUGGGGUGUGAUUUUCAUAAGGUUGUAAUGGUGGUAUCAGAGCCACCCAUCACCCUCCAUGCCCAUUGUGCCUGGGAUGGUGACGCCGGUAUGACAGUGUUCGGUCGGGGUUAGUAAUGUCUAGCGCACAAACGUCGCGGAAAUUGUGCACCUGACUCGAAAGAGCUACCUAGAAAAGUAGAGUGAAAUCUACAUGUCGAGGAUAAAGGAUGCGAAAUGUGGUGGUUUGUUAUGAUCCGUUGCAAAAAGUCCCACAUUUGUACUACAAAGUAUCUGUGUGCAGUAUUUAUAGCCUUGGGUUCUCCACCUUAAGAGAUGGCUUUUGGGGUGUGGUUCUCGUAAGGUUGUAAUAGUGGUAUCAGAGCCACCCAUCACCGUGCAUGGGUUGGUGACGCCGCUAUGGAAGUGUUCAGCGGGGGCUAGUAAUGUCUAGCACACAACCGUUAUGGCGCCUGGGCACCUGACUCAAAAAAGGCUAUCUACAAAAGUAGAGUGAAAACUACCCAGAGUGGAGCCGCCGAGUAGAGUGAAAACUACCCAAGAGUGGAGCCGUCGAGGAUGAAGGAUAUGGUUUGUUAUGACCCAUUGCAAGAAGUCCCACAUAGUUACUUGUCAGUAGUAACUGCAAACGUCUAGGUUGAACAAUAUAUGAACAAACAUUAGGUAGGCGUUUGGCCGUGAAAACAAAAAAUAAUUAACCUUAUUUGGAAUUUUCAGAGUUAGAGUUGUAUUACACAUUUACAAUUUAAGCAUAUUUUUUUCUUCUUUCUCGCGGUCGCUACUCAUUCGCUAUUUGUU